RNAcentral lists this long non-coding RNA (119660 nucleotides) under Gossypium barbadense (sea-island cotton). Its description in RNAcentral is "long non-coding RNA (GBAR_LNC009387)". The stretch from base 18536 to 18641 matches the Rfam family "Plant small nucleolar RNA R71". The record is from RNAcentral. Lineage: Eukaryota; Viridiplantae; Streptophyta; Magnoliopsida; Malvales; Malvaceae.
AUGGGGCCCCUGAUAACCUAUCGGUUUCCCCUUACGAGUGUUCGUGCACUCGCAGGUCUAUUAUAGCCACAAUUUUGGCAUUUCAGCAUUUUGGCUUUUCGGCAUUUCGGGAUUUGUCGAUCUACUGUGUGUGUGCAGUGUAUGUGCACACCUGGUAAUAUAGCAUCCUGUGAUCCCCCCUAGCCAUGAACCUACAAUCGAUAUCACUCAAUGAUUAACCACACAUACUUAUCGAAUACCUUGCCAAAAGCUGAGGUCUUACCUUAACCUUACCUGGAACGCCAAGCCUUAAUGGCUUUUUCUUGCUCACUAAUCACGAGCACUUCCUAGAUCUGCAUUAACCUUAUUGUUAAAAACAUAAUGGGUGACUUAUAUCCAACAUAUGUCACCCUUUCCCAUUAAAGCCUAUUCGGCCAACCUUUACCAAAAUGAAGAACACUUACCAAAGUUUCAACACUUAGGGAGCAAACCGGCAGAGAUCCAAAAGACUGAGGUUCGAUACUAAUCCUACCAAAACCGAUUCAGAAGGAGUGAGGGACAGGAGUAAUCGAUACUUAGCAAAACCAACUGAAAGAACAAAACACUUACACUAGAAUUGGCUGAGGUAGAAGGAGUAGUGGCAGCACAGAGGAUAUUCGGCUUCUAAGGUUUGUAUGAUGGAAAAGGUUAUUCGGCACAAAGUAAAACAGUAGUAGCAACCGUUUACAACCAGUGGUGAAUCAAAAAAGAAGUAUUGAGUAGGGGAAAGAAUGGAAAAUCGGCACAAAGUAAAGAAAGAAGAACAAGGGAUUUCGACUUUUUGAUCCUUGGAGAGAAAAAUGUUUUCUGGUAACAAGGAAAGGGAGAAUUUGGCAUUAGCCUGGAAUCCUCACAUUCGACACCUAUAUAUAGUCUAUAGUCGAAUUUCCUAUGCCAAAAUUCCUAAUUCGACUCCACCUCUUCUUCACUCCUCAUCUCCUAAUUUUUCUCCCUGAUAAAUCCCUAAUCCCCACCUCAAAUUUCUCCUCUUAUCACUCCCUACAGUGUUCAUAUCCAACGCCAACACUGACCAUCUCUUAAACAAAAAUAAAUCCUUCUUUUGAGCAAUGAGGGAUUCAAACCCCAAACCCCAUUGCCCUGUAUGUGACACCACUUGCCAUUCCACCACAAGGCUUUCUUGUGUCCAAUUCCUCCUUCAUUUAUUCAAAAGCUCAGCUACUUGCCAUCGGGGUUCUUUUAAGUAUUAACCUAUAAUUUCCUUCACCCUUAAGUUCGAACUCAAACCUUAACUAAGACCUAUUAUCACAUAAAUAAAACUUAACUAGGAAUAUUAAGCACACUUCUUAUCAAAAUCGAAAUAAGAAAAAGAAAAUUUGGGAUUUCGAGACUUUUGGGGCGUUACAAGUUCAAACGAGAUUUUUUUAUAUCACAUCUCUGUUAAGCUUGCUCGUAAUGUCAAUCUCAAUGUCCAUAACACUCAUCACUUACUCGUGGAGUAAUCAAAGCAUAACUCGUAAUAACAUUGAAGAAUUUUAAUUCACGUAAUACUCAACAUCAAAAAUAUAACAUAACAUCACAUUAUUUUAUAUGAACUUACCUCGGUACAAAAUGAUGAAAACGAGCCUAUUCUUCGUAAACCUUGUUUUUCCCCCGAUCAAAACCCGAAUCAUGUUUUUCUUGAUCUAUAAUGCCAAAUUUAACUUAUUUAAUACAUACAUUGUUUGAAUCGACCCAUAACACAUACUUUGAUAAAAUUACCUUUUUACCCCUAACUUUUUACUUAUUUACAAAUUGGUCCUUAGGCUCGUAAAAUGAAAUACAUGCAUUUUCUUUACUACCCAAGCCUAGCCGAUUCAUAUUCCUACUCUUAGCAGCCUACGUUUUUCUUUAUUUCACAUAUUUACUACCCAUUUUACAACUUUUACAAAUAGGUCCUUUACAUGCAUUUCCAUCAAAAAUCACUUAGUAAAAGAUGUUAAACACACAUCAAAAUUUUAUAUUCCUCCAUUAAAUAUCGAAAAUACAUGCAUGUCACACAUGGGUAAGUUUUUGAACAUGAACCCUAGCUUAAAAUAAGGGUAGAAAUAACUAGAUCAUGUUUCAAAGAUCUCAAAAACAUGAAGAACAUAAAAAACAGAGCUAAGAUGUACUUACUAUUGAGCUUGAAAAGUUGAAAAACCCUAUAUAUGGAACCCUUAGGAAUUUCAGCUAUGGCAUGGAGAAGAUGAGCAAAUUUUGCUUGAUUUUUCCCUUUUUUAUUCUUUUAUUAACUAAAUGACUAAAUUGCCCUUUAAUGCCUUUCUUUUAAAUUUUCCUUAGCAUGCCUACUUUUUUCUAGAAUUUUAAAACUUGGCCAAAUUACUAUUUAAGGACCUCUAGUUAAAAAUCCAUAGCAAUUUCAUGCUUAAAGCUUCUAGAACUCAAGUUUUACAACUUAUUCAAUUUAGUCCCUAACUUCAAAUUAGACACUUUAGGCAUAAAAUUUCUUCAUGAAAAUUUUACACAAACAUGCAUUCAUAUCAUGGAUCAUCAAAUAAUCAUAAAAUAAUUAUUUCUACUUCAUAUUUUUGGUCUCGAAACCACUGUUUUAACUAGACCCUAAUUUUGGGAUGUUACAUCUUAGUUGAUUUUUGAAUGUAUUGUUGUGUGAAUUGUUGUGUUGAAGUUUCGGAUUCACAAGGACCAUCUACAAGCUAGAAAAGGCUAGUUUUAGCUUUCAGCAUUUCGGCAAAAGCGUAGUGGUAAAUCUUUAGAUUAAUUGCUUGUGGACAUGAUUUAAUGCGUUAUUUGGGAAUUUAGUGGUACUAAACCCUUACUCUAAAUUUUGAGUGUAAGCUUUCUUGUACCCAGGUUUAUCUUGUGCGAUAUGUGCUUGUGUUAUUGUGAAAUUGUGAACUAAAAUGAGAUGCUAAAUAUGUGCUAUAUAUUUAUGAUUACUAUUGUGAAAGAGUAUAUGUGUAAGCAUGUCAUACAUGCUAAGUGACAGUGAUAAUAUUGUGCAAAUGAUACAAAUGUGCAGUGAAAGUAAUAAAAAAUCGAUAAGUAAUAUGUAUGUUUAAAUACAAAUAUUUUGACCUUGUGAUACUUGAGACCAUUGGAUAUAAUUGGCAUGCCAUAAGAUUGUGAGUACUCAUCAAUAUGUUUGAUAAAUCGUAAUUCAUACAUAUUUCUAUCUCAUGCUUAGCACAUUUUAUGGAUGAUUUAUCCUUAAAUUUGGUGAAUUCGAUGCUCCUAAUGCCUUAAUUUCAUGUUUUAUACUUAGGUGAUCAUAGGAGAGUGAAAGGAACGAGAUAUGGGCCAAAAACGAAGAAAAUGGGCCAACGUACGAAAUCAACACAGCUGGUCUUCCUUACACUGGCAUACCGCACGGUCGUGUCAAUUUGGCAGAAUCGAAGCACGACUCACAGGGGUAGACCACAUGCCCGUGCCUAUUUAACAGGCUUGACCACGGCCUGAAGUAAUCGCACAUGGGCGUGUCCUUGUCGAGCACAAGCAGAGUCCUAUUCGGAAAAUGUAACACCCCUUACCCGUAUCCGUCGCCGGAACAGGGUACGAGGUAUUAACAAAUUAUAGUAUAUUCUAUUAAAUAAAACCCAACAAAAAUAUGGCGUGCAAUUUGAUCAUGAAUCAUUAUAACAUAUGCCAUUAACAAUACAAACCAAUUUCAAAGGCUUCGUACAAAAUGAUUAGUUUGAUACUAUAAGUAGUAUUUUAUACCUAGACAAUUAUGACACAUAACAAAAUAACUAAGUCUGCUAUACAUGCCAUAUUUCAAAAUGUUGAGUUCAGAUACCAAGAGUAUUGAUAGUGCGGGCGGAUCUUCAACGAUCUCUAACUCCUGUGCUAGCUGGAUGACACUAUAAGACAAAGGAGAGAAAAGAAAGUAAGCUUAUAGCUUACUAAGUAAGUAUAUAAAUAACUGAUAAGGAAUCUAAUAUGUUUACAACAUAACUCAAUUAUAUCAUAUUUUUAAUUUUUUUACUAUUUACUCCGGUUUGAUCAAAGUGUCCCUCCUGCGUCAUAAUCACUAAAUAAAUCAUAACUCGAGUUAAAAAACUCCAAAUUCAAAUCCGUAAAAUUUCCCUAAAUCUAGACUCAUAAAUAUUCUUACUAAUAUUUUCUCUAGAAUUUUUGGUUCAGCCAAUUAGUACAGUUUAUUAGUUAAAAUUUCCCCCGUUACACAGCUCAACUGAUCUGACCUCUGUUAACUACGAAUUGAAUUUCUCUUAGUACACAAUUCAAAUAACCAUGAAACCUAUUUCAUUUAAAACUAGACUCAAUAAGGAAUUUAGGAAUAUAAACUAUAUUUCUUAAUUUGUUUUGUAGAAUUUUUAAUGAUUUUUCAAAGUUGGAACAGGGGAUCAUAUAGUCAUUCUGCACAAGUCACACACAAUUGUAAAUAUCUCAAAAUAUAGAAUUCCUUUGCUUGCUCUGUUUCUUUUAUAUGAAAAUAGACUCAUUAAGAUUUAAUUUCACAUCUCAUUCAACCUCGAAUUAAAUUUCUUCUAUUUUUGAUGAUUUUUAAAAAUCACAUCACUGAUACUGUCCAAAACAGUUUUAAUGCUAAUUUCACUCUUUCACACAUUCUUUGUACUAACCUCAUUUUAACUUAUAUAUAUAUCACAAAUCAUUUUCACUACAUUUCACACAUCACAAGUAUAGGCCCAUAACUACAAUGUCACCACAAAGCCAUCCCGUUGAACAAUUUGGAUUAAUCCUCGAUACUUGACGGUUUCAGCACACAGCCCCACAAUCAUAUUUCAUUUAAUUCGGCUCUCUUGUACACAUGGUGAACACUUAGUACCACUCAUGCAACCUAGACGAUUUGUCUCGUAGCUCUCUUGUCUACAUGGUGUCCUUCACUUGGAAUCACGCAUGCGACCUAGCUACAUUUAUCUCUCACGUAGCUCUCUUGUCUACAUGGGAUACAUCCCGUAUCACACAUGUGACCUAGCUACUACAUAGUAUCUCGUAGCUUUCUUAUACACAUGAUGUGCACUCGGCACCAUACAUGUGACCUAGCUACGCCCCCUCUAUUUUAUUCGAUCUUUCCGAAUGUUCAACCGGGAUCUCUCUCUAUUACUUAUUUCCAUUCUUCCAAUAGUCGAUUUAUACUUCAACAUCAUCUAAUAUAUAUAAUAGGCUGAAAUAUAAGAAUGUAAAUGAAAUUAAUGUAUUAUUUACGUACAAACUUACCUCGGUGCAAAAUAUGGGAAUUUUGCAAUUUAGUCCAAAACUUUCUCCUUCCCCCGUUCGAGGUCGAUUCCACGCUUUUCUUGAUCUAUAACAACAUAUUUAGUUCAUUUAACAAUCGAACUAUUUAUUUUAAUUCAAAAAUCACAUUAUACAAAAAUUACAUUUUUGCCCCCUAACUUUUACAAAAUUAUGAUUUUUCCCCAAGGCUCAGAAAUUUAAUUUCAGCCCUUAUUCUUAUGUUUAAUGACCUACUGAUCAUUUUUCUCUUCUAUGGAAACAUCAAAUUCUCACUCUAACACAUAGUUAUGAAUAAUAGGUAUUUUUAUCGAUUAUGCUGUUUUGCUCGUUUUCGUUAAAAAUCGCUUAGAAAAGAUCGUUCUCCUAACUUCAAACAUUCAUAUUCUACCAUCAAACAACACAAUACAUGCCUAUCAUUCAUGGGUAAAUUUUUAAGCAUACACCCUAACUCGAAAUAAUGGUAGAAAUAAGUAAAUCGAGCUACGAAGAUUUCAAAAAUGUGAAGAACAUUAAAAACGGGGCUUGAAAUCACUUACUAUGAAGCUUGAAAAUUGAAGAAACCCUAGCUAUGGAGGAGAGAAAAUUUCGGCAGCAACUAGUGAAGAUGAUGACCAAUUUUGUGUUAUUUUUCCCAUUUUAUUUCAUUUAAUAUACAAAUUACCAAAAUGCCCUUACUACUAAACUUUCCACAAAUUCCCUCCAUGUCCAACUUUUGUCCAUAACUUAGGAAUGGGUCAAAUUGCUAUUUAAGACCUCCUAGUUAAUAUCCCAAAACAAUUUCAUACUAAAAACUUCUAAAACACAAGUUUUACAAUUUAUUCGAUUUAGUCCCUAAUCUCAACUUAAGCGCUCAAUGCAUAGAAUUUCAUCACGAAAUUUUCACGAAAUCAUGAAAUCAUAUCAUAAACCCCAAAAUAAUUAUAAAACAAUUAUUUCUAUCUCAGAUUUGUGGUCACGAAACCACUAUUCUGAUUAGGCCCUAAUUCGGGUUGUCACAAUUCUCCCCCCUUUAGAGAUUUUCGUCCCCAAAAAUCUUACCGGUAAAGAGGUUUGGGUACUGUUUCCUCAUAGCUUCCUCAGGUUCCCACGUAGCCUCUUCUAUCCCAUGUCUGUGCCACAAUACUUUCACUAAGGCUAUACUUUUAUUUCUUAACUGUUUAAUUUCUCGAGCCAAAAUCUUUAUUGGUUCCUCCUCAUAGGUCAUAUCCGGUCGAAUCUCAAUUUCUGUUGGAGAAAUCACAUGUGAAGGAUCAUAACGAUAACGUCGCAACAUUGAUACAUGAAACACGUUAUGAAUUCUUUCUAACUCUGUCGGUAAGGCCAACCGAUAUGCCACUGGCCCAAUCUUCUCACUACUUUAGCCAUUUACUUUUACUGCAAUUUAAAUUUUAUUCUAAUUUUUAUUACUAAUUCUUCUUUUUCCCUUUUUCUGACAGGUUCUUAUAGUUUAUGACUAGAAGAAACCCUUCAGGACCAUUACUUUUUGACAGUGAGAUCGAUCGCACAAUUCGCAGAAACCAAAGAGAAAUAAGGCAAAGCUUAAGAUACACAGAGAACGAGAAAGAGGACGAUAUUCAAACCACAACUAACGAGAUGGCUGAAAAUCAAGAAAACCUGAUACCUCCUGCGAUUGCUGUUAAUCUAAUAAAUCAGAAUCCUGCUUCGCGCACUAUGUAUGAUUAUGCUUAACCGUCUUUAACAGGAACUGAAUCGAGCAUAGUUAGGCCUGCUGUAGCUGCAAAUACUUUUGAACUGAAACUUAACACAAUUCAAAUGAUAUAGCAAUUUGUUUAGUUUGAUGGUUUACAGGACGAGGAUCCCAACGCUCACUUAGCAAACUUUUUAGAACUAUGUGAUACAUUUAAAAUUAAUGGCAUUUCUGAUGAUGCCAUUCGCCUUCGGUUAUUCCCUUUUUCAUUAAAAACAAAGCUAAACAGUGGUUGAAUUCUUUACUGCGGGGGUCAAUCACUACUUGGGAACAAAUGACUGAAAAGUUCUUAUUAAAAUAUUUUUCGCUGGCUAAAAUGGCUAAAUUACGUAAUUAUAUCUCUUCUUUUGUACAAAUGGAUUUAGAAACACUCUACGAUGCAUGGGAGAGAUAUAAGGACCUUUUGCUAAGAUGCCCUCACCAUGGGUUACCACUCUGGCUAUAGGUUCAAACUUUUCAUAAUGGCCUAAAUCCUUCGACUCGACAAAUGGUUGACGCAGCUGCUGGUGGAACCAUCAAUAAUAAAACAGCUGAUGAUGCCUAUGAAUUUAAUCCAAGGUAGCCUGCCAAGCAACACUGAAUCUAAUCCAAGGAAGCAACUCAACGCAAUUUCCAUUCAAGAUGAGGAAGGGCUAGUGGCAAAACCAAGGCCAGAACUAGUGGUAAGCGAAGGUAAGAAUGAGGUAGGCCAAAACGAACAAAAAUCGGUAAGUCCAGAAUAUAAACUCGUGUGCUAUACCCCAAUGCGACAAGGAAAGACCGCUCAGGUGAAAAUUUUGGUAAAUUCCUUAAACUUUUAAAGAAACUACAUAAUAACUUACCGUUUAUUGAAGCACUUUCACAGAUGCCAAACACAAUCAAAUUGUUAAAGGAGCUUCUGGCAAAUAAACGAAAGUUAGAUGAAAGGUCGCAUGUGGAGCUGAACGCUGUUUGCUCAUCCAUUCUUCAGAAUAAGCUACCCAACAAACUAAAAGAUCCAAGGAGUUUUACGAUUCCUUAUUUAGUUGGUAGUUUAGAUGUUAAUAAUGCGUUGGCUGAUCUAAGGGCUAGUAUCAAUGUUAUGCCUUACAAAUUGUUUAAGCAACUAGGUCUAGGGAAACCCAAACAAACUAGGAUGAGCAUUCAAUUAGCAGAUAAAACUGUCAGAUUUCCUAGGGGUAUUAUUGAAGACGUACUCGUUAAAAUUGACAAAUUUAUAUUCCCAUUUGAUUUUUUUUGUUUUAGACAUAGAAGAGGAUAGUAACGUUCCUUUAAUUUUGGGAAAGCCCUUUUUAGCAACUGUUAGAACAAUUAUUGACGUUGGCAUAGGUGAACUCACACUUCGUGUAGGAGACGAAACAAUCACCCUUCAAGCUCGCAACCCGAACAACACAUCAAAAAUUGAAGGUAAUUGUACAAAUUGUUCCAGUAAGACUGAUCAUAAGUUCGAAGGACACACAUGAGCCAUGUUCAAUCCACAACAAAGAAUCUACCCAUGAAGAACGAAGGUUACGAAUCAAGGAGUUAGAUGAAUGGCUAACAUUUAAACUGAGAAAACACGAUAAACUAAAACUACGUCAGAAUGAGUGCCUCACCAAAUUAACUUAAGGUUGGAGAUAAAGUUUCAUUAGAUGCCGCAGAUCCUCAUUGACACUGCCAAACCGAAUGAAGAAAUUCCUCUUACGGUACUUAGCAUUUUCCCAUUUGGUACAGUCGAGGUAAGUCAUCCCAAAUUCGGCACCUUCGGCACCUUUAAGGUAAACAAUACCCGCCUAAAACCUUAUUUUGAUGGGAUUCAUAGCAGGAAUGAGGAAUAUAAACUCCUCGAACCACCAUGACCAUUCACCAGAAAGGUAAGUCGAGCUUAGACUAUAAAUAAAUGCUUCUCGGGAGGUAACCUGAGCACUAAAAAUAUUAAUUUCUUUAAAUUUUAGUUUUAACAUCUAACAUACUAACCGACUCAUGGAACGUAGGCUUUCUAAAGCACACACGGCCAGGCACACGGGCGUGCCUUAGGCCGUGUGAAAAUAGGGUGAAAUUUUCCCCAACACGGGAUGUGAUAAGUCACCACGACGUGCAUUAGGACCGUGGGCGAAUCUGCCAAAACAAUGCGGGUGUGUGACACGCCAGUGUCAUAGAAACGUGGUUAAACCUGAGAAAAUAGCACGGGCAUUCGCCAUGCCCGUGUCUAAAACCCGUGGCCGAACUUUUCAAAUUAACAUCGGCGUGGGCCUACAUACACAGGCUUGGGAGAAGCGAUCGAAGACAGACACGGCCGUGUGCACCCACAUGCCCAAGGAACACGGGCAUGGGCCAAAUGUCAGACGCGCCCAAACUCAAAAUUCACGAAUCACACGGGCAAAAAUUGGGGAACACGGGCGUGUCCUCUGGCUGUGUGUCUCAAAAUCUAUAAAUACCCUUCACUAUUCAUCAUCUUCUUCACCCAAAAUCCCUAACCCUAGCCGCUGCAAGUCCACAUGGCCUCUCUGCCAUGGCCAUGCGCCGCAUCCAACUCCAUUUUCGACACCCAUUCUCAUCCUUUUAGCAUUAGUUUACUCUUUUCUCUCUAUUUCCUUCAUCCCUUUUAAUAAUUCUAUGAUUCUUAUGGUUUUAUUUGGCAUAUUUUUUAUUUUUUUUCAUAGUUCUCACUAUAGUCAUGCUUAUCGUUUAUUCUUUGCCAUUUUAGUCAAUGCUUUCUGAUACAUUCAUUCUUUUCGUGUGUUCCCAUAAGAGUCUAGUUCAGUCAUUUUAUUUUGAAAAUAAUCAUGCUUUUAUUAUGUCAAUUGCUAUAUAAACUUCUAUCAUUUAGAUUAAACUACUGAGUAUUAUUGGUUGGACUGGUUAGUUUAACUAUAUUCAUGAUUACUUCUUAAGUUAAUUAUUUAUGUUAUAUUCUUUGUUCUUCUUGCAGGUAUACCAUCACAAGCUCACGUGGUAAGAAAACUGUCAUUCCCGCUUCGAAAAAGUAGAAAGAGGCGUCUUCCUCAGGCCCUACCGCGGAAAUUCACCACCCAUACCUCCAAUUUCCACCCGACAAUUAGGAGGAACUAUUCCAAAUUCUACGGGCCCAACCUUUAGGUGUGGGCCACUGCAUUGACUGGACAGUGCUUGAACAAGUCCAGUUGGCUGACAAUGUACGAGCACUCCUGACAACCGACCCAUGAGACCUCUUCUUUGCGAUCAUCGAGCCGACGUACCUUAAGCUCACACUUGAACUUUGCUCGACAUUCCAUGUUCAAGACGUCAUGACCAACUUUGAUGAUCCUGGAAUAGUCUAGUUCCGUCUCUGCGGUUUAGUCCGCUAGUUGAAUGUGCCCGAGUUGGGUAUAGCUUUGGGCUUGUACACAGAAGAGUUUAUGGAUUAGAACGACCUUGACACUCUCUGUCGCCAUAUUCACUACUUUUCCUCGAAGUGCUGGUAUGCUUUGGUCCCCAGUUCAGCCACUUACUACCCAAGCCACUCCAAGGCAUCGGCUCUCUCUCCCUCCUUGCGGUACCUACAUGCCAUCUUGGCACACACUUUAACAGGACGUCAAGAGAGCACCGGUAUCGUCAACACUCACAAUGCUUACUUUCUAUGGAGCAUGGCGAAUGGGCAUGUACUCGACCUCGCCUAUUUUAUUACCCUCGCCAUUCGCCACCAGACGGAGCGACAUCGAAGGGGGGUCAUCUCGACUGGCCCCUACGUGACUCGACUGGCACGGCACUUCGGGCUCCUCAACACAGCAGGCCAAUCAUCCUCCCUUACUCUUAUUGGCCAGAUGUCCCCACAAGGCAUCUCGAGCAUGUUCAGUAUGAGGAUGAUCAAGAAGCCCCGAAUAACCCACCCUCCUUAGUAUCGCCUCUCCCAAUCAGUCGAGGAGGGAGACCUUGAGAAUAUUACUGAUGAUGUCCCUCCACGUCAUGAGGACCUACCGUCUCAGCCACCACCACCCUCUCAUCCAGUUCAUACGGCGACUUCGUACGCUGACAUCUCUGAGCGCCUUACCCGAUUGAAGCAACAGUGUUUUCAGUGGUUCGAUAAUAUUGACGCUACUUUACAGCAAAUUUUUCAACACUUCCAGAUCUCAUCGCCACCCCCACCUCGAUAAAUAUUUAUAAUGAAGAUCAAACCUAGACUAACUAUUAUCACGAUGAAAAAGCAAGUACACCUAUCGAACAAUAGUAUAGUAAUGGCAAGACCGGAUAUCGUACCUAAGGGAACCAAAAGUACUAGUAAUAACUAUCUUUUUAUUAUCUAACCUAGAAAUAAAGAGGGGUUGUUUAUUAAACUAAUUAACUAAACUAAUUAACUAAUUAAACUAAAGUAAAGAGAAGAGUUGGAAAAAGACUUGAAGAAAAUUAAUUUGAUAAAAACGACACCCAAGGAGGAAUCCACCUAGAUUUCACUUGUUAUCUGACUCUAAACCAGAAGAUUUAUUCACUUGACUUGAUCCGUGAGACUCCCUAACCUAUGUUAUUAUCUCUUUCGAGACUAAUAAUAUCUAACCCUCGGUUUAAUUAAUCAAAAUUUCAUUCUUAAUUAAAACCCUUAGGGAAGCAGUAAAUCGAUCUAUGGACUCCCAUAUUAGGUUUCACCCUAAUCUGGCAAAAUCUCGUAACCCUAUUUCUAGGCGUUCGAUCAACUCCGCUUAAUUAUGCCAAAUCUACUCUUAGACAGGGACUUUUGCUCCUCUGCAUAAGCACAUCAAAUCAUGAAUUAAUACCUGGAAUAUUAACUCAAGCAUUAAGACACAUAAUUAAGAACAAGUCAAGUAUUUAUCAUAUAGUUCAGAUAAUAAUAACAAGAUCCAUCAUAGGUUUCAACCCCCUUAGGUAUCUAAGGGGUUUAGUUCAUAAUAAGAUAAGAGUACAUCUCAAAAGUAUGAAAAUAACAAAACAUAAAGAAAGCUCUAAAACCCCUGAAGGAAUUUUGAGAGAGAUCUUCAGUCUUGAAGUAGCUCCGGCUUUUGGGGUGGAUCGUCUGGCUUCCUUCAAGUAAUUCCUAGCGUGUGGUUCUGUAUUCCAGAGAAGUUCUGGAAGAGGGCCCCUUUCUAAGUCAUACUUAGGGUGUUUAUAUAGGCUUUGGAUUGGCUUUCUUCCUCCCUAAGUAUCAUUUUUCGUGUAAAAUACAACUCUUUGAGAAAAGGGACACGCCCGUGUGCCACGGCCGUGUGACGUGAUUACCACGUCGUGUUUGAUCCAUUAAUUUUCACAUGACCGUGUGGGUCAAUGGCCAGGCCAUGCGAAUCGUGAAAGCCCUUGGCCGACACCCUCGAAAGACACGAGUAUGUGAGCAGUUCGUGUGGAAAGGCUUAGGCCGUGUCAUCUUCUCGAUUUGGUCUGUUUUGUCCCUUUUUUAGCUCAUUUUUGGCUCCUUUUGACUCUUGGUGCUCUCGUAAGUACAAAACAUGAAAUAACCGAACUAAGAGUUCCAAAAUCCAAAAAUCUAGUGAUAAACAUCCAUAAAUAUGCUAAGUAUUUGGGGUAAAAAUAUGUAUAAUUUGGCAUUUAUCAAAUACACCCACACUUAAGCAUUUGCUUGUCCUCAAGCAAAACUUUCAUUUAUUGCUAUAAUUCCUUCCUUUCAAUCACACAAUCAUUACUGAUAAUGUUACAAACUAUUCCAUGGAAAAUCAUACAGUGAGAAUUCAACCAUAGGGGCAUUAAAAGCCUCAAACAAUCUAAAUCGAAUAUUUUGAUAAUAAAAUUAUAGGUAAUCUCCUUCCUCUAAGUAAUUGGCUUUAGUCCUAAAUAUACAAAAGAUGACAUCCUCACUAGCGAUCCACUCAAAUCACUCAAAGUGUUUAAAGUUUAAGAUUAAGCACUCGGUUGUCUAACAUGAGAAGUUAUUACCAUAGGCUUGCAUGAAAAUCAAAUCUCCACCACUUGUAAAUGAUAUGAUACACAAAUCAAAAGGUCUUUGUAUAGUUGUAACAGGGUUUAAGGGACGGGUAUAGAUACAAACUGAAGAGACAAAGGUUAAAAUCGAGAUAAUUUCAAUAUAUUACCCCACUAUCAAAAACUUAAUUAUUGAAUCACAAACAAAUAUCUAGAACUAUAUUACAUGAGCUCAUGACAACUUUAGCUUGCUGAGGAUUACAAUAACAAUACUGAGAGUUUUUUUUUGGUUUCAAGAACAAAACAAGUCAAUACAAUAUAAAAAUCAUACUUCAUGAUUCAGUAACAAAAAAUGGUGAACAUAGUGAGGUAACAAUAUUAAAUUUAAUCUCGAUAAAAAAAGUAAAUUAAUUAAGAGGAUUUCAACAAUAAUGGGUUAAUGGGUUAAUGAUAAGGGUUAAUCAAUAAAAAAGUUUAGUAGGCUCAAAAGAGGUUCACUAAGGGUUUAAUUAUGUGGGAAGGCUUUUUAUGGAAUAAGUGGGUUAAAUCCUAAGUGCCUUUAUCAUCUCAGUAUAUCAAAUCAUACGUGUGAUCUCGACAUGUAUAAUUGAAGAAAGUUCUAGAAUAACAGUUCAAUGUUGACACACUCAAACCACAAAAUAAGUGAGCAAGAAAGAAAGCUUAUAUGCUCAAAAAGCUCAAAAAUCUCACGAAAAAUUUGGGUUUGUGAUGUCAUUCCUGUAUACUUAAGAUUUCAAGAUAAUACCUCAAUUUAGGAAAGUAGUCUAAAAAUUUUAGUUAUCAAAAUAUCAACUUAUCAUGCUCAAUUCUCUAAUGUCCUAUAAUCAAAUGAUCAUGCAUAAUUCCCAUGAUCUAAUUCAUGACAUAUCAACAAUAAUUAUAGAUCAAUCAGAAUUCAUUCGAUUAAGAUUAUGAGAAAAUCACUUAAGCACAAAACCAAAUUCAGGGAUUUGAGAAUAAUGCAAAAAGUUAGGUUUCAUGUUCAUGUUCACCCCCCACACUUAAGAUGUACAUUGCCCUCAAUGUACAAAGAUAGAUUAAUCAAAAUAAAGAAAGUCAUAAGAGGGAAAGAGGUGAAACUCCCUGUUAUAUGGAUGCAGAGGUUGAUUCUGAGGCUGGAGUGUUUGGGGAAAGUGGUAGCUGCCACUGUUCUUGGCUAGAUGAAGAAAUUGGGUCAUUGAACAUGGCACUCGUUGGGUAUUGUCCCUAUUUGUUUCCUCAGUUCGUAAAAUAUUCCUAGCAACUUUGCUUGGAAUUCUGUAGAAUCAUGAAGAGCUUAUUAAGAGUUGGUGUGGAAGAGAGCGUAGUAGGAUUACUUGUUAGAAAUACCAGAAAAAAAUGAAGAAAGUAAAAUUUACUAAUAUAGAUAUGUCUUUCAAAAGAAAAUAAUAAGAUUGAAAUGAAAAUAAAAAAAGAAAAAGAAAAAUAGAGAUAAAAAUAAAAAGAUAGAAGGAUUCAAUGAUCCUCAUCAGUGGGGCCCUCAGUUGGUGGCGCUGGAGUGGCAAUGUGAAAGUGCUGGCACAGCUACUGCAUCAUGGCUUGCAUGUCGUCCAUCUGUCUAUCACAUCGCCGAUCUCGCUCGUGAAUCAUCUCGAACUGUUACUGCUCAAAGUGAGCGAGUCGGUCAGAAAGGUGUGCCAAUGAAAAAGCCGCAUGAACUGGUCGUUCCCCAGAUAGCGUGAUAGGAGGCUCCUCGUGCUGUGGUGGGACAUCAUCAGGAAUGUCCUCAAGAUCCUCCUCAUCAAUGGCAUGAGUGAGACGGUACUGAAGAGGAUCGGUCCCACGUCGGCGCUCAAUCAUCCUUAUGUGUAACAUAGUAGUGAUGCCCUGUGGGGACAUCUGACCUAUCAGUGUAAACGCUGAUGACUGGACCACAGUGUUGAGGAGGCCGAAGUGUCUGGCAAGGUGCGUCACGUAGGGGCCGAUAGAGAUUACUCCCUUCCAAUGCCGCUCGGUCAGAUGGCGAAUGGCGAAAGUAAUGAAAUAUGCCAAGUCAGUCACAUGUGCAUUCGCCAUGCACAAUAAAUAGUAGGCGUCGUGGGUGGUGACAACGCCGAUGCUCUCUCUCCUUCUGGUCAAAGUGUGUACCAAUAUGGCAUGGAGAUAUCGUAGGGAAGGGGGAGAGCUGAGGCCUUCGAGCGGCUGCGGUCAUAAGUGGAAGAGAGUGGUGCCAAAACCUUCCAGCACAAGAAGGGAGAAAUAUGGAUAUUGCGUGGUAGUGCAUUCAUGUCCUCCUCCUCCAUAAACUCAUCAACGUAAAUUCCCAAAGCAACUCCAAACUCUGGGACACUCAUCGCGUGAACUAGACCGCCUAAUCGGAAGUGAAUGGUGCCGGGGUUAUCAUUGUUCGUCAUCACCACCUGUAAAUGAAAAGUAGAGCAUAAUUCUAAAGUUAGCUCUAAAUAAGUGGGCUUGAUAAUAGCGAAGAACCGUUCCUAUAGGUCUAUGGACAGGAGGGCGUGGAUGGCAACAGCUAGCUGGACUUACUCUACGGCAGCCCAGUGAUGCAGAGACCUGUAGAGAAGGGUCGUGCGCGUAGUAUCUGAAAUAGCUCCUCCUGCGAAGCUUGUGGAAAUUUAAGGAAUGGGUGCCGAAAUUCAACUGUAGCACGUACCGAGGAAUAACCCGAUCCCCUAUGUCUCUUUGAGGAUGGGACCGCGACCUUCUUACCUCUCGAUGAUGACAUAAGGUACCAGAAAAUGUAGGAGCAUUGAUAUAGUAGUUUCAAGAUGUGGUAACAUUUAUCGAUAUCAAGCGAGAGGUGAAAAUUUUAUAUGAUUAUUCAAAAACAUAUACUGAGAUAAAAAAUGCAUGAUCGGUUAAGCAAGAAUCCUAGAACUAGUAUAUGCUAUUUAGUAGCUUAAAAAAUUUAAAUAUAGAAAAUACUAAAGCAAAUUCUUAACUUAUUCAGAACAAAUUGGUAACAGAAACAAUAUCUUUGUAAGGCAUAUAGAACACUAAUGUAGUAACACAAAUUGGAAAAACAAGGUUGACAAAGUGAACCAAAAUUGCUGUAAGGCGGCGCACGAGUGUGUUGAUGGCGAGCACGGGCGUGGGGCGUGAGUGUACAGUCGUGUGGAGGAAAAAUAGAGGGAAAAGUGAGGAUUGAUGCAGGGGGAGUGGAUUUGAGGGUGGUUUGGGGGUUGGGGAAGUGAGAAUCUAGGGAAUGGUGGUCGGAAUAAGGAUUAGGGAGUGGAGAAGGAUAGAUUUCAACUGGGGUUUUGAAAGAAGGAAGAAGAUGAACAGUGGUUUGCUUAUAUAAGGGAGAGUCACAAGGCCUAGGGCCACACCCGUGUACUCUGAGGGUGAGCCCGUGUUUUUCAAAUUUUACGAUUUAGGUCGUGCCCAGCUACUAUCCCACGCAUGUGUGUCUUGGGCGUGUGUGGCACAUGGCCAUGUCGCACGCCCGUGCCUAGCUUUGUUACCAUACCCGUGUAUUGUUGUCCACAGCUUAAAGGCAUAGGCGUGCCUCACACCCGUGUCAAAGAAACAGAAUCGAGCCUUGCCCUUGGCACGUCCGUGUUGUUUCAUUCCCACGCCCGAGUUCACCUAUGAAGUUCAUCCACGGCCAUUUCGCACAGCUGUGGGGAGUUUUUGCAUCCCGUGUUUGGGGAAAUCAUGUCCUGCUUUCACACGGCCGUAUAGCACGGCCGUGUCUCUUCCCCUGUUUUCCACGGCUUUAGACACUCCCGUGUUCCUGGCCGUGUGUGCUGAAAAACUUUGCUAUUCAAAGAUAAAGUUAAUGAUUUAACUUGUUAGAAUUUAAAAAUAAAGAAAUCAAAAUAUGUUAGUGCUCGGGUUGCCUCCUAAGAAGUGCUUAUUUAUAGUCUAAGCUCGACUUACCUCUCUAGUGAAUGGUCAGGGUGGUUCGAGGAGUUUAUACUCCUCAUUCCUGCUAUCAACCUCAUCAAAAUAGGGUUUUAAUCGGGUGUUGUUUACCUGAAAAGUGCCAAACUUUCGGUGAUUCACCUCCACCGUAUGGAAUGGAAAUAUACUGAGUACCGUAAGAGGGAUUUCCUCAUGCGGUGUGGUAGUGACAAUGUGGGGAUCUGCGGCAUCUAGUAAGACUUUAUCGCCAACCUUAAGUUGAUUAGGAGAGGUAUUGGGCUUGUUUUGGCGUAGUUUCGAUUUAUCAUGUGUUCUCGAUUUGUGUGCUCACCAUUCAUCUAUCUCCUCUAUCCGUAGGCUUCGUUCUUCAUGAACGUAUCCUUUAUCAUUUCCAGAACAUGGCUCAUGAAUGUCUUUGAAGCUCAAUUUCUACAAAGUCAUAUUGUCAAUUUUAGUAUAUUGGUGUGGACUAUUACCUUCAAUGUUCGAUGUAAUGUCAGAAUUAUGAGCUUUAAAGGUGAUCGUUUCAUCUCCCACACAAAGUGUAAGUUCACCUGUGCCAACAUCAAUAAUUGUUUUAGCAAUUGCUAAAAAGGGCCUCCCUAAAAUCAAAGGGGUGUUAUUAUCCUCCUCUAUGUCUAGAACAAUGAAAUCAAUGAGGAAUAUGAACUUAUAUCCUUUCACGAGUACAUCUUUAAUAAUACCCCUAGGAAAUCUUAUAGUUUUAUUUGCCAAUUGAAUGCUCAUCCUAGUUUGUUUAGGUUUCCCAAGAGCAAGUUGUUUAAACAUUUUGUAAGGCGUGACGUUAAUACUAGUCCCUAAAUCAGCUAAUGCAUGACUUAUAUCUAAACUACCAAUUAAACAAGGAAUUGUAAAACUCCCUGGAUCUUUCAAUUUGUGGGGUAGCUUAUUCUGUAGAAUAGCUGAGCAGACUGCGUUUAGCUCCACAUGUGAUGCUUCGUCCAACUUUCGCUUAUUUACUAAAAGCUCUUUCAAAAAUUUCAUUGCAUUUGGCAUUUGCGAAAAAGCUUCAAUAAACGGUAAGUUAAUAUGUAAUUUUUUCAAAAGUUUGAGGAAUUUACCGAAUUGUUCGUCCUUGUCACGUUAGUGUAUGGCACACGAGGUUCAUAUUUGACAGUCACUGGUUUGUUUGUAUUUUGAUCUACCUCAUCUCUCCUUUUUCUUACCACUGUUUCUUGCCUUGGUUCUAUUUUAGGCUCCACGACUCCUUCGUUAUUCUGGAUAUUAAUUGCGUUGAGCUAUUCCUGUGGGUUGGGUUCAGUGUUACUUGGUAAGCUACCUUGUGGUCGUUCGGAGAUUAGUUUGGAUAGUUAGCCUAUCUAAGUUUUGAGCCCUUGGAUCGAUGCUUGUUGAUUCUUAAGUGUUGUCUCGGUAUUUUGGAAACGGGCGUCUGACACUGAUAUGAAUUUUGAGAGCAUCUCUUCAAGGUUCAGUUUCUUCUCUUGUUGAUAAGGUGGCUGUUGAAAACCCUGAGGAUUUUGUGGCUUUUGAUUUCCUUGACCACCCUAGGAGAAAUUUGGGUGGUUCCUCCAACCUACAUUAUAAGUAUUACAGUAUGGGUUAUUUUGCGAUCUGAAGUUAUUGUUACCCAUAUAGUUGACUUGUUCCUCUUCGGUUAUGAGAUUGAAGGAUUGAUAUUCUGUAUGCACACCUCCUCCACUUGAGUCACACCUCAUUACUGGAUGUACCUACGUAGAACUAAGAAAACCAUCAAUCUUUUUAUUGAGAAGUUCUACCUGAUUUGACAGCAUAACAAUUGAGUCGACGUUAAAAACACCGACUAUUUUCGUUGGCUUAGUCCUCAUGACUUGCCACUGAUAAUUAUUCAGUGACAUCUCCUCUAUAAACUCAUAGGCAUCUUCCAGUGUUUUAUUGUUGAUGGUUCCGCCAGCAGCUGCGUCAACCAUUUGCCAAGUCGAAGGAUUCAGACCAUUGUGAAAUGUUUGUACUUGCAGCCAAAGUGGUAACCUAUGAUGAGGGCACCUUCUCAGUAAGUCCUUGUAUCUCUCCCAUGCAUCGUAAAGUGUUUCUAAAUCCAUCUGCACAAAAGAAGAGAUAUCAUUACUAAUUUAGCCAUUUUAGCCGGCGGAAAAUAUUUUAGUAAAAAUUUCUCGGUCAUUUGUUCCCAAGUAGUAAUUGACCCUCGUGGUAACGAGUUCAACCACUGUUUAGCUUUGUUCCUCAAUGAAAAAGGUAAUAACCAAAGACGAAUGGCAUCAUCAGAGACGCCAUUGAUUUUGAAUGUAUCGCAAAAUUCCAGGAAAUUUGCUAAGUGAGCGUUGGGAUCUUCAUCCUACAGACCAUCAAACUGAAAAAACUGCUGUAUCAUCUGAAUAGUGUUAGAUUUUAAUUCAAAAUUAUUUGCAGCUACAGCAGGUCUAACUAUGCUAGAUUCAGUUCCUGUUAGAAAAGGUUUAGCAUAAUCAUACAUAGUACGUGGAGCAGGAUUUUGAUUAGCUGUAAUUGCAGGAGGUAGCUGAUUGUCUUGGCUUUCAGCCAUCUCUUCAGUUGGGGGUUGAGUAUUGUCUUUUUGCUCGUUCUCCGUGUAUCUUAAGCUGCGCCUUAUUUCUCUUUGAUUUCUACGAACUGUACGAUCGAUUUCUUCGUCAAAAAGUAAUGGUCCCGACAGGUUUCUUCUAGUCAUAAACUAUAAAAACCUGCCAAGAGAAAGAAAAACUAACUUAAUAAAUAAUAAUAAUAAAAUUAAAUUGCAAGAAAAAUAAAUGGCUAAAGUAAUAAAAAUUUAGCAUUCCUAAUAUUUUAGUUCCCUAGCAACGGCGCCAAAAACUUGACCGCGUGAUUCGUAACAAUUAAUAAAUAUUUAUAAUGAAGAUCAAACCUAGACUAAAUAUUAUCACGACGAAAAGGCAAGCGCACCCAUCGAACAAUAGUAUAGUAAUUGCAAGAUCGGGAUAUUGUACCCAAGGGAACCAAAAGUACUAGUAAUAACUAUCUUUUUAUUAUCUAACCUAGAAAUAAAGAGGGGUUGUUUAUUAAACUAAUUAACUAAACUAAUUAACUAAUUAAACUAAAGUAAAGAGAAGAGUUGGAAAAAGACUUGAAGAAAAUUAAUUUUAUAAAGACGACACCUAAGGAGGAAUCCACCUAGAUUUCACUUGUUAUCUGACUCUGAACCAGAUGAUUUAUUCACUUGACUAGAUCCGUGAGACUCCCUAACCUAUGUUAUUAUCCCUUUCGAGACUAAUAGCGUCUAACCCUCAGUUGAAUUAAUCGAAAUUUCUUUCUUAAUUAAAACCCUUAGGGAAGCAGUAAAUCGAUCUAUGAACUCUCAUAUUAGGUUUCAACCUAAUCCGGCAAAAUCUCGUACCCCUAUUUCUAGGCGUUCGAUCAACUCUGCUUAAUUAUGCCAAAUCUACUCUUAGACAGGGACUUUUGCUCCUCUACAUAAGCACAUCAAAUCAUGAAUUAAUACCCGAAAUAUUAACUCAAGCAUUAAGACACAUAAUUAAGAACAAAUCAAGUAUUUAUCAUACAGUUUAGAUAAUAAUACAAGAUCCAUCAUAGGUUUCGACACCCUUAGGUAUCUAAGGGGUUUAGUUCAUAAUAAGAUAAGAGUACAUCUUAAAAGUAUGAAAAUAACAAAACAUAAAGAAAACUCUAAAACCCUUGAAGGAAUUUUGACAGAGAUCUUCAGUCUUGGAGUAGCUCCGGCUUUUAGGAUGGAUCGUCUGGCUUCCUUCAAGUAAUUCCUGGCAUGUGGUUCUAUAUUCCAGAGAAGUUCUGGAAGAGGGCCCCUUUCUAAGUCAUCUUAGGGUGUUUAUAUAGGCUUUGGAUUGGCUUUCUUCCUCCCUAAGUAUCCUUUUCCGUGUAAAAUACAACUCUUUGAGAAAAGGGACACGCCCAUGUGCCACGGCCGUGUGACGUGAUUACCAAGCCGUGUGAAUCGUGAAAGCCCUUGGUCAACACCCUCGAAAGACACGGGCGUGUGAGCAACCCGUGUGGAAAGGCUUAGGCCUUGUCAUCUUCUCGAUUUGGUCCGUUUUGUCUGUAAUAUCCCGAAUUAGGGCCUAAUCAGAAUAGUGGUUUCGUGACCAUAAGUCCGAGAUAGAAAUAAUUAUUUUAUAAUUAUUUUGAGGUUUAUGAUAUGAUUGCAUGAUUGUGUGAAAGUUUCGUGAUGAAAUUCUAUGCCUAAAGUGCUUAAAUUAAAAGUAGGGACUAAAUCGAAUAAGUUGCAAAACUUGCAUUCUAGAAGUUUUUAGUAUGAAAUUGUUUUGGAAUAUUAAUGAGGAGGUCUUAAAUAGCAAUUUGACCAAUUUUAAGUUCAUGGACAAAAUUAGGACAUGGAAGGAAUUUUUGAAAAGUUUAGUAGUAAGGGUAUUUUGGUCAUUUAGUUAUUAAAAUGAAUUAAAAAAAAAUUAAAAGCCAAUUUUUGUCCAUCUUCUUCAUUAGGCCGAAAUUUCAAGGGUUCUCCAUAGCUAGGGUUUGUUUCAAGCUUCCAAGCUCCAUAGUAAGUGAUUCCAAGCCCCAUCUUUAAUGAUUUUUACGUUUUUGAGAUCCCGGUAACUCGAUAAAGCUUAUGUUAGCAAUAAUUUAACCUAGGGUUUAUAUUUGGAAAAAUAUCCAUAGGUGAAAUUUGUGUAUUUUGAUGUUUUAUGAUAGAAUAUGAAGUUUUAAAUUAUGUUAGACAACUUGUACUACUCGAUUUUAAGCAAAAACGAGUAAAAGGGCUUAAUCGGUAAAAAUACCUAAUAGUCACAAGUACAUGUUAGAGUGAGAAUUUGAUGUUUCCAUAGAAGAGAAAAGUGAUCAGCAUGUUGUAAAACAUAAGAAUAAGGAAUAAAGUUUAAUCCCGAGCCUAGGGGCAAAAAUGUAAAUAUGCAAAAGUUUUUGUAAUUUUGCCAAAAUUUGAGUUAAGGAUUAAUUUGAUAAUGUGAGUAUUAAAUAAGCUAAAUGUGUUAUUUUAGAUCAAGAAAGACGUGGAAUCGACCUCAAUCGAGGAAAAGAAAAGAUUGUGGACUAAAUUGCAAAAUCUUUGUAUUUUGGUACCAAGGUAAGUUCAUGUGUAAAUAAUGUAGCAUAAUGGUUAUUUUUAAGUUAUUGAUGUUAAUUAUAUGUUAUGCUGAAUUUUAUUAUGAAAUGUAUGCUUUGUGGUUAAUUUCAAAUAAUAUGUAAAUUAUGUGAACUACUUGUUAAAUAUAAUUGUUACCGAGUAUUGAUUUCGGCAUUCUACGGAAGACGGAAAGGAUAAGUGUUCGAGGAAAAAAGCCAGUUUGAACCUUAGGAAUAGAUUAGGACACAAGUGACAUGUCACUAGGAUGGUUGAGCAUCCGAACUCGUUGAGUUGAGUCCGAGUUCACUUAUGGAUGCGAAUGUCCGAACUCGUUGAGUUGAGUCCGAGUUCGUGAGAUGUAACUAGGCAUCCGAACUCGUUGAGUUGAGUCCGAGUUCACUUAUGGAUGUGAACGCCCGAGCUCGUUGAGUUGAGUCCGUGUUCGCUUAUGGGCGGGUUACAUGAUUGCUUGAUUGCAUAUAUGGCACUUAUGUGCAAGUUAUCCAUGUAUCCGAAUUAUAUUCCGAUGUGUUCAACGGGUAAAGUUCUACUGAAAUGGAGGAAUAUUCGAGAUGUAAGGAGACGUAUUGGUAAGUGAUGUGAAAUGGAUAUUUUGGACAGGUAUGUAUUUAACCCUCGGGUUGAGUAUUGAUACAACCACGAUAAGGUAAUAAGAUGAUGAAAAAUGAUUAAAAAUGUGAUAUGUGUUUUAGUGAUACAUGCUAAUGUUGAUUGGUAUGACUGUUUGUUAUGUUACUUAUUAUUUGCAUAUGAACUUACUAAGCAUUUAUGCUUACUCUCUCCUUCUUACUCAUUGUAGUUUUGGACAAGCCAGCUCAAGAGUCGGGAUAGGUCGAAGGCUCAGUCACACUAUCCGGAAGACUUUUGGUAAUGGCUUGUAAAUUUAAGUAUGGCAUGUAUAGCAAUAUACCUUUUUUGUGUAAAUGAUCUUAUGGUAUGGUGAUGGAAUGGUUGAGGAAAUGCUUGAUAAUGAUAAAUUAUGAAAAUAGUUAGUUUAGAUUAUAUUUGAUGUUAAGGAAAAUUAUUAAGAUACUUAGUGCAUAAAAACUCAUAUAAGGGAUGAAAUUUGCCAUAAACAGAAUACUGCAGCAACACUGAUGCGAGUUUAAAAAUAUACUAAAAAUCAGAGAAAUUGAACUUGGUGAUGUACUACAUAUCAAAUUGAAGCUUAUUAUGUCUAGUUUCACAUGAAACAAAUGAAACAGGUAAAGGAAUUAUAUGUUACAAGAUAUUUGAAUUUUAGUGAAACAGGGUCAUAGCAGUUUCUGAUUCCCCUAUUCCAACUUUAGAAAUUCACCAUAAAUUUUAAAGAUAUAAUUAGGUAGUGUAUUUUAUAUUCUCAGAAUCCUUAUUGAGUCUAGUUUCAGUAGAAACAAACCUCAUAGUCAUAUCGAUUUUUUACAGAGAUAAAUAUGGUUUGUAGUAAACAGAGGUCAGACCAGUCAAGUCCUGAAACAGGGGUAAUUUUAACUAAUAAAAUGUACUAAUUUACCCAACCAAAAAUUCUAUAAAAAAACUAGUAGAUAGGUAUAUGAGUCUAGAUUUAGGGAAAAUUUACGGAUCUUAAUUUCGAGUUUCAUAACUCGAGAUAUGAUUUUUCUUGUGACUGUGAUGCAAGUAGCUUAAAAGCUGUGAAUGUAGAAAUAAAUAAUCCAAAGUUCUAAAUAUGUUAAAUUAAGCUUAGUAACACCUCAUACUCGACUCCGGCGACAGUCUCGGGCGUGGGGGCGUUACAUUGUCCCUUUAUUUUAUGUUUUUAUUUUUAUUCUAUUUUAAGACUACUUUUUCUUUUUACUUUAAGCUUAUUUCUAUUAGAUUUUAUAAUUUUUAUUUUACAAUUAUCAAUUUCGGCUAUUCCAUUACAAGUAAUUAUGCUUCCUUAUAUUUCCUAAAAUAGUUCUUGAUUCUGUCACAGUUAUAAAGUGCACCUCAGCUCAUCAUCACAUAGGAACUAAAAACUCCACCAGGAAAGGUUCUCCAUGACUGCCAUGUCCUGCUUGACCACGACCAUAGCUACCACCAUAUAAAAUUCUUUUGGUGCAGGACUUAUGGACUAAUAAAACUCUACCACCACCGGAGAUUCCCCUCCACUCUCACGCCGAUUAUUCUCCAAAACUCCAGUUCAAGGAAUUCAUUCAUCAUUCAAGAAGUUUCACUUCCCUCCCUAUCUUAUGAUUAUAAAUCUAUCUUUUUCACUAUAUCUACCUUUGUACAUUGAGGGUAAUGUACAUCUUAAGUGUAGGGGGUCUUUUAUAUCAGAAAAAAUCCCUGAAUUUUGUUUUAUUCUCAUGCGAUCUUCUCAUAUCAUUAUUAGACUGAAUUCCAAUUAGUCUAUAAUUUUUAUUAAUAUAUAUUGAAUUAAAACAUAGGCAUUUAUGCAUUGAUUGUUUAAACUUUAAGACAUUAGGGAAUCAAACAUGAUAAGUUGUUUUGGAAGAAUUAAAAACUUUUAGGUUGUCUCCCCAAGUUUAGGUAUUAUUUUGAGUAGGAAUUUACAAGUUUAAACAUCAAAAAGUCAUAAUUUUUUGUGAGAUCUUGAGCCUUUAGAGCAUUUAUUAUUUCUUUCAUGCUCACUUUCAAUAUGAGUGCGCUAUUAUUGAAUUGUUAUUCUAGAACUUGCUUGAUUAUGCAUGUUAAGACCACACCAUUUGAUUUGAUAUGUCAAAAUGAUAAAGGCACUUAGGUUUAAACCACUCACUCCAUAAAAGCCUACCUUCACAAUUAACCCUUAGUGAACCUCCUUGAGCCUAACAACCCAUUCAUUGAUUUACCCUCAAUAUUAACUCAUAACUCAUUAUUGUUGAAAUCCCCUAAAUUAAUUUGAUCCCUAUUUUUGUCGAGAUUUGAGUUGGAAUAGUUGCUUAGCUAUGUUUUAUUCUAUUUUGUAAUUUGACUUGUUCUUAAAAUAUAUAUAAUACAUGUAUACAUAUUAGUAGUAGUGAUAUUCUAAGCUAAAGAAGUUAGAUUCCAUAUUCUGAGAAAAAGCUCUGUUGUACGUAAUUGAUGACUAGUCAUUUUUCUAGUUAGGAAAUUUUUCAAUUCAAUCUCGAUUCUAACCCUUUCUUUCAGUUUGUGACCACACCUUCUAACCAAAGCCACGUUACAACCCUCUAAAGACCUUUUGAUUGAUGUUUCAUCUCAAUUUAUAGUGGUGGAGAUUUGAUUUUCAUGCAAGCCUAUGGUAAUGACUUUUCAUUAUUGACUAUUGAGUGCUUCAUUUAUUGUCCUUAAACACCUCGAGUGAUUUGAGUGAAUCUUUAGUGAGGAUGUGAAACUCUGUGAUAUUUUGAAUCAAAGGUAAUUACUUAGAUAAGGGAAGACACCUAUGUUUUCAUGAUAAAAUGCUCAACUUGGAAGGUUUGAAACUUUGAUGUUCUGUCAGUUGAAUUUUCAAUGUAUGAUUACCUACAGAUUAGUUUGAGAUAUUAUUGAUGAGAAUUAUAAGUUGAGAAGAAUUUAUUUUGAUUAUAAGUUGAGGAUUUUUCUUGAGGACAAGCAAAUGCUUAAGUGUGGGGGUAUUUGAUAAACCGUAAUUCAUACAUAUUUCUAUCCCAUGCUUAGCACAUUUUAUGGAUGAUUUAUCCUUAAAUUUGGAGAAUUCGAUGCUCCUAAUGCCUUAAUUUCAUGUUUUAUACUUAGGUGAGGAUAAGAGAGUGAAAGGAACGAGAAACGGGCCAAAAACGGAGAAAAUAGGCCAACGUACGAAAUCAACACGGCCUGGACUUCCUAACACGGGCAGACCGCAUGGUCGUGUCAAUUUGGCAGAAUCGAAGCACGACUUACACAGGUAGACCACAUGCUCGUGCCUAUUUAACAGGCUUGACCAUAGCCUGAAGUAAUCGCACACGGGCGUGUCCCUGUCGAGCCCAAGCAGAGUCCUAUUCAGAAAAGGCCACUUUUGAGGGCUCUUAGGCAUUCCAAAGCCUAUAAAUACUCCCUAGAAGAGGAGAAGAGGGGGGACACAGAUUAGGAAGCAAGGAAUUACUCAAGAGAAGCCGAUUGAUCCAUCCCAAAAGCCAGAUUCAUCAUCAAGACUGGAGAUCUCCCUUCAAGUUCCUUCUGGAGUUUUGGGUUUUCUAAUGUUUUGUUAUCUUUAUAUUUUUAAGAUGUUUUCCUUCAUAAGUAUGAACUAAACCCCUAAAUACCUAAGGGGAAUGAAACCUAUGACAUAUCUUGUUAUUAUUAUCUGAGUUGGAUGAUAAAUAUUUGACUUGUUCUUAAUUAUGUGUUCUUAAUUCUUGUUUUGAUAUUCCAGGAUAUUGAUUCAAGUUAAGCUCUUAUUCAGAGGAGGAAUAGACCCUGUCUAAGAGUAAAUUUGUCAUAAUUAAGCGGAGUUGAUUACGCACCUAGAGAUAAGGUGACAAGAUUUUGUCGGAUUAGGGUAAAACCUAAUAAGGGAAUCCAUAGAUCGAGUUAAUGCAAUUCUGGGGUGUUAAUUAGAAAGAGAUUUCAAUUAUUCAACCUAGGGUUAGACGUUAUUAGUCUUAAGAGAGAUAAUGAUAUAACUUAGGGAUUUCUCCAGAUCAAGUCAAAUGAAUAAAUCGUUUGAUUUAGAGUCAAAUAACAAGUGAAGUCUAGGUGGAUUUGUCCUUAGGUAUUGUCUCAAUCAAUCGAAUUUUCCCAAAAAGUAUUUUCCCAAGUUUUUCUUUCUGUGCAUUCUUAGUUAGUAAUUAGUUUAGACAACCAAACCUCUUAAAUUUUAGGCUAGAUAAUAAAAAGAAAGUAAAUACUAGUACUCAUAGUUCCUUUGGGUUCAACAAUCCGGUCUUGCUGAACCAUAUUACUGUUCGAUAGGUACACUUGCCUUAAUCGUGAUACUAAGUUAGUCUCAAGAAAAUUUCAUUUAUAAAUCUUUAAAACCUGUUACAAAUAUCACGCAUCAAUGUUUAUGUGAUUUGGGCAUUGAGGCCCUGGGACAUGUUUGGAGAGAUAAGGAAAUGUGAUCUAAGCUCCAUUCAACGGGACAUGUUUGGUGUGUUGGAGAGUGUUAGUUUAAUUCUUCACUUACGAGACAUGCUUGACUCUAUGAGUCUACGUGGUGUGUUGGAGAUCCGUGUAUCCGAUGAGUGGUGGUAAUGCCCACUUUUACGUUUCAUAACUCAAAUGCCAAAUUAUCUCAAAUUAUCUAUUAAUGUGAUUGUGAAUUGUGACGUUUACAUGAAUAUGCAUGUACUGAUUCUGUAAAUAAACUAUCGAAUAUGCAUGUGAAGUAAAAUAUGUCAACUAAGUUAAGGUUGCUAUAAUUAUGAUAUGUUUCACUAAUGCUUGAUGAAAUGUUUGCAUGGUAGUUGUUUUAGGCAUUCACUGAGCUUGUUAAGCUCACCCACUCCUUUUAAAACCAUUGCAAAUUACUGUGUCCUAGUGUGAGCGGUGUGAUUUUGAGGGGUGAUUCCAAGCAAUUCCUUUUCUAUUAUUUCAUAGGUCUUAUUGUUAUUUGUUUUCAUUUCGAGAAUAAGGCAAUGUGGUAGACUUUUACUGAUAUUUGCCAUGAUGUUUUGGAUGUCUUCAUAGACUAUUUGUUCCUAGGUUUAUGAGAUUCAUUUCGUAUGAUGUUGAUUAUUUGUCAGACUUAUUUUGGAUGUUUGAGACUAUUAUAAUAGUCAUUUUGAUAUUUAUGUAAUGAUGAUAUGAUGGCAUGAAGGAUUGGUGCAUGUUGGAAUGAUUUAUAUGCUCAAGUAUGUUGUAUUUUUCUGGUUUGGAGCAGAGGUAUCGAUAUUCAUGUUGUAAAAAUAAUACCUCUGUGAUUUUGGAACAUGUAGGGAGGCAACAAUGUAAUUUGGUAUCGAUACCCAAUAAAAAGUAUCGAUGCUCAAGGUAGAAAUAUCAUUACUUUGGCCGAGGUACUGAUAAUUUUCGAGGUUUGGGUUUUUAAACGAGAAACAAUAAGCAGUUUUGGUUUUAAUUUUCCCAACAAUAUCAAUACCACUUGAGAGAAUUAUCGAUACCUCACCUUCAGUUUCGAUACCUACGUAGUUAGUUUUUGGAUUUUGCUAAAUGGACUUUAUGCAUAUUUAAUUAUUAUUAUUAUUAUUAUUAUUAUUAUAAGACUAUUUGAUGUAUGUUUAGCAUGUAACAAUGAUGUUAACAGUAUGACUGACUUAAAACCUAUACCAAUACUAAAAUGGAAGUCAUUUCAUUUAGAAUGAGCUUUUACUUAUUGUGUAUAACAUGAGACGGUGGUGUAGCAUCCUGAUAUUCAGGCUUGGAGACCAAGUUGGGUAUAGGGUGUUACACUUAAAAUUUCCAUCCCCCAAAUUUUCUUUGCUGCACCUAAAUCUUUCAUCUCGAACUUAGAGUUAAGCAUAGUUUUAAGACAACAAAUAUCAAAUGGAUUCUUAGCUGCAAUUAACAUAUCAUCAACAUAAAGUAAUAAAUAUAUAAAAGAAUCAUCAUCAAGACGUUGUAGAUAAACACAACUAUCAUACUUACUUCGGGAAAAACCAGUACUCAACAUGAAGGAGUCAAACUCUUUAUACCACUGUCGAGGAGAUUGCUUCAAACCAUACAAAGACUUUUGUAAAAGACAAACAUAAUAUUUUUUACCUUCAAAUUUGAAGCUUUCUGACUAUUGCAUGUAGAUGUCCUCCUCAAGGUCACUGUGAAGGAAAGUAGUCUUUACAUCUAACUGCUCUAACUCAAGAUUAUUUGAUGCAACAAAUUCCAAAAGCGCUCAAAUUGAUGUAUGUUUCACAAAAGGAGAGAAAACAUCAUGAAAAUCAAUUCCUUUCACUUGAUUGUAGCCCUUUUGCAACUAGUCUUACCUUGUACCUAGUGUUAUUAGGACCUGAACCUUCCUUCUUUUUAAACACCCAUUUGCAACCAAUGAUUCCUUUACUGAUGGGUGGUUUAACUAGCCUCUAAUUCUCAUUCUUUUGAAGUGAUUUCAUCUCUUCUUCCUUUGCAACGAACCAUUGGUUGGAGUCGAAGGCUUGAACUGCCUCAUAAUAACACGAAGGUUUGGUUGAAACAAUGCUCUCGGCAACACUUAGAGCAUAAGCCACUAGGUUUCCUUCACAAUAUUUUUGUGGUGGUCGGAUUUCUUGCCUUUUCCUUUCACGAGCCAACUUAUAAUUAGUUAACUGAUAUGGUGAGGGUACCUAAGGGUCGGAUGAAAACCAAAACAAAUCCAAAACAGCUUCAAACAAGCAAAAAUUAGAAUUUUUUUGUGUCGACGUGACAUUGUGAGACACUUUAUCGGGACAAGUGAUAAACUGUAAUUUAUACAUAUUUUUAUCCCAUGCUUAGCACAUUUAUGGAUGAUUUCUCCUUGGAUUUGGUGAAUUCGAUGCUCCUAAUUCUUUAAUUUCAUGUUUUAUACUUAGGUGAGUAUAGGAGAGUAAAAAGAGCGAGAAACGGGCUGAAAACAGAGAAAAUGAACCCACAUGGGAAAUCAACAUGGCUUGGACUUCCUCACACAGGCAUGUCACACGGCCGUGUCCAAUUGGCAAGAUCAAAGCAUGACUUACACGGGUAGACUACACGCCCAUGCCUACUCAACUGCCUUGACCACGGGUAGGAGCAAUCGCACACGAGCAUGUCCCUGCCAAGCCCGAGUAUAGUCCUAUUCGGAACAGGCCACUUUUGAGGGCUCUUAGGCAUUCUAAAGCCUAUUUAAACACCUGAGGAGGCACUUAGAAGAGACAUACGGAGUAGGAGACAAGGAAUUACUUAAGUGAAGCCGAUUGGUCCAUCUCAGAAGCCGAAUUUAUCAUCAAGAGUGAAGAUCUCCCUUUAAUUUCCAUUCAAGGGUUUGGGGUUUUCUUUAUGUUUUGUAUUCAUUAUUCUUCUGAGAUUUUUUCUUUUAUAAUUAUGAACUAAACCCUAAGAGGAAUGAAACCUAAGACAGAUCUUGUUAUUAUUAUCUGAAUUGUAUGAUAAAUAUUUGACUUGUUCUUAAUUAUGUGUUCUUAAUUCUUGUUUUAAUAUUCAAGGAUAUUGAUUCAAGUUAAUGCCCUUAUUCAGAAGAGCAAAAGUCUCUGUCUAAGAGUAAAUUUAUCAUAGUUAAGCGGAGUUGAUUGCAGCCUAGAGAUAGGGUGACAAGAUUUUGUCGGAUUAGGGUGAAACCUAAUAAAGGGGUCCAUAGAUCAAGUUAAUGCAACACUAGGGCGUUAAUUAGAAAGAGAUUUCAAUUAAUCAACGUAGAGUUAGACGUUAUUAGUCUCAAGAGAGAUAAUAAUAAAACUUAGGGAUUUCUACGGAUCAAGUCAAAUGAAUAAAUCGUCUGAUUCAGAGUCAAAUAACAAGUGAAGUCUAGGUGGAUUUUUCCUUGGGUAUUGUCUUAAUCAAUUGAGUUUUUCCAAAAGCUUUUUCCCAAUUUUCUCUCUGUGCACCCUUAGUUUAGUUAAGUAGUUUAGAUAAACAAAUCCUUUAAUUUUUAGGCUAGAAAAUAAAAAGAAAGUAAUUACUAGUACUCUUGGUUCCUUUGGGUUCAACAAUCUGGUCUUGCUAAAGCUAUACUACUGUUCGAUAGGUACACUUGCCUUCAUUGUGAUAAUAGUUAGUUUCAAGAACGAUUAAUUAUAAAUUUCUAAAACCUAUUACGAAUAUCACGUAUCAACAAGACCUCUAUUCGUCACGUCAUUGCGAUGUUAGGCAUUUGCUCGUUAUGUCGUCACCUUUUUAUUUCGGCUUUUGACUCCACCUUGCUCGAGACACUCUGAUUUGUUAUGUCUUUAAAAUUAAAAGUCUUAUUUUGUUAUCAAAGCAUAGUAGAUUUAUCAAACGUAACAUCUCUGCUAACAAUGAUCUUUUCAGAUUCUAAACAUCACAACUUAAAAACUUUUGUACUAGCAGCAUAUCCCAAAAAGAUGCUUUUAACGACCCUUGGUUCAAGCUUUCCCUAGCUACUUUAGCAUAAGUAGGACAACCAAAAAUUCUAAGAUUUGAUUAAUUUGGAGGAUUACCUAACCAUAUCUCCUUUGGAACUUUACCAUUCAAUGCUCAAUAAGGAGAUCGAUUUACCAAAUAACUUGUUAAGUUUACAGCUUCAGCCCAAAAUUCCUUCCCUAAGCAUGCGUUAGAAAGCAUGCAUCAAGCCUUUUCUAGCAAGGUUCUGUUCAUUCUUUUUGCAACUUCAUUCUAUUGUGGAAUUCUAACAAUGAUUCGAUGUCUUUCAAUUCCUUCCCGUUUGCAAAAUCACUAAACUCUGACAAAAAAAACUCAACACCAUUAUCUGUUCUCAACUUCUUCAUGGAUUUUCUGAUUUGUUUUUCUAAUAGUGUCUUCCACUGUUUGAAAAUUUCGAAGACUUGUUCUUUUCUAUUUCAAGAAAUAAACCCAAACUUUUCUGGAGUAAUCAUCAAUAAAAGUUAGGAAAUAUUUAUUAUCUCCUUUUGGGAUGUUAAAAGAUGGACCCCAAAAAUCAGAAUGAAUGUAAUAUAAAGUCCCUUUUGUUCUAUGCACUGCUAAAUCGAAACUAACUCGGGUUUGCGUAACACCCCGCACCUGUAUUCAUUGUCAGAAUAAGGUUGCAGAGCAUUGCCAAACUUCUUUCACAAAUAAACACACAUUUCUCAUACAUUUUUCCAUUAUAAAUAUAAAACAUUUACAAUCAUUUAUAACGCCCCUAAUAUGAGCCUACGAGGCCCAAAACAUGCUUUAGAAAUGGUUUGGGAAUAAACCGAUAACUUAGGAAACUUUUAGAAAACUUAGAAAGUUUUUCAAAAUACAGGGAACAUAGGCCUGUGUGGCCUGACCGUGUGUCUCACAAGGCCAAAUACACGCCCAUGUCACAAGCUCAGUGGACAUUCGAAAUGGGAUCACAUGGCCAUGUCUCAGCACAUGUCCGUCCCCGUGUAACUCCCUGACUUCGGUCACACGACCAACCACAUGCCCGUGUCACCAACCCGUGUGCCCUUCGGAAUGGCCUAACACACCCAUGUGCUAGGCCGUGUGCUAGGCCAUGCCAAACCUGUAGGGUAUUCUAACUAAUACUACACGGCCAAGUCACACGCCCGUGUGUUGGGCCGUGUGGAGCAUACUAACUUGGUUUCUAAUUAAACACCAGGGGACACACAGCCGUGUCACCUGACCAUGUGUCACACACAGCUGAGACACACACCCGUGUCUCUUCCCGUGUGGACAAAAAUAGGCUAUUUACCGAGCCAUUUUUUUCACCCAAUUUGUAAUCACCUACACUAAACCAAAGGCAUAUAAUAUGGUAUAAAUAAGCAUUCCAACCAAUCUCAACCAAGCCUAAUUCAUGCUAAAUCCAUACUAUCAACCAUAUGACUUACAAGUAUAACAAAUAGUCAUUCAAUUUCAUACCAAAUUCACACCAAAUUCACAUUCUCAAAUUGCCUAAAUGGUCACUUUCAUUUAUACAUCACUUUACCUAAAAUCACAAGCAUACUAAUUCUCAAUUAUCAACUAUUUGAUACUCAAAUUACCAAUUCAUAAAGAACCUUUCACCAUAAGCAUUUACAUGAUAAUUACCAAAUGCAUAACAAAGGCCAUUUGCACAUAUAUAUAUACACAACCAAAUCAACUAAAAUAAGCCAAAUCACAUGGCUAUACACAUAACAAACCAUUCAUCAUUUAUAAGCCAACUCAAAUGGCUAAACCUAUUACCAAACUAUAUACCAAAAUGACCAUAACUCCUAUACAUGCCAUAUAACCAAAUUACAUAAGUUCAAAAGUACCAAAGUAAUAGCUUGAUAGUGUGAUGAGAUCUCCGAUGACUCUUGAAUCCGAGCAAGCUUUGAUAAUCACUAUAAAACACGAAAAAGUAAAUAGAGUAAGCUACAAAGCUUAGUGAACUCGUAUGCUAAGUAAGUAAAACUUACCAACCAACAAUUCAAUAACAUAAACAUCAUAUAAUGCAAUUCAACUUUGAAGCAUAACUUAAUACAUAUAUUCAACCCAAGGAUUAAACACAAUUUCCAUCAACUUCUUCGAUUUUAUGAUUGUAUAGUUCACGUACAUACAUGUACAAGCUCUUAUUAAUCUCAUACUCGUCCAUAUCCUUGAUAUACCUAUUGAACCAUUUGGAAUACUAUCAGGUACCCGGGAAUCUCACACACUAAGUGCCAAUACAUAGCCGAAGCUAUCUCAAUCUCAUAUCACAUAUAAUGUUCACUCUCGAGCUAUCAACGGGUCUGCUCACACAAGUUGACGAUCAUGACAUAGCUACACGGUGCUGCUCACACAAGCUGACUAGAAUCCGCAACACAAGCCGAGUAACUCAGCCACCAGUAGGACGUACGGACUAGCACCCAAAUCACAUAACCCUUAAUGACAUGUCAUUUGUAUCCUAAUUUAUUCCUAAGGUUCAACUGGGAAUUCUCAUUACCGAAUCUUAGUCGAACAUUUUUGUACAAUCAUAUUCAUCAACAAUUCAAAUAUAAAAAAUUUAGAAACACAAUUAAAGUAAUGCUUCUUAACAUACAAACUUACCUCGAUUCACAAAAAUGACGGAAUGAAUCGAUUAAUCCAACACUUUGUUUUCCCUCAAAUCUAGAUCUGAACUUUAUUUUUCUUGAUUUAUAUAAUAUCAAAUUCAAUCUAUUCAUUAUUCAUUCUAUUCAAUUUAGCCCAAAAUGCAUAUUAUGGAAAAAUUACACUUUUGUCCCUAACAUUUCAAUAUAUUUACAAUUUAGUCCUUAGCUCAUAAAAAUAAAAAUUCAUGCAAUUAGGUCCCUACCCAUGCUAGCUGAAUUUCAUAUAGACCCAUAACAGCCCAUAUUUUUCAUUUAUUUCACAAUAUAAUCACAAAAUUUACACAUUUCACAAUCUAAUCCCUAAUUGGCAAUUUUACAAAAAAUCACUUUACAAAUGUUAUUUAUCUAACAACAACCAUUUAUUUUCUAUCAUCAAACAUCACAAGUCACACAUAUUCAUCAAUGGUAAAACCUUAAACCUUUCACAAUUUUGUAAAUUAGUCCCUAAGCUACCUAAAUUAAGCUGCAAUGAUCUCAAAACAUAGAAAUCAUUAAAAACGGGACAAAAAUCACUCACCAAUUUAACAAUAAAGUAGUCGAACCCUAGAAAGCUUCCAUGGAGGUCUCUCUCUUUUAUUUUUCGGUAGAAGAAGAUGACUAAAAGAUGGUAUCUUUGGUUUUCUUUAUUUUACUAAUUACUAAAUUACACUUUUAACCUUGGCUAUAAAACAUUAAAAUUACCUAAUACAUGUCCAAGUGUAACAUCUCGAAAUAGGGCCUAGUCGGAACAGUGGUUUCGAGACCAUAAAUCUGACAUUGAAAUAUUUUUUUAUGAUUAUUAUGAGGCCUGGAAUAUGAAAAUAUGCAUGUGUUGAAGUUUCAUGAAGAAAUUCUAUGAGUAAGGUGUCCAAUUGGAAAAUAAGGACCAAAUCGAAUAAUUUGUAAAACUUGGGUUCUAGAAACAAUUUGCAUGAAAUUGCUUUUAAUUAUAAAUUAAAAGGUCUUAAAUAGAAAUUUUCCCAAUUUCUAAGUUUUUGGACAAAAAUGGGCAUACAUGGAAAAUUUUGGAAGUUCAGUAAGGAAGGGCAUUUUGGUCAUUUGGUAAUAAAAUCAAUAAAAAGGGAAAAUGAAGGCAAAAAUCAGCCAUCUUCUCCCUUGUACCAGCCAAAAUUCUCAAGCCUUCCAUAGCUAGGGUUUUCAACAUUUUCAAGCUCAAUAGUAAGUGACUCCUAACCCCGUUUUUAAUGUUCUUUGUAUUGUUGAGAUCCUUGUAACAUGUUCUCUCCAUUUCCACCUAUAUUUUAAGCUAGGGUUCAUGUAUAAAAAGUGACCCAUGUGUGACAUGUUUGUUCUUUAAUGUUUUAUGGAGGAAUAUGAAAGUUAGAUGUGUGUUAAACAUCUUCUCCUAAGUGAUUUUCAUGAAAAGCCCCUAAAAGGAUGUUUUUGCAAAAGGUACAAAAUAUGUGGUAGAAAUGUGAAAUAGAGAAAAAUUUGGGCUAGUAUGAGUUUAUAAUGCAUUCGACUAGGCUUGGGUAACCAAAGAAUUGCAUGUAUAUCAUUUUACGAGCCUAGGGAUUAAAUCAUAAAUAAUGUGAAAGGUUAAGGGCAAAACAGUCAUUUUGUCUAGGGGUGAAAUUUAGGCUCAAAAAGAAUAAUGUGAGAUAUUGAUAAUUCAUUUUUAUUGUUAUAGACCCCAAGAAACAAAUUUUGGAGGUCGAUCAAGGAAAAUGAAAUGUUUCAGAAUAACCAAAAUGCGAAAUCGACACAAAUACCAGGUAAGUUCAAAUAACUUAAAGUAAACUCAUAAUAUGCCUAAAUGCAUGUUUUAUGAAUAUUAGAUAGUUUUAUAUAAUGAUGGCAUGAAAAUCCAUGAAAUGUGUUAAUAAUAAUGACAAGAUGAUAAAUGUCUCAGUUGAAGUUAAAAGGGAAAUUCGAUGGAAAAACCAUGGCUUACGUGACUUGAGAUCCUGCAUGUGUUGCAGAAAAGGGUUUAGCCCAGACGGGUAAUCCGUUGAUCUCAAAUAUAGAAAGGAUCUAGCCCGAACGGGUUUUCCUUGAAUGAUCAAGUCUCUUGAAGAAUAUGUGUGCAUUAAGGAUUUAGCUCAGACGGGUAAUCCGAUUAGGGUCUGAAUUUAGCCUGGACUGGUAAUUCAGACCUGAGCUCAUUAAGGUUGUUUGUCACUAUAAGGGAUUUAGCCUGGACUGGUAAUCCUGAAAACACUCCAUGAGUUUAUAUUACGGGGGAUUUAGCCUGGACUGGUAAUCCCGCUGUAAGAUAUGAGGUUCGUAGGAGUGCGUACUUAAGAAGAUCACUCUUAUGACUUGACGGUAAAUGGAUAAUCCAUCAAGAUUUUCGAGGUACUCAAUGGGAUUAACAUGAGAUAUCGAAAUGAAAAUAUUGGAUGAUGAGCUCAUCUAAGACAAAUUACAUUAUGAAUUAUUAUGGGACUAACUUGAUGCUUGAGUGUAUGUAAUAGGAGGCUAUCCUAUAUUUAUUGGAUUGGUUGCCUAACAUGGUUGUAUGCUAAUUAAUCGGUAAGUUUACUUUCCAAUUAUUCGGGCUUACUAAGCAUGUAAAUGCUUACCCCUCUCUUUUCCCUGUCUUAUAGAGCUCGAGGACUCGUAGAGAUUGGAAGACGGUUGGAGUAUUGUUGACACUAUCCACUUCUCCUGUUUUGGUAUAUAGAUACUUUUAUUUUGUUACAAUGGCAUGUAUAGAUUUUUGGUUAUUUGGUGUUAUAUGUCAUUGGUUGGCCAAUGUAAAGGCUUAAAUGUUAAACUUAUUCUUUUUGUAUAUGGCCAUAAGACAUGGCUCAUUUCAUUGUAGAUUAUGACCUACCAACCAUGCAUGUUUAUGUUAGAAAUGUUUUUGUGAUGAUUAAAUGUUGUAUAUCAUAAAUAAGCAUUCGUAAGGUGGCCAAAACAUUUGGAAAUGGUUAGGCCAUAAUUGGAAAUGAAUUGUAAUAAUGAUCCAAGCCUAAAAUAUGUUUCAAUAGGAUGGAAAUCCUUAUUAUGAAAAGGGGAUAAUUGAGUAUGUAUUUAACUGAUGAGAUGAGGUUGACAUGCAAUGGAUUCAUUGAUGAUAGUCCUUGAGUAUAUUUAAGUCAUGUUAAAUGCAAUUGGGGUUUUUAUAUGUGAGGAAAUGAUGAGGGUGACCAUUGGCUUGAAAUUAUAGCCUAAAAAGGGUCCACACGGGUAGACACACAAGUGUGUGUCUAGGCCGUGCGUGACACACGGUCAGCCCCAUGGGUGUGUGGUACGGUCGUGUGUCCCCUGCACCUAAAGUUUUUUCAGUCAAAAUGCAUGGUAGUAAACACACAGAAAGAGACAUAGUCGUGUGUCUCAGCCGUGUAGAGGGCACGGCCUAGCACACGGGCAUGUGUCUUGGCCGUGUGCCCCUAAAUACAUGCUGACAUCAUAAACAGAAUGUCCAGGUUUUUGGACAUGAGCUAUCACACAGGCGUGGCUAGGCCAUGUGAAAAACACGGGCCAGGGACACGGGCGUGUGCUUGGCCAUGUGAAAACCCUAUAGGUUCAAAAUAAAAAAUAAAUUUAAUUAAUUCCACACGAGUUAGGGACAUAGGUGUGUCCCCAAAGCACACGGGCGUGUGCAUUGUCUCCACACUGGUGUGUGAGGCUUAACCUAGAAAAUUUUCCUAAAAUUUUCUUAGGUUCUCGGUUUAGUCCCGGACCAUUCUCAAUGUAUGUUUUGGAUCUCGUAGGCCCAUAAUAGUGAUACUAAGAUGUUGUUUAAUUGGUUUUAAUUUGGAACAAAAUUUUUUAACCCGUAUUUUUCGAAAAUGUCUAAGUAUGUAUCUCGUAACGCCUUGUACUUGGUCUCGGUCUCAGGUACGGGUAAGGGAUGUUACACCGAGAAUGUCCACUAACUUUAUAAAUGGGCUAAUUACCACAUAAGGACCUCCACUUUCAGGUUCCAUAGCUAUAGAUACCUUUAGCUAAUAGAAUUCAAGUUUUACACUUUAUGCGAUUUAGUCCUUUUUAUCAAAUUGAACAUUCAAACUAUAAAAUUUCUUAAAGAAAUUUUCACACAAUCAUACUAUCGUACUGUAGACAUUAAAAUACUAAUAAAAUAAUUAUUUUGACCUCAGAUUUUUGGUCCCGAAACCACUGUUCCAAUUUGACUAAAAAUGGGUUGUUAUAGUUUGUUUCCCAAAAAUGUAAUGCUCGUAAAAACCUAAUUUGUAACGCCCCUCACCCAUAUCGACGCCAAAAUAGGUUCAAGCCGUUACCUGAGAUUCUCAUUCGUAAACAUAUUAAAUCAAGUCACUAAGUUGCGCUGUAAUUUAGAACUUUUCAAAUAUGUAUAUCCUUUCCCUUAAACAGGCCUUCGAGACCUAAAACAUGCCUAGAGGCGGUGCGGGACAAAACCAAGAACGUUUGAUAAACAUGGAGCACAUUGGAAAUUUUCUUUUAACUUGAAGUGUCACACGCCCGUGUGACUUGGGACAUGCCCGUGCAAUCACCCUGUGUCCAAGACUUGAACAUUCUAUUAAAUUCACACGGCCAAGACACACGCCCGUGUGUCUAGCCCGUGUUCAUUUAACAGACCUACCAUUUUAGAUGAAAUGGACACACGAUCAUGCCAUACACCCACGAGUGUGUCCCGUGUGUCACACAUAGCCUAGGCACAUGCCCGUGUACCCAACCGUGUCAACCCUAUUAGGCUAUUUUCGAAGCCUAUGGUCACCCCCUUUUAACACUUAUACUUAAUGAAUAUUAAAAACGAAGUAAAACAAGAUUAUGUUCUCAUAAAUGAUCUUUGCAAAAAACUUAUUGCAUGGAAACCUCAUAUCAUUGGUUUCGUACAUGCUAGGUUAUUUCCCAUCUUGUAUUUAUGUGUUGUCAUACCACUUUAACACAUUCAAGAUUGGCUCGUUCUUAUGACUCAUUGCUAAUUGGAAUUCAACCCUCGCACAUGAUUCUAAACUUGAAUGGAAAUUUUGUAGGUCAUAGCCUAUUUCAAAAUAAGCCAAUCUCCAUGGCGACAUACAAAAAGAUAGAAUUCUCUUUCAUGCCUUCAUUUGGUAAAUUAAAUGGCACAUAUAACAAAUUACUCAAAAGACCUAUACAUGCCAUUGAACAAAUCAAAAAUGUCUUUAUACCAAAGCUGAGCUAUUUGAUAGUAUGCUAACUCUCUAACCCUCUUCCAAUCUUUACAAGUCCUCGAGCUCUGGGAGAAACAGGGAAAAGAGAGGGGUAAGCAUUUUCAUGCUUAGUAAGCUCGAAUAACCAGACAGUAAACUUACCAAGUAAUUAGCAUGCAAUCAAGUUGGUUAAUAAAUUCAAUGAGCAUAGGAUGGCUUCCCUAUCACAUACACUCAAUCAUUGAGUUAGUCACAUAACAAUGCACUAUGAAAGAUAUCUUAGAUGAGCUCAUCAUUCAACAUCUCAUUUAGUAAAUAUAAGUCAUGUUAAUCUUGUUGAGUUUCUAGGAAGUUUCAAUGAUAUACCCAUUAACUGUCAAUUCGUAUGAAUGAUCAUUUCCAGUAUGCACUCCCGCGAACCUCACAUCUCAUGGCGGGAUUACCAGUCCAAGCUAAAUACCCCAUUUUAUGAACUCAUAAGUUGAUGUCGGGAUUACUAGUCCAAGCUAAAUCCCUUAUAACGAAAAACACUUUUAUUGAGCUCGGAUCUAAAUUACCAGUCCAGGCUAAAUUCAGAUCCUAAUCGGAUUACCCGUCUGGGCUAAAUCAAUAAUGCACACAUAUUCUUCGGGAGGCUCGACUAUUCAAAAGAACACCCGUCUGAGCUAGAUCGUUUUAUAAAUGAGAUCAACGGAUUACCCGUCUGGGCUAAAUCCUUUCUGCAACACAUGCAGGACCUCAUUACACAUGUCAAUCAUGGUUUAUCUUUCGAAUUCCCUUUUUAACCUCAACUGAGACAUUUAUCACAAUUCAUACUUAAACAUGCAUUUCAUAAAAUUUCAUGUUAUUAAUAAAUGCAAUCACCAUGUAUUCAUAAAUCAUAUAAUUAGGCACAUUGAGUGUUUACUUUAAGUUAUCCGAACUUACCUGGUAUUUGUUUCGGUGUCAUGUUUCGUUUAUUCUGAAACCUUUUGUUUUUCUCGAUUGACCUCCGAAAUUUGUUCCUCGAGGUCUAUAACAAUAAAAAUAGAUCAUUAACACUCCACAUUAUACAUUUCAAGUCUAAAUUCCACCCUCGGUCCAAAUGACCAUUUUGCCCCUAACCUUUCACAUUUUUACGAUUUAGUCCCUAGGCUCGUAUGAUGAAACACACGCAAUUUAUACUUUACUCAAGCCUAGCCAAACACUUUUCCCUCUUAUGGUAGCCUACAUUUUCCAUUAUUUUCACAUUCCUACCACACAUUUUACAACUUUUGCAAAAAGGUCCCUUUAGGGGUUUUUCAUGAAAAUCACCUAGGAAAAGUUGUUUAACACACAUCAAACUUUCAUAUUCCUCCAUAAAACAUCAAAAUACAAUUAACUCAUGCAUGGGUAAAUUUUUAAACAUGAACCCUAGCAUGAAAUAUUGGUAGAAAUGGAGAUAGUAAGCUACCGGGAUCUCAAAAUUACGAAGAACAUUAAAAACGGGGCUUGGGAGCACUUACUAAUGAGCUUGAAAAUCUUGGAAACCUUAGCUAUGGUGGCUUAUGAAUUUCAGCUGGACAAGGGAGAAGAAUGGCUGAUUUUUGCCUUCUUUUUCCCAUUUUAUUUCAUUAAUAUGCCACAUGACCAAAAUGCCCUUACGCCAUUUCUUUGAAAUUUCAUCCAUCCAAGCCCAUUUUUUUCCAAAAACAUAGAAAUUGGGAAAGUUGCUCCCCAAGACCUUCUAUUUUAUAAUCUAAAUCAAUUUCAUACAAAUUGCUUCUAGAAUCCAAGUUUUGUAAUUUAUUCAAUUUAGUCCCUAAUUUUCCAAUUGGGCACUUACUCAAAGAAUUCCUUCAUGAAACUUUAACACAUGCGUAUUCUCAUAUUGUAAGCCUUGUAAUAAUCAUAAAAUAAAUAUUUUGAUGUCUGAUUUGUGGUCCCGAAACCACUAUUCCAACUAGGCCCUAUUUUGGGAUGUUACAUUUCUCCCCCCAAGGACUUUCGUCCUCGAAAGUCUUACCAGUGAACUGAUUCGGAUAUUGGCUUCUCAUGGAUUCUUCUGGUUCCCAUGUAGCCUCUUCUACACCAUGUCGAUGCCAUAAAACUUUUACUAAGGCCACAUAUUUAUUCCUCGGCUGUUUAACCUCACGAGCCAAUAUCUUAACUGGUUCCUCUUCAUAGGUCAUGUCUAGUCGAAUUUCAAUCUCAGUCAGUGAAAUCACGUGAGAGGGGUCUGAUCAGUAUCGCCUUAACAUAAAUACAUAGAACACAUCGUGAAUCUUUUCCAAUUCAGGUGGAAAUGCCAAGUGAUAGGCUACCGGUCCAACUCUUUCAAUGAUCUCAUACGGUCCGACAAAUCGCGGAUCCAGUUUGCCUUUUGGGGCAAAUCUCAACACCUUUUUUCCAUGGAGAUACUUCCAAGAAUACUCUAUCUCCAACUUGAAACUCAAUUUCCUUUCUUUUCAAAUCAACAUAUGAUUUUGCCUAUCCGAUGCCGCUUUCAAACAGUCUCGUAUCACUUUAAAUUUCUCUUCAGUUUCUUUAAUCAAAUCAACUCUGUGAAUCUGAUUUUCCUUAAGUUAUGUCCAGUACAAUGGAGUUCAGCACUUCCUGCCAUACAAGGCCUCAUAAGGUGCCAUCUUCAAACUCGUCUGAAAACUAUUGUUGUAGGCGAAUUAUACUAGUGGCAAAUAUUUUUCCCAACUACCCUGAAAUUCAAGGACGCAACAUCGCAACAUAUCCUCAAGAAUCUGAAUCAUCUGCUCAGACUAACCAUCUGUCUAAAGGUGAAAAGCUGCACUAAAGCUUAACUUCAUACCCAAGGCUUCUUGUAAUUUCUUCAAGAAUCUCGAAGUGAACCUCGGGUCUCAGUCGGAAAUAAUUAAUAGUUGUACCCCAUGAAAUCUUACAAUCUCAGAAAUGUAUAAGUCGGCAAAUCUAUCGAGGGAAUAAUAUGUCCUCAACAGAAUAAAAUAAGCCAACUUCGUCAACUUAUCUACUAUGACCCAUACGGCAUUUUUCUUCUUCGAAGUCAAUGGUAAUCCUGUCAUGAAAUCCAUAGUAACUCUAUCCCACUUCCAUUCGGGGACAAUCACAGGCUGUAGAAAACCUGAAGGCACUUGAUGUUCAACUUUAACUUGCUGACAUACCAGGCAUUUCGACACAAAUUUAGAAAUCUCUCUUUUCAUGCCGUUCCACUAGUAUGUUUUCUUCAAAUCAUUGUACAUCUUGGUACUUUUCGGGUGAAUUGACAAACGGCUGUUAUGUGCUUCUUGCAAAAUUUUCCGAAUAAGUUAAUUGUUUUUGGGUACACAAAUCGUAUCUCUGAACAUCAAACAUCCAUCAGAAACAAUCCAAAAAUUUGAUUCAAUACCUCACUCACAUUGAGUUUGUUUAGCUUGAAAGCUAUCAUCAUUAGUUUGAGCAUCAUAGAUUUCAUGAAGGAAUGUCGGCCUAGCCUUUAGCUCAGCCAAGACUGAACCAUCAUCAAGCAAUGCCAAACGAGCAUCCAUAGCCCUUAAUGCAAACAAGGAUUUUCUGUUCGACACGUCAGCGAUCACAUUCGCCUUUCCCAGGUGAUAAUCAAUAAUUAGUUCGUAAUCCUUGAUUAACUCUAGCCACCUCUGCUGCCUCAAAUUUAAUUCUUUUUGAGUUAUCAAAUACUUCAAACUCUUGUGGUUAGUGAAUAUGUGGCAAGUCUCACAAUAUAAAUAAUGUCUACAAAUUUUCAAAGCAAAAACGAUGGCGGCAAGUUUUAGGUCGUGUGUAAGAUAGUUCUUCUCAUGCGGCUUCAACUAUCGUGAAGCAUAGGCUAUUACUUUGCCAUCUUGCAUAAGUACACAACCCAGUCUAUUUGAGGAUGCGUCACUGUAGACUACAAAUUAUUUUCCCGACUCAGGUAAUACUAAAACAGGAGCUUCAGUUGACAGUGUUUUUAACUUCUAAAAACUUUGUUGACACUUUUCCGUCCAUUCAAACUUAAUGUUUUUCUGUAACAAUCUCAUCAUUGGAGUUGCUAUCAUGGAGAAUCCUUUCACAAAUCUUCGAUAGCAACCAGCUAAGCCCAAAAAGCUUCUAACCUCAGUUACAUUUUUAGGUGGUUUCCAUUCAAUAAUAGCAGAGAUCUUACUUGGAUCGACUAGGAUGCCUUCACCAAAAACAAUAUGACCUAAAAAUCCAACUUCCUAAAGCCAAAACUCACUCUUGCUAAACUUAGCAUACAGCUGCUUUUCCCGCAAAGUCUGCAACACAAUUCUCAAGUGCUUCGCGUGCUCUGUCUUAUCUUUGGAAUAAAUCAAUAUGUCGUCAAUGAACACAACGACAAACUUGAUCAAAUAUGGCUGUAAGAUCCUAUUCAUUAGGUCUAUAAAUACAGCUGGUGCAUUCAUCAGCCCAAAUGGCAUGACAAGAAAUUCAUAAUCGCCAUACCUUAUCCUAAAGGCUGUCUUAGGUACAUCCAAUUCUUUAACUCGCAACUGGUAAUAGCCAGACCCUAAGUCUAUCUUAGAGAACACGGUGGCUCCUUUCAACUGGUCAAACAAAUCAUCAAUCCUUGGUAAAGGAUACUUAUUCUUGAUAGUUACCUUGUUCAGUUGGCUGUAAUUUAUACAUAACCUCAUCGAACUAUCCUUCUUCCUUACAAAUAGAACGGGAGCACCCUAAGGUGAAAAGCUCGGCCUUACAAAACCUUUAUCCGUCAGCUCUUGCAACUGUGCUUUCAACUCUCUCAGCUAGGUUGGUGCCAUCCUAUACGGAGCAAUUAAAAUAGGAUCUGUCCUUGGCACCAGCUCAAUACCAAAUUCUAUUUCCCUUUCAGGAGGUAAUCCGGGUAAUUCUUCUAGAAAUACAUCUGGGUACUCACAUACUAUAGGCACAGAUUCAAUCUUCAACUCUGUUUCCUUAGUGUUCAAUACAAUUGCAAGGUAGGCUUCAUACCCUUUUCUCAUAUAUCUCUGAGCAACCAUUGCCGUGAUCACAACCGAAAGCGUACCCAACUCUCUUGAAUCAACCCAUAGAAAUUCACCAUCCGGACAUUUCAAUUUAAUAUACUUACCACCAUAAUUUACAAUUACAUCAUGCAGUGCUAACCAAUCCAUACCAAAUAUUAUAUCAAAUUCAUCAAAUGGUAACAACAUAAGAUUAGCCAGAAAACAAUGACCCUGAAUUGUCAAAGGACAAUUCUUACAGACUUUAUCAACUAUGACUGAUCUGCCUAGUGAGUUCGACACUUUAAUAAUAAAUUCCGUAGGCUCAAUGAGUAUGUUCAUUCUAGAUACCAAGCUCAUACAAAUGUAUGAAUGCGUCGACCCCGGGUCAAUUAAGGCAAUAACACAUGUAUCGAAAAGAGAAAAAGUAUCCGUGAUAACAUUAGGAGCAGAGGCUUCCUCUCGGGCGCGUACCGCAUACGUUCUUGCCGGAGGUUGAGCCUCUAAUUUUGCAGCAUCUUUAACCACAACUCAACUGUCACUGGCACUUCCAAGAUAUCUCGGAGGUCUACCUCAUGAAAUGGGAGUACUCGACUUCAGGGCUACUUUCACUUCUUUCUCGACUCACUCUAGGCAGUCCCUGAGAAAGUGGUCAAGAGAUCCACAUCUGAAACAUGCACGUCUCUUCACUCGGCACUCUCCGAAGUGAAAUUUGUUGCAACUCCUACACUUCAGCUUUUGAUCAUCUACACUCCCCACACUAGUUACCAUCAGGGAGGAAGACUUUUGGCUUCUUCGUUUAGAGCUUCUCGCUCUACCCAAAUAUCCUACUGAUGAAAUGGAGCGUUCAUGCUGGCUCUUUGAUUUCUUGUGGGAAACAAGAGUGUUCUACCACUAGACCUCUUGCUCGCGGCUUAGGCCUCUCUCUUUGUUUGCUUUCUUUCGUUGUUAAGCUCCCCGACCUUCUUGGCCCGAUCAGCCAAUGCAACAACCUCUCAUAUUUCAAGGAUCCCAAUCAACAACUUAAUUUGCUCCUUCAGACCUUCCUCGAAGCGUUUACACAUUUUUGACUCGGUUUGGAGCCAUUCAGUUGCGUGCUGACUUAGCCUCACGAACUCUCGUUCAUAUUCUGCUUCAGUCUUGUUCCCUUGUUUGAGUUUUAGGAACUCAUUUCGUUUCAAGUCUAGAAACCGUUGGCUAAUGUAUUUCUUCCUAAACUCUAUUUAGAAGAAAUCUCAAGUGAUAUUUUCCUUUGGCACUACCGAGGAUACAGUCUUCCACCAAUGAUACGCAAUAUCUUUUAGGAGGGACACGGCACACUUCAAACGCUCCUCAGGUGUGCACGACAAAUCAUCUAACACUGGUGUAGUAUUCUCAAGCCAAAACUCGGCUCUUUCAGCAUCAUCAUCAACUUUAGCUCUGAAUUCCUCAGCCCCAUACUUUCUAAGCUUAUCAACAGGGGCUUUACCAAUUCUUACCGGUGCCCUACCUCGUGGCACAUCCUCAUUAGGUUGGUUAGGGGGCGGGGGAGGUCUUGGUAUGUUGGGGCGAUUCCUCAGGUAAUCCCCAAACCAUUCGUCCUUCAUAAGCCUUCUACUACUACUAGUAGAUACAGCUCGUUGUAUGAAAGCUGGAGCAUGGCUCUCAGCUCCCUCGGACUCAUCUUGUGUUUGAUUGGAAGACAUUUACUAUAUUCAAAACAAUUUAAACAGUUAGGAGACGUCAUACUAUCAAUAUUCGAAUGAUGGUAUGUAUAGCAAACCUCAAUACUCUCUACGAUAGUCCUAGAACUGACUAAAUCGUAGCUCUGAUACCAUUAAAUAUAACACCCUUUACCCGUUACUUGAGAUUCUCGUUCAUAAACAUAUUAAAUCUAAUCACUAAGUUGCACUCUAAUUUAAAACUAUUCAAAUAUGUAUAUCAUUUCCCUUAAACAAGCCUUCGAGACCUGAAACAUGCCUAGAUGCAGUACGGGACAAAACCGAAAACGUUUGAUAAACUUGGGGCACCUUGGAAAAUUUCUUUUAACUUGAAGUGUCACACGCCCGUAUGACUUGGGACACUCCCGUUCAAUCACCCCGUGUCCAAGACUUGAGCAUUCUAUUAAAUUCACACGGCCAAGACACACGCCCGUGUGUCUAGCCCGUGUUCAUUUAACAGACUUACCAUUUUAGAUGCAGGGGACACACAACCAUGCCACACACCUACGGGUGUGGCCCGUGUGUCAUACACGGCCUAGGCACACGCCCGUGUACCCAACUGUGUAAACCCUAUUAGGCUAUUUUCCAAGCCUAUGGUCACCCCCUUUUUAACACUUAUACUUAAUGAAUAUUAAAAACGAAGUAAAACAUGAUUAUGCUCUUAUAAAUGAUCUUUGCAAAAACUUAUUACGUGGAAACCUCAUAUCAUUAGUUUCGUACAUGCUAGGUUAUUUCCCAUCUUGUAUUUAUGUGUUGCCAUACCACUUUAACACAUUCAAGAUUGGCUCGUUCUUAUGACUCAUUGCCAAUUGGAAUUCAACCAUCGCACAUGAUUAUAAACUUGCAUGGAAAUUUUGUAGGUCAUAGCCUACUUCAAAAUAAGCCAAUCUCCAUGGCAAUAUACAAAAAGAUAGAAUUAUCUUUACAUGCUUUCAUUUGGAAAAUUAAAUGACACAUAUAACAAAAUACUCAAAAGACCUAUACAUGCCAUUGAACAAAUCAAAAAUGUCUUUAUACCAAAGCUGAGCUAUUUGAUAAUAUGCUGACUCUCUAACCGUCUUCAAUCUUUACGAGUCCUCGAGCUCUAGGAGAGACAGGGAAAAGAGAGGGGUAAGCAUUUUCAUGCUUAGUAAGCUCGAAUAACUGGAAAGUAAACUUACCAAGUAAUUAGCAUGCAAUCAAAUUGGGUAAUAAAUUCAAUGAGCAUAGGAUGGCUUCCCUGUAGCACCCCAAACCCGGCCUAGACGUUAUGGUCGGAUCCGACAUGCCACAUCGAAGCAUUCAAAACAUUUUAUAUUAUUGGUCCAGAAAAUCUUAUUUAGUGUUUUAAAAGAUAAUUUUAUUAUAGGUUAAAGUGAAUGGAAGCUAUGCACCAGGUAGGAAACCGAAAAAGAGGUGGUGAGUCCAUCGGACUGCGUAAGUACCAAGAUCCCUUCGGAUCCAAUCCUAGACAUGCAUACUGCCAUUGUCACACCUUAACGUCAUGGAUAUUUCUAGGAAACCGAUUUGAUUAAGUCAUUUUUAGGAAAAGUGAUUAAUUUUGGAAAACACUUUCAUUGCGGAAGCUUUAUUUGUUGUCGUGUUAUUUUGAAAUCAAUUGUUGUUUUUGAAAACGCACCCUAAAGCUAUCCAAUUUCAACAGUUAAAAUAAGUAAUACCUAUCUUAGUAAUACAUAUUAAAACCAUCAAAAAUAAUUAAGUGGCCUUAUUACAUUUAAAAACCCAAAACUUCAAACGUAAAUAACAGGAUAUCCAUUUCACCGGAAGAAAAUCAAACUUUCAGAAUGGGUGGCCACUCCAAAUUCCCUCACAACUCUAAGCCCACUAUGGUUGGGGAUUUCCUGCGUGGAUGAAAAUAAAAAGGGUGAGUUUGGGGAAACUCAGUGUAUAAGGAAAACCCAUUCAAAGCCCAAGUCAGCUCAAGCCAUUGGGCCUAAGCCCAUUCAGGUAACAGUGGUACUGGGCCAGAGCCCUUUUCAGAUUACAAUAAACUGGGCCUUAGCCCCUUAUUCAGAUAACAGUAUGGCCCAUAGGCCCAUUUCAAAAUACAUGCAACAUCAAUAACAUAUGCAAGCCCAUUUGGGGAGACUACUCAACCCACCAACCACUACACUCCACCCGUACCAGUCAUACACUCCAUGUGGGGAAUAGCUCAACCCACCCAGCCCAACACUCCACAGUUGCAGCCUUGCUGCUCAGUUAACAGUAAAUUGAGGCAAAGCCUCCAGUACGUGGACAAGCCACUUUCAGUACUUCCUCCGUCAAUAUCCCAGUCCCAUGCAUCAGAUAAUAACAACAUGGCAUGCAGUAAAUAACAACAGUCAAACAUGCAUUUAGGUCAAUUUAACCCUAGCGGUAUUUCGAUAAUUUAUCUCCUAGGGAUAAAACUGUAAAUUUUCCACUUUUAAAGGUAUUUCAGUAAUUUAUCUAUUUUAGGGUUUUUCAUGCAUAUUCCUACCUUUCACGUACUAACAGAAUCACGUACCGAGGGUUCUUACCGAAUUGGGCCCGUUGGUCAAUCAUUCCAAUUUUGGCCCAUUAAGCCCAAAAAUAUCGAGGGCACAAAAAUCAUGCACUUUGCAGUCCAAACACUGCAGCUUACCAAAAACAUUAAUCGAUUUACCUCACGAGCAUUCGCACACUCGCAAAUCUACAAAAUAUCGAUUUUUGACAUUUCGGCUUUUUGGCUUUUGCCGAUCUAGACUAAGAAAGAGGGUGUUAGUUACACACCUGUUUGCGACGAUAUGCUGACGAGAUCCACACACGAACUGCCUACAAUUGGAUUACUAACACGUUAAUCUAACUAUUCAAAUACAAACUACGUAUUAACCCCUUACAAUAUUCGGCCAACCACACCUACAAAUCAUAGUAAGCUUAUAAGAAAUCAAUAAGCAACUCAUUAACAAAUUUUUAUCAAUGUUUACCACAUAAUCAUAAUUUCACUGCAAGCUAUCUUCCUGAGCAAUAGUCACUAAAUUAUUUAUAACUGGAGCUACGAAACUCCAAAUCAAGUGCCAUUAAUUUUCCAUGAAAAUAGACUCAUAUAUCUUCUAUCCAUAAAAUUUCAGAAUUUUUUGGUCUAGCCAAUCAAUACCAGAUUUUUCUCAAAGUUUCCCAUGUUUCACUAUUUGACUAAUCUGACCACUCUUCAUUACGAAUCAAAUUUCUCAUUGUACAGAAUUUAAAAUAUGUUCUUGUUUAUUUCAUUAGAACCUAGACUCAAUAAGCUUUAAUUACAUAAUUUAUUCAGCUUCAAAUUCAUCUCCCACAAUUUAUGGUGAGUUUCCAAAGUCACAUUACUGCUGCUGUCCCAAGCAGAUUUAUUACCAAAUCACUCUUUCACACAUACCUUGCAUGCAUGUUAUUUAAACAUGUAUAUCACCAAUCAAUCAUCACAUAUCUAUGAUUUUACUUAAGAAUAAUCUCCAUUUCAUCAUUUUAAAGCACAACAUGUUAGCUGAUUUUUCCCUUUAACAUCUAAGGCACAUGCAUGCUCAUUUGUUUGGCUCAACUUCACCUAUCUUCCAUUUUUUUCAUCAAAAGAACAUGAAAAAACAACCAUUUCCUUAAUUUUAAUUCAUGACUAAAUGCUCACAACACAACUAAAAACCAAAAUAUGCUUCAAGAGUUAAGGUAGAAUCAAGAAGAACUCAUGAACAUCAAGAUAGAAGCCAACUACCAUGAACUUACCUUCAAUUUUCUUCCCCAAGUGACCGAACACUCAAGAGCUUUCUCCUCUCCUUUCUCUUCUCUAACUUUCAGCUAUGAUGAACAAAGAUGGACAAGACUUUGUUCUUUUCACCCCUUUUUCUUUUAAUAAAACUUCAUAUUUCAUCCAUUUAAUUCUUUAAUACAAAAGACAUGAAAUUCUUAUCAUGAAACAUUUACCUAACCCAUUAUCAUGAAACAUUUACCUAACCCAUUAUCAUGGAACAUUUACCUAACCUAUUAUCAAUUUAUAUCAAUUUGUACCAUAAAUUAUGGAUAUCAAGUGUACAUUUUGUCUACAACAACAUGAUGGCUGGCCACUUCAUGUAAAAUGGGAGGUUUGUCAUGCAAAUCCUCCUAUUUUGCACUCCUAUUUAUUUGGUCACUUCAAUUUAGCCUAUAGCAUUUUCAAACAUUUUCACAUAGGUCCUAUUUCAUAAUUUCACUCACAAAUGACAAAAAUUAAGCAUGAAAUUUUGCCAACAUUCACAGAAUUCCCGAAAAUUGGGGCGUUACAUUCCCUAUCACAUACACUCAAUCAAUGAGUUAGUCACAUAACAAUGUAUAAUGAAAGUUAUCUUAGAUGAGCUCAUCAUUCAACAUCUCAUUUUGUACAUAUAAGUCAUGUUAAUCUUGUUGAGUUUCUAGAAAGUCUCGAUAGAAUACUUAUUAACCGUCAAUUCGUAUGAAUUAUCAUUUCCAGUAUGCACUUCCGCGAACAUCACAUCUCAUGGCAGGAUUACCAGUCCAGGCUAAAUCCCCCAUUUUAUGAACUCAUAAGGUGAUGUCAAGAUUACAAGUCCAGGCUAAAUCCCUUAUAACAACAAACACCUUUAUUGAGCUUGGAUCUGAAUUACCAGUUCAGGCUAAAUUCAGAUCCUAAUCGGAUUACCCGUCUGGACUAAAUCCAUAAUGCACACAUAUUCUUCGGGAGGCUUGACCAUUUAAAGGAACACCCGUCCGGGCUAGAUCCUUUUAUAAAUGACAUCAACGGAUUACUCGUCUGGGCUAAAUCCUUACUGCAACACAUGCAGGACUUCAUUACACAUGUCAAUCAUGGUUUAUCCAUCGAAUUCCCUUUUUAACCUCAACCGAGACAUUUAUCACAAUUCAUACUUAAACAUACAUUUCAUAAAAUUUCAUGUUAUUAAUAAAUGCAAUCAUCAUGCAUUCAUAAAUCAUAUAAUUAGGCACAUUGAGUGUUUACUUUAAGUUAUCCGAACUUACCUGGUAUUCAUUUUGGUGUCGUGUUUUGGUUAUUUCGAAACCUUUCGUUUUCCUCGAUCGACCUCCAGAAUUUGUUCCUCUAGGUCUAUAACAAUAAAAAUAGAUCAUAAACACUCUAAAUUAUAUAUUUCAAGUCUAAAUUCCACCCCCGAUCCAAAUGACCGUUUUGCGCCUAACCUUUCACAUUUUUACAAUUUAGUCCCUAGGCUCGUAUAAUGAAAGGCAUGCAAUUUCUACCUUACUCAAGCCUAGCCGAACACUUUUCCCUCUUAUGGUAGCCCACAUUUUUCAUUAUUUCCACAUUCCUGCCACACAUUUUACAACUUUUGCAAAAAGGUCCCUUUAGGGGUUUUUCAUGAAAAUCACCUAGAAAAAGUUGUUUAACACACAUCAAACUUUCAUAUUCCUCCAUAAAACAUCAAAAUACUAGUAACUUAUGCAUGGGUAAAUUUUUAAACAUGAACCCUAGCAUGAAAUAUUGGUAGAAAUGGAGAGAGUAAGCUACCGAAAUCUCAAAAUUAAGAAGAACAUUAAAAACGGGGCUUGAGAACACUUACUAAUGAGCUUGAAAAGCUUGGAAACCCUAGUUAUGGUGGCUUGGAGAUUACGGCUGGACAAGGGAGAAAAAUGGUUAAUUUUUUCCUUCUUUUCCCAUUUUAUUUCAUUAAUAUGCCACAUGACCAAAAUGCCCUUAAGCCCUUUCUUUGAAAUUUCAUCAAUGCAAGCCCAUUUUUGUCCAAAAACUUAGAAAUUAGAAAAAUUUCUCCCCAAGACCUUCUAUUUUAUAAUCUAAAGCAAUUUCAUACAAAUUGCUUCUAGAAUCCAAGUUUUGCAAUUUAUUCAAUUUAGUCCCUAAUUUUCCAAUUGGGCACUUACUCAAAGAAUUCCUUCAUGAAACUUUAACACAUGUAUAUUCUCAUAUUCUAAGCCUCGUAAUAAUUAUAAAAUAAAUAUUUUGAUGUCGUAUUUGUAGUCUCGAAACCACUAUUCCGAUUAGGCCCUAUUUUGGGGUGUUACAUAAUUUACCAACUCCAAUGUCUUUGGGAAAAAUUUUAUUGCACAAGACUAUUAUAUCUUCCUCACUCAUAUGACCUAGUUGCAUGUGCCAAAGUUUUGUUGAGUCGGAAUCGAUGAAGAAAGAGUCACGUCGUGUCGCCGUGACGUGGUGGGAAUUUCGACUUUUCUUCAGUAAUCGCAGCCACACCAGUAAUUGUUGACCCUUGCAAAACGUAUAGGCUGCCCUUUUCCUCUCCCCUCAUCAUAAAAGAGCCUCAGAGAAACUUUUAAGUCAUUUGACUCAAUGACUAUCCUGCAACCAUUAGAAUCCAAAAUUCCCAAUGAGAUAAGAUUUUUCUUUAAAUCAGGAACAUACCUGACAUAUGAAAGUGUUUGAAUAAUCCUGUCAUGCAUCUUAAUUUGUAUCGUUCCAAUUCCGAAUAUUUUACAUGGGAGAGUUAUUCCCGAUCAGCACAACUCCACCUUCAACUUAACUAUAUGUAGAGAACCAGUCCCUGUUGGGAUACAUGUGACAGGAGUACUCUGAAUCUAAGUUCCAUUCAGAAGUAAGAUGAUAGCUUUUGCUCGUUGACACCAACAAGAAAUUAUCACAUUUAUCCUCAACUACACUAGCAUCAACAACGUCGGCUUUUUGCUUAUCUUUCUUAUCGUUUUCAUCAUCAUUUUUUAUAUUAUUUUGAAAUUUCCAACAUUCUGCCUUAACAUGGCCCGCCUUUUUACAAUAACCACAAUAUUUGUGAUGAUUUCUGGAGUUGGACCUUGCUUUAGACCUAUUUUGAUCUGUCUUUCUGGUUUGUCAUUUGCCUCUUGCAACUAGAACUGAGGUUUGCCCGUAUGAUUUUUUGUUUGGGCUUAACUCAUUAUUGAGUUUAUCCUUACUCAGAAGAUUCCCCUUCACAUCCUCGAACGAGUGAUGGUAUCUCCCAUAAAUCAAAGUUUCCCUGAAAGUUUUAUAAGAAAAAGGCAAAGAGCAUAACAAUAACAUAGCUUGAUCCUUAUCACUAAUAUUUGCUUCGAGAUUCUAUAAGUCUUUAAAAAGGGUAACAAACUCGCUAAUAUGAGUUUUGAUGGACUCACCUUUAGCCAUUCUGAACAUGUAGAAAUGUUGUUUUAAUACUAACCUGUUGGCUAGAGAUUUUGUCAUAUAUAAGGUUUCUAGUUUCUUCCAUAACAUAAACGAUGUUUUCUCCUUCAAAACCUUCUAUAACACAUUAUUCGUGAGAUAUAAUUGAAUAAUGGAUAGAGUCUUUUCAUCGAGCUCUUCCCAUUCUGACUGAUCCAUAUCUACGAGCUUUUUCCCUGUAAUGACCUUUUUCAGACCGUUCUAAACCAAUAUUGUUGUCAUUCAAACUUUCCACAAACUAAAAUUUACAAUUCUUCAAACUUCUCAAUAUCAAACCUUGACGUUGCCAUCUCUAAACGGGUUGACUGUAAAAAUUAAACUAGCUCUGAUACCAUUUUGUGGGGGAAAAACCCAUUAAGCAAUGAAUAAAGUAAAUAAAAUAAGAAUCGAAAAGAUCGAACAUGUAAAUUUUGCAUGGAAAACUCCUCAAGAGAGGAUAAAAACCACGGGAAAAAACAAAUUUCACUAUAAUAAAGGAGAGUACAAAAGAUGGAGGAGAGAAUUAAAAGAAAACCCGAAGCCCUUCAAGAAAAACCCUUCAAAACAAAGAAUAAAAUUCUCUCAAUCUAAAUAAAUUUUUGUUAUGUAAAACCUAGAGUAACUAAGGACUAUUUAUAGUUGAAAUUUGUAGCAUAUAUGACUACAACAAUUAGAGUUUAAGUGGGAAAGUAGAAACAAAGUUUAACUAGGAGAAAAAUAAAUUUUGGUCAAAAUAAGAGGCAUUCUUCCACACCUUUCCAAAUAAUACCUUAAGAGAGUGUCACAAAGUUACCCAAUGGAAUAGCAAGAUACAAAAGCUUAAGAUACUCCAAAACAGCAAACAAAGUGAGACCACACUAUUGCCUAUUUAUAGGCGUCUACAAGUGAUUAUAAGAUAGUGUUUUGAUAAGCUUUAAACUCUCCUUUAAAAGUUGAAAUUAUCAAAUUAAUUAUCUUGAAUAUUUAUCACAUAAAAGACUUUAUAACCAAGUUUUCCAAUAGCUUCAAACACUCUAAAAGGUAAGGAUAAGGAUAAGUGCCCAAAUUUCGAACUCCUCUCCUUCCUAGGCUAAUCAAAUGGAUGAUAAUCAUAUUCCAAUUUACCAAGAAAUUCUCUUAUCAUUUGUUGUUAACUAAUAUUAGAACAUAAGCCAUUAAAAGUCAAACAUGCCAACACCCAAAAAUGUUGAUUGCUCCAAAAAGCUUGUUUUAAUUGUUGUUCAAACAAGUCAGUACAAUUUCCAACAAAAAUUAAUAAUAACUAAAAAAUAUUAAAAAAUAAAAAAAUAUAUUUAAUAAAUGAAAAAUCAAAUAAAACCUAAUAAAAAGCUCAACCUUUUGUUAAAAAAAAUCAAAUAACUGAUAGUGUCUAGGAGAUGAGGAGUUAUACAUUUAAAUAUAUUGUAUUAUAUUAUUAUGUCGUAUAUUAAAUUAACAUUUAUAAUCUUUUUUUUUAAGGAAACCGUUAGUCUCAUAUUUUCGUCUUCUGUUUUUUUUUUCCGGUUAACAACAAAACUAGAAAAUACUGCACUUACACAUGUAUAUAUGUUGACCAUAUCUAAGAAAUAUGUUACUGAAUCAUGUGAAAUUCAUUCCCUUGAGCCAAGAAAAAGGAACGUAAAAUCAUGUGAGUUCACGUGGCAAUUAGGUAGAAAUUAGACAACUUGUCUAUGCUUCAAUCAUUAUGAGGCAAACCAAGACAAGUUCAACUUUUUUUUUAUCCUCUCACUGUGAAACCUUUUGCAGGAAGACUUAGGAACAAUAGCUAAGCCUAAAUCCUGCUAGAAUCACAACAUAUUGUUUUGUUUAUUAAAAAAAAAAGAUGAUAUUGGUCUUUGAUAUGUAAAAUUGAUCUAUACAUGCAUUGAUGUUGAGCAAUUUUUGUUUGAGGAGUUAACCGCUACAUUAUAUAGAAGUAAUUAACGUCUUGGGGAUUUUUUAUGCAAAAAAAUAUAUACAUAAAUUUAUAUGAAAAAUACAUGGUUAAAAAAAUUUGUAAAUAAAGCCUUGACAUGGUAGGUAAAAGUGGAAGCUAUAGGCUUUGAGUAACCAUAUUCAAGACCCACCGUACACAGUUGAAUGUAUGGGUUUUAAAGUCCUAUUAUUAAUUGUUAUGUGUUGGUUUUAGUUUGAUUAAUUAUAUUAUAACUUACAUUGUUUCUGUUUAUAAUUUAUAUUUUAUGUAAUAGAUUGAUUUUUUGUCUUAAUUUUUAGUCUAUUUAAAUGAUAUAAUUGUUUAAUUCUACACUUAAUAGUUACUUUGACCUAUAUUUAUAUUUUAAUUUUUCUGUAUUUUUAAACUUUAAAAAAACAUAUAUUUAUAUAUAGAAAGUUUAUGAAUAAAAUUUCUUUUUUCGAAAAACAAUAGAAAGCAUACGCAUUUAAUAUUUGGCAAAAAUAAAGUGAGUAAUGAAAGAUUGAAUUAAGGCAAACUAUAUUUGAUAGCAUCUUUGAUUGGUAAAGCCACCAAUAUCAGAAAACCGGAAACACUAAGACUAAUACGAUGCAUUAAUCAGCGGAGUAGUUCAGCAUUAGUGAUGAAGAUGAAAGUGGUAGAUACAAACCUUUUUCAAAGCAUUAAACACACUCAACCAUAAGCUGAAACAUGAAAAAGAAAGAAAGAAACCUUGGCAUUGAAUUGGGCCAACUACCAACGCCUAACCAUAUACUAUUCGUACGUGUUUCUCAGUUCUUUUGAUAUCCCUUCACUCAACUUUUGGCUAUAAAAACCCUCCUACGCUCAAGCCCUAACCACGACAAUCAGCUAUAGUACUUCUACUCCAAGCAAGCAUUUUCCUUUUCUUGUGAUUAAUCGAUAUGGCUAGCUCAAUGUCCCUUAAGCUUGCAUGUGUGGUGGUGUUGUGCAUGGUGGUGGGUGCACCCCUGGCUCAAGGGGCCGUAACCUGUGGUCAAGUCACAAGCUCCCUCGCACCCUGCAUUAAUUACUUGAGAGGGACUGGUGCUGGUGCUAUUCCCCCAGGUUGCUGCAGCGGCAUCAAAUCUCUCAACUCCGCCGCCCAAACAACACCAGACCGGCAAGCAGCUUGCAAAUGCAUCAAAAGUGCGGCCGCCGGCAUUCCUGGCAUCAACUUUGGCCUUGCAAGCGGACUACCAGGCAAGUGCGGUGUCAACAUCCCUUACAAGAUCAGCCCUAGCACUGACUGCAGCAGGUUCGUAUGAGUUGUUUCAUUGCUUAUGCUUAUUAAUUGCUCAACAUUUAAUGGUGUGUCUUUUGUUGUUUCAUUUGCAGCGUCAAGUGAAAUUUUGGCAUGGAAUGUUCAUCAGCUAGUGGAAGCCAAAAUAAUGAUAGCUACAGAAUAAAAAUGGAUGUUUAAAAUCCAUCCGUAGGGAUAGCAGAGGAGUUAUCCUAAUUUUAGAGUUGUGCGUUGUGUACUAGGUCGGUUUUUGCGACUAUGUAAUACUAUCUUUAUCUACAAAUUAAUAUCACUCAUUAUUUUGUGUUUCUUCUAUAUGAUAUUUAUCUAUAUACCCUUCUCUCAAGCAUUUUAUAUCAACAUUCACGUGGUCUAAUAAUAAUGAAAAUCAUGAUUACUCAACCCUAAGUUUAAUUAAAUCAAUUUAUGCACCGGUUCUGUUCUUUAGUUGCAUGUACCGGAUGCAAUUCCCAUUGCAAUCUGUUUUGUAAUUGAAAGGUUAUACAACUUGCUAUAUAUAUCGACAUAUUUUUAAUUGAAAAAUUUUGGGCUCAUUCUUAAUUUACUUUAAAUCUUUAAAGUGGACUACUCCUUUGGAGACAUUUCUUUUUAAAUGAAAAUAUUAGAAAUACAAUUAAGAGAGAUUAUUCAUCUGAUCAUGUUGAAACACGGAUCAAAGUUCAAAGUUCAUGAUCAUUACGCACAAAACGUUUUAUGAAGAUUAACUGAUUAAACGAGAUUAUUAUUUGAUCCACUUGAACUUGCCUGACUCGUGGAACACAUGGAAAAGUCUAUCUACUUAAACCUUUGGAGGUUCAGUGAAACUCUCCAGUAAAAUUAGAGUUACCAGAGUAAUUAAUGUAAAGCCUAAGGGAUAAAAAUGUAUAGAGUUUAAAUCUCAUAGGACUCUCAUCUUAUAAAUAAGUACUAAUAUCAGUCGUCGAUAUAAUUUAAUCUGUAUCAUUGGAUCUAGGGGAGCUCAACUAUAAAUAGAGACCUCCUUCAUUUGUAAUCAUCUCAUUGUACUCAUGAACAAAGCCAAAAAUAUUUUUUUGGGAUAGAAUUAAAUUAUAUAUUUUUACAAUAGUAAAAAUACAAUUUCACUAAUUUAAUAGUUAUCUUUAUAAUUUUUAAAGAAUUAAAUCAAAUUUUUAUGAUGGGGAAAGUGAAAUUUUACCAUUAUUAAUUUUAAAUUUUAUAAAUUAUAAAGGGAUAUAAAUGAAAUUUUUUCUAUUUUAGAAGGGAGGUCCCUACCAGCCCUCUUAGUUUCACCACUAAUUGUACUUCAUUCCUUCUUGAGUUAAAGAAUUUAUUAAGAGUAUUUACUCAAACACCUUGUAUACAUCGUUUUCUUAUAUCUUUUCAAUUCUCUUAUUGCUCUUUCAUUUUAAGUUACUUCCACAAUAUUUUUUGCUAACAUAGAGAAUUUUUAGGAAAAUUAUCACUUUUCGAGGGUUAGGUUGACUUAGGCAAAUUUAACGAAAAGAAAUCACUUAAAACCACACGAUUUAUUUAAAUUCUAAUCCCAUAACAGUAAAGUUUUGAUAUUUGAGUAACUCAACAUUUAUGUUUCAUGAAAAUAAAAAUAAUGAGAUUCACUCCUUACAAUAAAAUUUCUAUGUUGCACCUAAUUUACCAUUCACAAUAUGAUACUCAUAAUUAAGAUUAAUACAAUACAUGGGUUUGUCAUAAUGUAAUCUGAAAUAAGAAAGUAACAUUUUUUAAAUAAAUAUAAUUAGAAUCUAUUUUAUUAGUUCUGAAUUUUCAAAGUUUAUAUUAGUUUAAAACGGUUUUAAUAAUUCUUAGUUACAUAUCGCUGAUUAAACUUUUAAAUUUAAAUUCAACCGAUUCAUCUAAUAUAAUUCUAACAACAUUAAUAUAUAAUUUUUGUAUUUUUAUAAACACAUAAUUCUAAAUAUAUAAAUUCUUAAGUUGGUGAAUUGUUUAUUUUACACUAAUUUUAUAAUAAACUAUAUGCUAAUGAGAUAAUUUAUUUUACUAAAUUAUCAUUAAUGCUCCCUGAUUAGGAAUGUGCAUACAAAUUUGAAUAUCGCUGAAGAGAUAGCGAUUGUUUGUAAUAGAGAUUUAUCGUAUAAGUCUCAUCAUAAUUUCAUUAUCUUAGAAUCUAAACACAUUUUAUACAAAAAUGUUAUUUUAAAAUUAAGUGAUGUUUUGGUUGAAAUAAUUAAGUCAAAAUUUUAAACUUAAGUUUCAAUUUUAUUAUAGUAUUUUUUUAUUUAAAAAUAUGAAAAGGCAAAAAAUACUCUCUUAUUAAUAUUUUUUUUUAUUUUAUAUUAAAACUAUUUAGUAAAUUCUCAAUAGAGUUAGUAGCCGGUUGACUCGUGACACCAACUCAACUAAGGCUUAAUAUAAGUAUAAAUAGAUGAGUAAAUUUAGAAUAAUUAUUGUUAAUGUAACUGUAAAAAUUUACCAUUACAGUGUAAUGGAUUUUAAAGGGUUGAUUCUAAAAUCUGACUCUAAAUUUUUCAUCGAGCUUUGCUCUAACAACACACUUAGACGAUGGGAUCUCUCCAACAUUCUCGGUGAAAUUAAUUUUUUUGCUACAAGUAACCAACGAGGAAAGGGUGGAGGAGAAGAGUCUCGAUUCACCUAUGAUAGGAUGAGUUAAGGAGGGAGAGAGCGAGAGAGCUACAGUUGUUGUCUAGGUUUUCAGGGGAGAAAGAGUCGAUGCUUGGUUCCUCAUGCACCAGAGCUUACAUAGGGGAUCACCCAUUGUCCUGUAGUGUCGCGUAACUGACAAUGUUGUGUCCUACAAGAUUGUGCGUGCCAGCCAAGUGACAAGGCCGUCAUAGGUCAAUUGUCAUUAUAUAGUGUAUUGUGUGAUCCUACUCUAACAUUCUUGUCUUUGGGGUUGUACGAGACUAUUACGCUUUAGUGGUCCUCACGGAACUGCGUAACGAGCUAUCUCUAGGUAGUUUAGAUAGGGUUCAUGGGAGGUCAUUUGUGAGCAAUCCUAAGCGAAGGAUCGCUACGAAAGGUUCUUAACGAAGAGUCAUACGCAAACUGCUUCCAAUGGAGAGUUGUUUGCAUAUUGCUUCAUGUCUUGCCACGUAUUGAGAUGGAAAUAUAACAAUAACAUUAAAUUUUUUUCACAUGGACUCAGAGAAGCUAAUACAAUCCCAGACGCACUAGUUAAAAUUGGCACCCAUAGGAGUCAUUUAUUUCAUGUAUUUUGGGAUAAAUUUUUGGUGUUGUUGUAUGUGUUUCUUUAUAGCAGUGGUAUGCUAGUACAGCACUUGAACAUGCCUUGCACGGAUACUUUUUAUGAAACUGUAAGUCGACUAAUAAAAACGAAGUUAUGAAUAAACUGUACAUCUAUCUACCCACCUUCUUCCCUACCAUUUAUCCCCCGCCUUACUUUGGAAAAGAUUUAGGAGGGUUUCAGAUUUUACAUUUUAAAUUUUAGAUUUAUAUUUCAAAAUCCAUAAUCAUUUUUUAAAUUUGUGGAUCUACUCUAUUUAGUUGGAAUUUUAAUAAAUCUAGAAAUUUAAUAUAUUUAUGCUAAUAUACGCAUUACAUUCAUUUAAUUUAAAUAUAAAAUGACAUUAAAAUAUACAUGAUCUGAAACAUAUUAUUAUUAGACUUUUAGUCCCACCAUUUGCAAAUGUUAUUUGUGAGUUUAAAUCUCAUCAUGUAUUGGUUCUCUUCAAAAAAUUUUGAUUUAAAUCUAAAUAUAUUUAUGUUAUCAGUUAGUUAUGCUUUGUACUAUAUAUAUUCUAUUUUUAAUUGAUCAAAUAUAUAUUAUUUUUUAUUGCACUAGUAAACUAUUUAAAGAAAAUGUUAUUAUUAUUAUUUCCUUGGCUUUUCUUUUAUUUAUUUGGAACAUUAAAAAAUGAAAGGCUUUUCUUUAACUCCAUAUUCGUAUAACUUUUUUUUUAAAUAUUAUAACUAAUUUUAUAAUGCACACAAAAAUAGACAAAGAAUUUAUAAUUUUUUUUUAAGAAGACAGAAUUUAUAUUUAAUAUAAAAUCAAUCCUCGUUGAAUAGGAUUGCUUAUUACGACACACCUGUAAGCUCAUUAAAAUCAAUUUGGGGUUAGUAGAGAUAUAAAUCAUAUCAUUAAUUAUUUUUUUAUAUUGAGUCGGUGUGAUUUAUGUAAUUUAUUAUUCUAAUUCAUUUUAGGGAAUUUUUUAUGUAUAAAUCUUGUGUUGAAAUCAUAUAAUUUAUCUUACAAUUAUGAAUUUAUCUUUUGACGCGUCGAAAAUUAUUUAUUUGAAGGUUUUAUUAAAAAAUAUUAUUUAUAUUAUUUAAUAUUAUCGUCAAUAACUUUUUAUCCAGUGACUAGAAUAUUAUGAUAUAAAUAUUAGAGUUUAGGUUUGAUGACAAAUAAUUUUAUUCUCCACCCUUAAUUAUCCAAUAUAUAUAUAUUUCAUAUUACUUAAUUUUUUUAAAGUCAAAUUUUAUUAAAGAAUGAAUAUGAAAAAAUUAAAAAUAUUUCUUUUCUAAAAUAAUUUGACAAGCAAUAAAGCAUAAAAAAAAUUCCAUAAACAAUAAUUUCGAAUAAUAAAUUAUAAACUUUUGAUAAAGAUGUACUCAAAUAUCUUAAUAACUAAUAAUAAAAUAUGUAUAUAUUUUUUAAUUUCAUGUUUAAUUUAAAAUUUUUAAAAUAUUUCUUCAUAUUACAAAUGUAAUUUGUCUCCCUUUUUUACAAUAGUUGGAUCACUCUUCAUAAUAUACACAAUAAUAUAUUAUAAAGCAAUUUAUAAACAAUAAUAUAUUAUUUAUAAAAUCUUUUAAAAAUUAAAAAUUAAUUCACACGAUGAAUCUGUGCAUCUAAACAUAUCAACUACUUAAUAAUAUAUUUUGCAUACAAUUUGAUAAUAGUCCAAUUUGAAAAAAUAUAUAUUUUUGUGCUUUCUCAUAAAAUUCUUAAAUAACCCAUAAAAAGAUAUUAUAUGUUUUAAGUGCAUCUGAAUUUUUUCAACUUUAGAGUUAUUACAAAAGCAACAAAACCAAUUAAAUUAAUAUUUGGUUGGUUAAAGUUUAGGCGUUAAUAACUUAUUUUAUAUAGAUAUAAAAACAUUCAUACAUUCGUAUAGUGUUCAUAAUAUUUUUAUGCCAUUUAAUGUAUGAAUUGAUUUUCCAUAUCUUCUUUGUAUUGUUAAUUUUAACACUAUAUUUUUUUACAAAAAUUUAAAUUUUUAUACAUAUAUAAUAUUAAUAUAAAAUUUAAUUUAAUUUUCAAAAAGCUUUGAGCCAACAUAUUCAAAUUAGUCAACAACCUAACAAAACAAGUGGUUGAGGUUGCUUGUUGGCGCUGAUAUAGAUCCGACUAAUGUCAUUCACUACGAAAAUAAUGGAAAAGGCCACCUGUGGGGCCAACUAGGUAGAUAUAUUAUGAAUUGAAUGACAUGUGGCUGGUUGUAAUACCUCAUUGCAUUCAUUGCUUCAUUCACCCCCUAUUGAAAGUGAUAGAUUUUUUCUUUUAGGGAGAUUUAACUUACAAAUUCAUACUCUCUUUUUUUUUUUAUCAUAAGAGGUGUUUAAACUGUUUUUUUUUAAGUUUGGUAUUUCGGUUUAAUCAAAUUAUUAAGUUAAAAAAAUUUUAACCCAUUAAUUAGUAUCUAAGCUACAUAUUUUUUUCAAAUUGAUACCUAAACAUUUUUUUAUCCUACGUGGUACUUAAAUUAUUCUUUCAUUUUCCAUUUAAUACCAAAAUAUUAUAUUCAUUAAAAAAAUCUAAUCAAUAAUAGAUUGACAUGUAAAAUUUUAAAAAAAUAAUUAAUUCUUCUCUUCUCUUCUCUUUUUUUUUCAAUUAUUUCCCUCAUUUUAACUUUUUAUUUUUUUUUUCUUUCUUCUUCCUUUAUAAUGUCUAACAAUGACAACAAAUGCAAUGCUCAAAAUUCGCCCUCGUGAGGUUAAGACUAUGGAAAUUAAUUUUCUUUUCGAACUAUAUCGCUUGUAUGUUAGACCUGACGAGAUCGUAAAAAUUCUUUCAUUGAUCAAAACCAAUUUUUUUUCAGAAUCAGGCUAACAGGUCAUACUUUUGUAGGGGUGAGCGUCUAAUCGAAUCAAAUAGAAAAAUUUCGAUUUAAUCAAGUUGACGAGUCCUAUUUUAUCAUCUUAAAAUGAUUUAAAAUUUUAUCGAAUCGAAUCGAAUAUAUUUGUCUCCAGUUAAUUGAAAAAAAUUCUUUGGAUCCUUGUAGCCACUGUCACUCAUCAUAAUCAAAUUUGUCCAUCGUAAUCAAAUUUGUUAUUAACUUUCAUCCCUUCAUAAUUUAUUUAUUAAUCUUUUAUAUACGGGUUAGCUUCUUUGCUUGCUUAGUUGCUUCAAUUAUCUUUUAAUUCUUGUCACUGUGUAUUUUGAAAUUAAAAAAUAUAUUAAAUGUAAAAAAAUAUUUUUUUAAUAAAAUUUAUUUUAAAGAUAAAAUGUGAAAUUGGUACCAAUAGAAAGUUUUAACACAAAUAUUGUAUGACAUCACCAAUGAUACAAUUUUAACAGAAAUUGAUAAAGAUUCAACAUGAUUAAACAACUUAAUAAUAUAAAUAAUACAAAAUGUGAAAUUUAAUUUAUAAUAUAAAUAAUAGCCAUAAAUAAAAUUAUUACUAUUUAGGUCUAAGGAUUUUUUUUGGAGGAUUUUGAUUUUUGAUUUGGGGAUAAAGGGUGAGAAGUAAAAGUUUUGGGGGAAAAGUAGAAGGGUUUGGGACGGGGUAGGGGUGGGGGUGGGGUUGAGGCUGGGGGAAGGGGAAUAAAAGUUUCGAGGGUAAAGUUUGGAGGUUUGGGGUUGUAACACCCCAAACCCGGCCUAGAUGUUAGGACCAAGCCUGGAAAGCUACAACAAAUCAUUCCAAAAAAUGUCACUUUUAACUAAUUAAAGUUUAAUUGUCAGAAAAUGUUUAAAUAGUUGAACUAAUGUAGAAAUAUAAAUUUGCAAUCUGUAAUUCAAGAUAAACAACUAUAGUAUAAGUUUAAUUAAAGCGGAAAAUUACUAAGUAAGAAUGACUGAGCUCCCGCCACGGCGACCGGCCUAAGUCGAUGAGUUACCAAAAAUUCAGUCAACAGACAAAAUGAGUCGGUAAACACAACAUGUAAAUUAUAUUUUUAUUAAGCAAAACAACAGAACAUAUCUUCAGUUUUUCAAAAUUCGAACAGUUUUCAAAAUCAUAUACGGAAGCAGAACAGAAUAUGUCAGUUACACACCAUCUCCAUCCAACCCUACACACCAAAAAGGUAUGGAAUGCCCAUUCAUCCCUACACACCACAUAGUGACCAUAUGUCAUGUUCAAAAGGUUACAAACUAAAUUCUAGGACAGAAUGUGAAAGUCGCCAAAAUUAGAUACAUUUACGUGGCUUAGCCACCAAUCUUAGUAGAUUAUUUAACUGCCACAACUUCCUCCUUAUUCAAUCCCAACCCCAAUGCAGAUGCAAAGUUACAGAUACAGAUAUAAGCAUAGAUGUUACAGAUUCAGAUUAUACUCAGUUAACACAGAAUACAACUAUUCGCUAGUUUACAAUUCUAUGAUGUAUAUAAAAUAAUAGUUUAUACAGAAACAAAUUACUAGUCAAUGGGUUUUAUAACCCAAAUCGGAUCAUACAAACCCUAAGGUAAGCCUACGUUCGACUGGAACGACGUUUAUAGCCCUAACGAAAAAUUUGAAAUUUUGACCCAUACACUUGUGUGGAUUCACAUGUCUUGGAAGGCUGGCCUAUGUGGCACACGAUCUAUAACAUGGCCUGGCACACGACCAUGUGGCUCAAAAAAAUGAGUUACACAGUCUAGCACAUAGUCAAGCACACGUUCAUGUGACUCAAUUCAUAAAAUUUCCUUCAUAUGGCCUGGACACACGAACGUGUCCUAGCGCGUGUGACUCUAAUCCACAAAUAGUAAGUUACACGACCUAGACACAUGCCCACAUCCUUGGCUUGGUGACCCUAAUACACAAACAGUAAGUUACACGGCUAUAUGAUUAACAACCAUGUGUUCCAGUGUUCGCAAAUCAUAAAAAAAUGCGUUUUCUUUAAACACUUGAUGUAGUUUCGAUGUAGAAGCAACACACAAGAAUUUGGAACCUAAAACGACAAUUAAUUGACCAAUUAAACGACUAAUCAACUCAAAAUUCCAAAAUUAGCACUCAAAACUAACGUACGUCGAAAACUUCGAUGCAACCAACCAAAGCAGAAAUUUUCGCUUAUUGACAAGCGAGCAACAAUAGUUCAGACCUAAUUUCGCAGGAAAACAUUACUUUUGAAACCUUUUCCUAAAAGAAGAUCCAUUAGAACUAUUAACGAGAUUUUACAAUGAUUGGCAGUAAUAUCGAACCUCGACGAAACAGAAAAAGUCUAGCAAAAAAUAGGCAGAAAAAAACAACAGAAAUUACGAAAUAUCCUUGCAAUCAACGUAAAAAACCACACAGAUUUCCCAAUUAAGCACGAUAGCAAACUUACGGAAGCAAUCAAGCAAGAAAGGUGUAAUAGCCCAUUUUUAGUAAAAUCAGAACAGUGGUUUCGGGACCACAAAUCUAGAGUCAAAAAUAUAAUUUUAUUAUUAUUUUAUGGUCUACAUCAUGAUAUUAUUACAGUAUAAAAAUUUUGUUAAGAAAUUUUACCGUUUACAUGUUCAAUUUGAUAAAAAGGACUAAAUCGCGUAAAGUGCAAAAGUAGAGUUUUAAUAGCUAAAGGUAUUAAAUAGCUAUAUAAAUUUAAAUUAGAGGUCCUUAUAUGGUAAUAACCCAUAAAUGUGUUAGUGGAAUGUCAUGGCUUGGUAAACUUGUAAAUUGAAAUAAUUUUAAAGGUCAAAUAAAUAAUUAAGUAAAUAAAGGCAAAAUUUAGUAAAAUAAAGCCAAGUAUAAUCUUUUAUCCUCUUUAUUCAACCGAUUAGCUUAGAAAAAGAAGCCAUUUUUUCUCUUUAUGGUUCGGCAAGCUUGUUUCCAUCAAUUAGGUAUGUGUUUUGUCCCCCCCUUUUUUUAUAAUUUCUAUGUUUCUAGGAUCGUUGUAACUUAAUCUAGCUAGCCUGGGAAUUAAUUUGUGAAAAUGUUAAAGUAUUUGAGUUUUACUAUUGAUGAACAUGUUAGGGUUUUGAAGUUUAAUAGUAUAAAAUAAAUGGUUGUUGUUAGAUAAACAACCUUUUUAAAGGAAUUUUUUAUGAAAUUAUCAAUUAGGGAUUAAAUUAAAAAAUAUGAUAAAUUUGUGGUACAAUUUUGAAUUUGUGAAAUAUAUGGGCAGCUAUAAAUAUGUUUAUAGUUCGGCUAGGCUUGGGUUUGGAUAAAAUCGAAUGAAUUUCAUUUUUCGAGCCUACGGACUAAAUUACAAAGUAUUAAAAGUUACCAUUUUGCCAAAAAUGUAUGCUGGACUAAAUUAAAAAUGAAUUAUAUUGAAUUGAGUUAAAUUAAUUCGUAUAGAUCCGGUUAGACCUCGUAUGGAGUUCUAUUAGGGCAAAGGAAAAAUAUCAGAUUAGUCGCCUUCGUAUCUACGUACACUUGUCGAGGUAAGUUCAUGUAAUUAAAUUGUGUAAUUAUAUGCUUUGAUUGAAUUAGAUGUAUGUUAUUUGCAUUAUCAUCAUAAAUGAAUAUCGAUCGCAUAUCUGAUGACGUACGACGAUUACCGAGCCCCAUUUGAACCUUAAGAAUUAGUAGGAUAUAAAUAACAUGUCAUUAGGGUUAUCGAUUUCAGUUCUUAUGAGCUUACCGAUACUCAGCUCGUAUGAGCUUACUGUUAUUCAGCUCGGAGGAGCUUACUGUUUACAGCUCGUAUAAGCAUACAUGUACAUGAGUUGAUGAAUUACAGUUUAAUACACCUCGUGUGUACUACUACAUAUCCAAUAAUAAUCUAAAUGGUUCAACGUGCACUGUUCUGUUAUGAUAUUACAUGAGUUCAAUACGAACUAAUACAGGUAUUUACAUAAGAUAUAUGAAAAUGAUUUGUACAUGAUAUGUAGAUACAUGAUGUGAAAAUUAUAUGUACAUGGAAAUUUGAUAAUUGUUGAGCUCAUACAUGUUUCUUGAUAUUUAUAUGAAUUACAUGACUAAAAUGGUUGAUCAAGAUAUGUGUUUAGGCUUCUAUCCAAAUUGAGUUUGGAUAUGUUUUGUAUGCUUACCUUAAAUGUGACUAAAUGGUAAGUUAAAUUCUAUGUUAUACGAACUUACUAAGCUUAAAUGCUUACUCUGUGUUAUUUUUCGUGUUUUUAGUGAUUCAGAAGCUCGUUCGGGUUGGAAGCUUGUCGGAGCUAUAUCACACUAUCCAUUGGCUCUUUUGGUACACUCAAUUGUUUAAUUUCAGUUAUAAUGGCAUGUAUAUGUUAAUUUGGCCAAUGUUGGCUUAUAUGUGUUUUGUUGAGAUUAGCCAUUUGUUUGGUUUGUGUUAUAGAAUUUUAGAUAUGUUCAUAUUUUGCUUAUUAUAGUUGACGUGUAGUUUGGUUCAUGAUUGAAUAAAGAGUGGUAAAAAGGUAGCCUAAUGUGCAUUUCAUAUAUGUGUUUUGGAAUGUGAAGAAUUGAUCAUGAAUUAGUGUCUGGAUAUGUAAGGCAUAUAAGUUAAAUAUGUUAGUAUGUGAAAUACAAUUUGGCAUCAAAUGAUGUGUUUUGGAAGGCAAGUAAUUUGGUAAGAAAUGAUGUAAAUCUGCUUAAUAAACUUUGGAUGCAAAUAUGCAUAUAAGUGAGUUAAACAUUUGGAUAUAAUGAAUACAUGAAAAUUCUUAUUAUAAGUUGUCAUUUGAGGUGCCUAAGGGCAUAUUGGUUGUAUGUAAUAAUAUUACAUGUUUUAAGCUUGAUUUUGGCUGGUUUUGGAUGCCUAUUUAUGACUUGGUUAUAUGCAAAAUGUUGUGUUUAGGUUGGUACCAAGUUGGGUGAGAAAUGUGGCUUGGAAAAUGACCUAUUUUCAUACACAUGGGUAGAGACACGGGCGUGUGUCUCAACCGUGUAGGUGAUAUGGCCGUGUGUCCCCUGUAUCUUUUAAAGAAUGCAAGUUAGUAUGCUCACACGGCCUGGCACAUAGGCGUGUGGCUUGGCCGCGUAACCCAAGUCAGUGAGUUACACGGGCAUGGACACAGGCUGGGACACGGUCUUAUGUCCCUAUUUCGAAUACCCACACAACCUAAGACACGGGCGUGUCUUUUGGCCGUGUGAGUCACACAGCCUGGCCACACGGCCAUGUGACCCCUGCAGUUUUGAAAUUUUUAUAAGUUUCUGAAAACUUCUCUGAAUUUUUUAUUUAGUCCCGAAUUAUUUCUAAGGUGUAUUUUGGGUCUCGAGGACUUGUAUUAGGGACAAUAUGCAUUAUUAUGAUUGGUUUCUGACAUGAAUACUAUAUGUUAUGAAAUGUUUGAAUUUUCUGUCCAUUUAAAUUGUAAACUUCGGUAAUACUCCUAACCCUAUUCCAGCGACGGAUUCGAGUUAGGGAUGUUACAAAAGGAGAAAAAGAAAAAAUAAGGAAAAGAAUUGUAAGGAAGGAGAAGAACAAAAAAUAAAAAUAAAAAAACUAAAAAUAAGUUUUAAACAAAAACAAUUAUUAAAAUAAAAUUGAUUUCCCGAUAGCACACCAAAAUAUUUCCUUAUUUCUUAUGCAGAGACUCAAACAUGAGACCUUAGGUAAUAUAAAACUUAAUCAUUAAACCAGAUGACUCAUUCUUGACACAAAUUAAUGUAGACACAAACUUAAGUCAAACAUUCAAGAAUAAGAGUUGAAACAAAAGAAUAAUAAAAUUCUCUAAAAGUACGACUUGAACCCUCGAUCCAAAAACCAACACAUAUAACUUAACCACUGAAGCAGAUACUUGCUUAUAAAUAGACACUAAUAGUAACAAUUCAAAAUUUGGGGCGUUACAGGGGCAGACAAAGAGGAAAGAGUAAAUUUUUGGGGGAAAAGUAAAAAUGUUUGGGGUUUGGGUUUUGAGGUAAAAUGUAAAAUAUUAUAGUUUGGUAUUCGGCUUAAUCGAAUUAUUCGGGUUAUUUGAAUUCAAAAACUCAACUUGACUCGAACUUGAAAUUAAAAAAAAUCUAGUUGAUUUGAUUAAUUCGAUUAGAAUAAUUCAAAAUUCGAGCUUUUUUCAAUUUUUUCGAGUCUAUUCAAAUUUUGCUCACCCUUAAUACUGGGAACCAAUUAGGAUACUAGUUUGGAGAUAGGGCUUGAACCAAUUAACCUGCAAACUGAUACAGAUUUAUUGAGCCGAGCUAAAAAAAAACUAGUUGAACUAGUUUUCUCUAUUUUUUAUUUUUAUCUUUAUGAAUUUUUAAUAAUUGAUUUCAUCAAACUGGAUAAAUUGAUUAAACCAGUAACUAAUGAUCUAGCUAGUUUGAAUAUGGUAAUUUUUAAUUGGUUAUCAUUUUUUAAAUAGACUUAACGAUUUGAGUAAAAUUUAAACUAACAAAUGUAUCAAUUUGAGAAAAAAUAAAUUAAGUACCACAUGUGACAAAAAUGUUUAAGUAUCAAAAUAAAAAAAAUAUAAUUUAAAUACAAAUUUGUAGAUUAAGGUUUCUUUUAACAAACUUAACGGAUUAAGGAAAUUAUCAAUUUGAGAAAAAAAAUAAUUUCGAUAACAGUCGCUGGUGACAAAAAAGGAAUUAACUACCAAAAUGAGAGAAAAGGGAAAAGAUUGAUAUAAUGUGAAUUGAAUGACAUGUGGCUGGUUGUAAUACCCAACAAGCUUUAACAGGUGUCACUGAUUAAAAUUAUAUCAUAUGUAUUCUAUCAAAAAUAUAUUAUGUAAAAUUACAAUUUUUAAAUUUAAUAAAAAAAUAUAUUAAAAAUUUUAACUCCGGCCAAAACGUGAAAUAAAUCGUUUUUUAACAGUGUUUUGGAAAAAAAAAUUAGGGUUAAGUACCGAAAUGAUCACUAGAGUAUUACUUGUGUUUUAUUUUGAUUACUAAAUUUUUAAUUAUUUUUAUUUUAGUCACUAAACUAUAUGAAAUCAAAUAUUUUUGUCACUAAAUGUUAAUGACCGUUUGAAAAUUUUUCGAAAGUGUUGAAAUGUGUUAUUUUUUAUUUGUCUAAUAAAAAAUUUAAUCUUCUUUACACAUUCUAUCAAUUUGAUUCUAAAUAUAAAAAAUCAAUAAAUUUAACACCAAAUGUUUACAAAAUUUGUCACUUUAGUUCAAAUUCUAAAAAACAAAAUUAAUAAAUUUAGCUCUUAACAUUUACAAAAUGAAAAUUUUUAAUUUUUAAAAAUUUUGUAAAUUAAAAAGAAAAACAAGUGUAAUAAUUGUAAAAAUUAUUAACAAUUAAAAAAAUCCAUAAAGCCGUUAGCUACCUCAUAGUCAGUGCCAUUUAAAAACAUGCUUAGCCAUAAUAGUACAAGAAUUAAUGAAAAAGUAGAGUAAAAUUCAAAACAAUCAAUCUUAUCGAUAUACUUUUUCAAGGCUUUUAAUGUAAACUAAAAAUUCUUGUCCCAUCUUGUUCUUCUUCUUUUUUCUACAUUGGUUUAAAUUAUUAUUUGCUAUUAAGACAUUGUCAAUUUCAGUAUUUGUCUCAUUGCUUGAUCUUCACAAGAAAUUCUAGAAACAUAGUAUUGUGUUUUUGAGAAACCGUGAACCUUGUUUUGUUAAUCUAGGUUUACACCAAAUUUCAUUAUUGUACUCUACUUGUGAUUUAUUUGUGAUUCUUUUUUCAAUUUCUUGUAUUUGAAAAUAGAGUAUUAGUGAUUUUUUAGUACUGCUGCUAGUUAUGUAUGAAGUUGCUCAAAUUUAUGUGUUUAGCCAAAGGGUAGGGGAAUCAAUGCAUCCGCUACACUUACUUUCAAUGUUUCGCCUUGUCUUGGGGUUAAACUAAAGUUGAAGUCUCAUUUUAAAGUUGAGAGAUUAGAUCGUGGUGAUGAUAAUUAUUUCUUUUUUUUUUUUAAGUUUAUUUAGGUUUGUGUGUUGAGUUUUUUAAAAAAAAAUUUACAAACUUUUAAAAAUCAAAUCUUGUCAUUUUGUAAAUGUUGAUAGUUAAAUUUAUUGAAUUCUUUUAGAAUUUGAAUUAAAAUGAAAAAUUUUGUAAACAUUGAGGGCUAAUUUUGUUGAAUUUUUUUAUAUUGAAGACCAAAUUGAUAGAAUAUAUAAAUAUUAAAAAACUAAAUUUAUUAUUAGACCAAUAAAAAAAAACCAAUUCCACACUUCUUUUAAAUUUCAAACUGCUCUUAACAUUGAGUGAAGAAAAUAUUUAGUUUUAUAUUAUUACCAAAAUAAAUAAAAAUAAAAAUUCAAUCAACCAAAUAAUCUAUAAAUAGAUUUAGAAUGUUGCAUGAUAUAUAUAUUAAAAAAAAGAAAAAAAAACGAUGCAUGUGCCCUAAUGUUGUGAAGUUUUUUUUUUCAUUGAAAAUAACAAAAUAACUAUUUGUUUAUAUUUUAUAUUAGUUCUAUGGCAUACCGCGUGGAAAAGGAAAAUUCAUGUAAAUAAUAUAUUUAUAAAAAUUUAUAUUAAAACUAAAUGAGAUUUUAGUUGAAAUAGUUAAGUUAAAAAGUGUAAAAUUUAUGAGCUAUAAGUUUAAAUCCUAUUGUAGUGUUAUUUAUAAAAAAAAUGAGAAAAGAUAAAAAUACCUUUAUAUUAAUAUUUGUUAUAUUAUAAAAUAAGGAUAUUUUUAACAAAUUUUCAAUUGAAUAGAUGUUUGGGUGAAUCCUAAUACCAAUUAAAGUAUAUAUACACAAACAAUUAUAAAUCAAAUUACUUUUAAUAAAAUGCUAUCAUUCAAUUCAAUGACAAUAAAUGCAUUUAUAAAUACAUCAAAUGUAAAUCUCAUGUUUAUAAGAAAACACGUAGAAAAAAAGUUAAACCAAUAUUUGAGUCCUAGCUGUGGAGGCAUGAUUGAGUGAAAUCAAAUGGACGCUGGUUUUAAUUCUAUUGAAAGAAACCAAUAAUCACGUAGGUUGGCAGUUGAACAUAAUUGAAUGGUCUCAACUUUUAAUGUGGUGUUAAUGUUUGGAUCGGAUAAUCUCAACUUACCUAAUAGCUAGGAAAGUAAAAUUCAAACAUCACCCGCUACUACUUUUGGCUAUAAAAACCCUCCUACCCUCAAGCCCUAACCACGACAAUCACCAAUAGUACUACUACUCCAAGCAAGUAUUUUCCUUACACGUUUGUUUUUCUUGUGAUUAAUCGAUAUGGCUAGCUCAAUGUCCCUUAAACUUGCAUGUGUGGUGGUGUUGUGCAUGGUAGUGGGUGCACCCCUGGCUCAAGGGGCCGUAACCUGUGGUCAAGUCACAAACUCCCUCGCACCCUGCAUUAAUUACUUGAGAGGGAGUGGUGCUGGUGCCGUUCCCCCAGGUUGCUGCAGCGGCAUCAAAUCUCUCAACUCCGCCGCCCAAACAACACCAGACCGGCAAGCAGCUUGCAGAUGCAUCAAAAGUGCGGCCGCCGGCAUUACUGGCAUCAACUUUGGCCUUGCAAGCGGACUCCCAGGCAAGUGCGGUGUCAACAUCCCUUACAAGAUCAGCCCUAGCACUGACUGCAACAGGUUCGUAUGAGUUGUUUCAUUGCUUAUGCUUAUUAAUUGCUCAACAUUUAAUGUGGUGUUUCAUUUGCAGCGUCAAGUGAAGUUUUGGCAUGGAAAGUUCACCAGCUAGUGGAAGCCAAAAUAACGAUAGCUACAGAAUAAAUAUGGAUGUUAAAAUUCCAGAGUUAUGCGUUGUGUACUAUGCCGCUUUAUGCGACUACGUAAUAUAAUCUUUAUCUACAAAUUAGUAUCACUCAUGUCUCCAUUCCCCUUCUUUCAAGCAUUUUAUAUCAACAUUCACGUGAUCCAUAUUUCAUUCCUUAAAAAAAAAAAUUAAGAAAACAAAAAUUAUGAGAUUCACUCCAUAUAAAAAAAAUUCAAUGUGGCACAUAGGAAGUUUAUCGUUUCAUAAUACGAUACCCAUAAUUAAAAAGUUCAUUUAUAUUUGUAACUAGGGUUGAAAUCAUAAAAUUAUUUUUGUGUAAGUUUGAAUUUAUAUUUUACUAAAAAAUAAUCUUUAUUAAUUGUAAAACUUUAUAAAAGAAAAUAUGAGUUUACCUAACCGUAUAUCCCUAUAUGUUGCAUUGUGGGGUUAAAGUCUUUGCAUGAUAAAUCCAUUAUCUUCAUAUAUCUUGUAUUGUGGGGUUAAAGUCUUCGCACGAUAAAUCCAUUAUCUUAAAAUCUUAGAAGAAAAUGAGUGAAUGUUGGAAGUUUAUUCUUAAUGUAAUUCUAGAAACUAAUUUAAUUAUUAUUAUUAUUAUUAUUACAAAUUUGUGCCUUUGUAAAAUAAAUAUAUACUUCUAUUUUUAUUUUUACAAAAUACAAAUAUUAAAUUUUAAACCUUAUAAACUUUUAACCAUAAAUUUUUAAUCGUUAAACCUAAACCCCACCUCUAAUAUAAAAUCCUUUGUCCACAAACUGUUCCAAUCAUUUGGGAAAGAGAAAAUCAAACUGUAAGCCUACUAAUAAUAUAUCGUUAUGAUUAUUUAACAUUUGUUACUUGAUUUUGAUAUUUUUCUUAUAAUUUCAUACUUAAUUUUUUUUAUCCAAUUUCACACUUAAACCUUUUAAAUAUUAUACAAAUUACCUCAAAAUACUAAUGAUAUUAAUUUUUUUAUGAGGGAAAAGAAACAGCUAACGUAUGGUUGUCAUGUGACAAAUGAUAUGGAAUUUAAUGACAGGGAUGAUUACAUUUAUUUGAAGUUUUCUCUAUUUUUUUAAACAAUAUGUUCACAAUUUACAUUUCAUCAAGCCUGAGAUUACUUUGACAGUUAAUGGCAAGAGUGUUACAAGAGGAACCAUAUGCUUAAAGCAUGACCUAGUUUUCAUAAAGCCCUCAAGUCCCAUAAAAAUAGGAAAAUUAUGUUAAAAAAUUGUACCUACGCUUAAUAGAAUAUUGAAAAAUAAAAAAAUAAUUUUAAAACCCAAAAAUAAAAAGAAAUUCAUUAUUAAAUUAAAAAGGUAAAAUAAAAAAAUUAAUUAAACUAAAAGUAAUUCAACAAUUAAAAUACAAAAAAUCAAUCUCAUGUCAUCCGUCAUAUGUUAAUCAUACAUUGAUUAUAUUUGCACCUCAUAAAUAUAAAAUUAUUAUAUUGGAGUAAUUUGUAAAACCUUUAACAAGUUAGAUACCAAAUUGAAAAAAAGAAGAAGCUUAAGUGCUAAAUUAAAAAAUAUAUAUUAAGUUCGAGAAUUAAAUUGAAAAAAAAAGCAAGGGUACCAAAUAAGCUAAGACCCACACUCAACCCGACUCCUAUUAAAUAUCUCUUCGUCUCACUUCGGCAAGAGACAAAGGAUAUAUAGUUUACACUACUAAAAUUCAACUGUAUAUGUAAUAGGCCAAUUUUGGCCUGGCCUAGUUAAUAAAUAAAACCCAAACAAAUAAAUAAUAAAAGUCUAAAAUUUACAGUCCAUUUUUACAAACAUCAGGGCCCAAUUUACAACAUGCAUAGCCCAAAUAAAAAAAAACUACCCAAACCCAAUUACAAAGCCCAAAACAAAUCAACCCUAGCCCACUCAAAACAUUUCAGCAAAAAAAGUAAACCCUAGUCACAUGCCUUCAGCCGCCGCUUCUCCCACACGUUACCCUCGACCACUGCACGCACGUCUGUCACCGCCCUUCCGCACGUCUGACAUCUCUGACGACCUGCAACACGCAAGCGAAAGAAGCCAAGCAGAAGAACCAAGAAGAAACGACAAAAAAAAAGAGGAAGCAAACAGUUUAUGACACGACUAUAAAAGCCGAAAUAAGUCCUUUGUAAUUUUUUUAAGCAUACUAGAAAUAAAAAAGUAGAACAGAAGUUUCGAAAAGGUGUUAUUUUGAUCCUAUUCUUUUUGUCUCGAUUCAUUUUUCUAGUUUCCUUUUAUUUAUUCUUAACACGAAUCUAUUUUUAAAAUAAAAAAAACAAGGCAAAGAUUUCCAAAGGUGACCCUUUUUUUUAAAAUCUAAAAUUUUUCUACCUUUUUUGUUUUUUUAUUCUCAUUAUUUCUCACGAAAAAUAAAGAGAACAGAAAUGAAGGAUUUACUUGGGCUGUUUCGCACUCUGGUCGCCGAAAACUCCCUCUCCGGCGUCGAAAUCGUCUUAGGAAGAAGGUGACAAGGGCCUUUCUUUCGAUUUUCUGGUUAGGAAGGCUUUGCCUUCGGUUUCAUUUUCUUGAAAAAGGUUAAAAAGGCCGAAUUUAAGGGUAGCUCCGACCACCGUCCACGGCGGGGAGCGGAGGUCCGAUGACGUACGAUGAUGGGUUUUAUAAACCCUAGCAGAGAAAAUAAAUGGGAGGGGGGCUGCUUUCUAUUUUUUUUAAAAGAAAAAGAAGCAUGUAAUAGCCCAAUUUAGACCCUAAUCAGAAUGGUGGUUUCAGGACCACGAAUUCGAGUCAGAAAAAUAUUUAAAUAUUAUUUUUCGUGUUUAUUAUAUGUGAAUUUGCAUGUGUGAAAUUUUCGUGUAAAAAUUUGAUUGUUUGUGUGCUUAAUUUAAUAAAAGGACUUAAUCGCGUAAAUUAAAAACUUGAUAGUGAAAAGCAUAAGGGCCAAAUUGUUAAUGGCUUUGUAAGUUGAAGCAUUUAAGUGGCAAUUUGACCAUAUUUAGUUAGAUGGACGGUUGUGACCAUGCAUUAAAAUGGUUUUAUAUUUUUAUAUCUUAAGGUUAAUUUGGUAAAUUAUGAAUUAAUAAUGUUAUAAUAAAACAUAAAAAUAAAACCACCAUGCAUUUGUUCAUCUUUUUGACUGAAAGUUGUGAAAGAAAGAAAAGAAAAUAAGCUUGGUGAUAUUCAGCCAUUUCUCAAGCUUGAUUCAAGGUUAGUUUGGUUUCGGUUUUUGAUAAUUUUUACGUUUUUGAAAUUGUUACUUCGAAUACUAUCUGACCCAUGCUAGAAUUUUUGAUUUUGAUGAAUGUAUUGAGCUGUGCCAUUGAUGAAUAUUUGUGUUUUGUGAUGUUUGAUGAUGAAAUAUUAAAGAUAUGUUUUAGAUUAAUAUGUUUUGUAUUGGAAUUUUUGAUGAUUUUGAGUAAUUAGAACUAAAUUGUAAAAAUAAUAAAUUAAGGGACUAAAAUGUGAAAUAAACAAAAUUUGAGGACUUGUUUGGGUGUGGGGAGUAUUCGGCCUAAGUAUAACAUGAGAAAAUUAUGCUUGUUUUGUGUUUUAUGCAAAUAGGACUAAUUUGUAAAAGUAUGAAAUAUCAGGGGUAAAAUGGUAAUUUGCCCAUUUAUGUGUUGUUGGAUUAAAUUGAAUGAAAUUGUGUUUGAAUGAGAUAAAUUUGAAAUUUUAUAGAUCAAGAAUAAAAGAAAUCGGACUUGGAUCGAGGAAAAACAAAAAUAGUCGAAUAGUCGAUUUACAUCGUUCGUCGAUAUCCAAGGUAAGUCUUUAAGCAAUUAAACAUCAUUAAUUUUGAAUGUAAUUUAGUUUAAUAUACUGAUUCGGAAUUUAUGGAUUUGUAAUAGAGUUAGACGAAUGUGAAAAAGUAUAUAAAUAAUGUAUUUGAGUUUAACUCGAUUGAGUUAUAACAUUUGAAAGUCCGUAUGAACUAUAUGGAAUAUCUGAAAUGUUUGAUAUAUGAAAUGUUUAUGAGACAACUUUAUAAUAAUGAUAUUCGAGCUUUGAGCCUAGCAAGCCUUGUGUUGGUGAAUUUAAUCGGGCUUGACGCCCAGUAGGCUUAUUACCGUUGUAUAAAAUCAGACUUUGAGUCUAGCAGGCCUUGUGCAGAUGUGAUACAGGCUUAGGUCUAGCAGGUUUUAUACCGGUGAAAUAUUAUAAGUCUAUGCCUAAAAGAUUUUAUGUUGAUGUGAUAAAUGAAUAUGUUGAACGAGCUAAAACGAUCAGGUACGUGAUAGCUAGACUACCUAUUUGAAAACAAGAUGAAUUUAUUCCUUGAUAUGUGAUGAAAAAGAAUUCAUGAAUUUAAUGUAGUACAUGUGCUAAUGUGAGAAAUAUAUUUGAUCUUAUAAUUGUACAUGAAGGUAUUGUUAAACUUUGAGUGAUGAGUAUAUGUCUUAAAAUAUAUAUGUAUAUUCGAUUAUAUAAAUCAAUGUGGUUUCGAAUUUCUCAUAUGUAUAUUCGAUUAUAUAAAUCAAUGUGGUUUCGAAUUUGAGAACAUAUUGGUGCUAUAUACUUGUUUAUUCGGCCAAAAAGAAGUUGCCUUAUGAAAGUAUAUGUUUUAUAUGUGUGGAAUUAAAAGUUUGAAAAUAAAAGUGAUUAAAAAUGCAUAAGUUGAUUUAUUUAAUUGAAAUGAUUAGUAAUUAAAUGUUAUUAUGCUUUAAUUGUUUAAUUUGCUUAAGGAAUACUAAGCUAAGUUAGCUUACUUUGUGUAUAUAUAUAUUUGUCUUUGUUUUAUAGUUUUUGGAGAUCGUUACAUGCUCGGAGAUUGUCAGUAAAGUCAAUCGCACUAUUGUUUAUUCUCGGUACCUUUGAAAGUUUUAAAUUCAAACUUAUGGCAUGUAUAGGCUGAAUGAUGUUUUGUUAUGAUGAACUUUGGCUUUGUAUAAAGCCAUGCGAAAGUGGCUUAUUUAAAUGCUUGAAUUUGGUUUUGGUAUAAUGAUGGUUUGAGUCCAUUUUGGUUAUUAUGCAAUGUGUCAAGGAUGAAUGAUACUUGUGAUAUCUAUUUGAGUGUUGAAGAUGCUUGGUAAAUUUGGAUGUGUGCAUUGGAUUGAUUCGGUUAUGGUAUGGAAGAUUCAUGUUUUGUAUAUAUAUAAAUAUAUCUAUUUGAAGUUAAUGGUUUACUCUUGAGAGAUAUAAAAUGUAAUAUGAGUUGGUUUGAAAAUUAUACAAUGAUGUAUCGUGAAUUUAGAUAUAAGAUAAAGGUAUAUGAGGUGGUUAUGUCUAACUUGUGAUUCGACAAUUGCUUUUAUAAAUAUUCAUGCUUGAUGAAUUGACUUAAUAUGUAUUUCAACUAAAAGUAUACUAUGUAGUAGGUAGGUAAUAUGUAGGAUUAUUUGCGUCUUAGGCAAAGUUUAGAUGACCAAAUUGACGAUAAAUAGGUUAGUUGUAAAUCCGCAUUUUUGGUAUGUGACAUGAGUGCAUUUCAAAUCUUUACUUGCAAUAUAAAAUGGUUAACAAUAAAUAAGUAAUUGAGUUAAAUUUUAGUUUGUGAAUUAAGCUUGAUAAGUUUCGUUAUUAAUGUUCUAUUAUAGUUCAUGUUUAAUAUGGUUAAAAAAUAUAUAAGGUUUAUUUGUUUAAUGAAACAAUUUGAUUAUUUGUGAAGAUAUGAAUGUCGUGUAUGCUGAUGAUUAAAUUGUCAUGUGUUAGAUUUUUAUUUGAUUUAAUAUGUACAUGUUUCGAAAUAUGUUUUAAAAUAUUCGAUGUUUAACAGAUAUCCGAAUUUGACUUGUAUUUGUAUAUUGUAAUGAUAGAAUUUCGAUUAAUAUUUAUUUGGACAUUCGUAUAUACAUAUGAAUAUGACUUGUGUGAGUAUUCAGAGUUGUGUUUUUUUCCAGUAAUGCCUUCGAACCCUAAUUCAGCGACGGAUACGGGUUUGGGGUGUUACAUUUUAUUAGUAUCAGAGCUAUAGUUUAGUCGAUUCUAGGACUAAUGUAGCAUGUGUGAGUUUAGCUAUACAUGCCAUAGUGUUUACUGCGAUAAUGUGAUGACUUCUGACAUUGAAAAUGUGUUUUCGUAUUGUAAAUAAAUCCCGACAGAGCUGUAGUUGAUGAUGUCGAGAGUGUAGCACAUGCUCCUGCGCAUGAGACAGCACCAGUUGAAUCUCGGCUGAUCUCGAGUAGCCGUGAAGGGGAGGCUAAACAAGCCUUCUAUCAACUAACGAAUGAUUGGUUUACUCAAUAUAUUUGAACUAACCCGGCUACACAACAACCUCCAUCCCCGAAUAAUUCAUCUUCGAUACCUGUGGUUCCUCCUAUGAUUGAUUCGAUGAGAUUUAAUAAGCCUUCCGUUGAUAAAAUUAGAAAACACGGGGCUGAAGAAUUCAGAGCUACUGAUGAUGAUGAUGCUAAGCUAGCUAAAUUCUGGCUUGAUAAUACUAUCCGUGUGCUUGAUGAGUUAUCUUGUACCCCGGAUGAGUGCUUAAAAUGUGCUAUAUCCUUGCUACGAGACACCGCAUACCACUAGUGGAAUAUACUAGUAUCGGUGGUUCCGAAGGAGCGAGUGACUUGGGACUUCUUUUAGACUGAGUUUCGUAAGAAAUAUCUCAGUUAGAGAUUCAUUGACCAGAAGCACAAGGAAUUUCUCUAAUUAAAAUAGGGUCGCAUGACUGUGAUAGAAUAUGAGCGAAAAUUUGUGAGACUCAGUUGAUAUGCUCGUGAGUGUGUUUCAACUGAAGCUAUCAUGUGUAAAAGAUUUGAAAACGGUUUGAACGAAGACAUUAAAUUUCUGGUUGAUAGACUUGAAAUUAAAGAGUUCGUGGUACUUGUUGAGCGAGCUUGCAAAGCUGAAGAGCUCGGGAAAGAAAAAAGAAAAGCUGAUUUUGAAGCUAGAGAUUUUCGCAAAAGAUCAUUGGGUAAGACUUUUCAAUUAGCAUCGAAGAAGUUCUGAGAUGAUUCUAGUCAAUCUAAAGAUACUGCGAGCUUUUCUAGACGAGAUUGAGACUGACCCCCUGUGAGUUUGCGAGCCACUUCGAUAGUUAGUGUUGGCAAUGUUCGACAGAAUAGAGUCGAGUGCAAGCAUUGUGGUAAAUGGUAUUCUGGAGAUUGCAGAUUGCAUGACCGGUCUUGUUUUAAAUGUGGAUCGAUGGAUUAUUUUAUCCGAGAUUGCCCAAUGUUAGCGAGCAAAACACUGUUCAGAAUGCAAGACCGAGUAAUAUGUCAGUGCGAGGCAGACCACCUAGGCAUUCGGGUAAUGUAGGUGGCAGUCAGAUAGGGAUGAAAGAUACAGCAGUUCGAUCUGAGGCUCGUGCACCUACCAGAGCAUAUGCUAUACGUGCUCGUGAGGAGGCUUCUUCCCCAAAUGUUAUUACCGGUACUUUUACUCUUUAUGAUACUAGUGUUAUUACAUUGAUUGAUCCUGGUUCGACUCAUUCUUAUGUGUGUGAAACAUUAGUAUCCAGUAAGACUUUGCCUGUUGAGUCUACUGAGUUUGUGAUUCGAGUAUCGAACCCCCUAGGCCGGUGUGUUCUGGUUGAUAAAGUAUGUAAGAAUUGUCCAUUGAUGAUUUGAGAUUCAUGCUUUCCAGCCGAUUUGAUGUUAUUUCCUUUCGAUGAGUUCGAUAUAAUUUUGCGUCUGGACUGGCUGACUUUGCACGAUGCUGUUGUUAAUUACAAAAGAAAGACCAUUGAUUUGAGAUGUCAGAACAACGAGAUUACUCAGAUUGAAUCUAAUGAUCUGAAUGGUUUACUAGCAGUAAUAUCUUCGAUGUUAGCUCGGAAGUACGUGAGAAAAGGUUGUACAGCUUACUUUACUUAUGUGCUUGAUAGUAAAGUGAUUGAAAAAAAGAUUGAAUCUGUACUAGUUGUGUGCGAGUAUCCGGAUGUGUUUCCUAAAAAAUUACCAGGUUUGCCACCUGUCUGAGAGGUAGAUUUUAGUAUUGAGUUAGUACCGAGGACGUCUCCAAUUCCAAUAGCUCCGUAUCGGAUGGCACCUACUAAAUUAAAAAGAAUUGAAAGCUCAGUUACAAUAGUUAACAAAUAGAGGUUUUGGACGACCGAGUUUUUCUCCUUGGGGUGCACCAGUUUUAUUUGUGAAAAAGAAAGACGAAACUAUGAGAAUGUGCAUUGAUUAUAGACAGCUCAAUAAGGUGACUAUAAAGAAUAAGUAUCCGUUACCACGGAUUGAUGACUUGUUUAAUCAACUAAAAGGGGCUAAACUGUUUUCAAAGAUAGAUUUGAGGUCCGGCUACUAUCAGUUGCGAGUUUAAGACUCUGAUGUGCCGAAAACUGCCUUCCGAACGAGGUACGGACGUUAUGAAUUUCUGGUUAUGCCUUUUGGACUUACUAAUGCACCUACUAUUUUUAUGGAUUUGAUGAAUCAAAUUUUUAGACAUUAAUUGGAUCGGUUUGUGGUUGUGUUCAUUGAUGAUAUAUUGAUCUACUCCUGUGGUGAAACUGAACAUGCCGAACAUUUGAGACUUGUGUUACAGAAUUUGCAAGAAAAACAGUUGUAUGCGAAGUUCAGUAAAUGUGAGUUCUAGUUACAUGAAGUUAUUUUUUUGGGACAUGUUGUUUCAGCAUCAGGUAUUCGGGUUGAUCCAAGUAAAAUUUCAGCAAUACUUGACUGGAAACCUCCGAGAAACGUUUCUGAAGUCUGAAGUUUUUUGGGACUUACGGGUUACUAUAGGCGAUUUGUGAAAGAUUUCUCUAUGAUUGCAACCUCGAUGACGAAGCUAUUACAGAAAUAUGUUAAAUUUGAGUGGUCUGAAAAGUGCCAGAAAAGUUUUGAUCAGUUGAAAUUCCUUUUGACCGAAACUCCAGUGCUAGUUCAGCCAGAAUCGGGUAAAGAAUUUGUUAUCUAUAGUGAUGCAUCUUUAGAUGGUUUGGGUUGUGUACUGAUGCAAGAAGGCAAAGUUAUAGCUUAUGCCUUGAGACAGUUAAAGCUACAUGAAAAGAACUAUCUGACACACGACCUAGAGUUGGCAGCUAUUGUAUUUGCGUUGAAAAUUUGGCGUCACUAUCUGUUUGGUGAAAAAUGUCAUGUUUAUUCUGAUCACAAAAGCUUGAAGUACUUGAUGACUCAGAAAGAUCUGAAUUUGAGACAACACCGAUGGUUAGAAUUGCUAAAAGACUAUGAACUGGUGAUUGACUAUCACCCAGGAAAUUGACUAUCACCCGGGAAAGGCUAAUGUUGUUGCUAAUGCUCUAAAUCAAAAAUCCCUGUUUUCUUUGCGUGCAAUGAAUGCACAUAUGGUCAUGUCAAAUGAUGGUACGAUAAUAGCCGAGUUAAAAGUAAGACUGUUAUUUAUUCAGCAGAUUUACGAAGCUUAGAAGGUCGAUAAUGAUUUGAUAGUAAAGCGGGCUCAAUGUGAUUUGAACGUUGAUUCAGAAUUUCUAGUGGAUUCUGAGGGAUGUUUGCAAUUCAGAAACCGAAUAUGUGUUCUGAGAAAUACAGAGUUGAUUCAGAUGAUUUUGAAUGAAGCUCAUAACAGUCGGUUAUCUGUUCACUCGGGUAGUACGAAGAUGUGUAAUGAUCUGAAACAGCACUAUUAGUGGCAAGGUAUGAAACGAGACAUUUUUGACUUUGUAUCGAAAUGUUUAAUCUGUCAGAAAGUAAAAGCCGAGCGUCAGGUACCUUCUGGAUUGCUACAGCUGAUCAUGAUACCUGAAUGGAAAUGAGAUAGAGUCACGAUGGAUUUUGUAUCCGGUUUACCGAUGACAUUGAGCAAGAAAGAUGCAAUCUGGUUUAUUGUGGAUAGAUUGACUAAAUCAUCUCACUUUGUUUCAGUUUGUACAGAUUAUUCACUCGAUAAACUUGCUGAGUUAUAUGUUUCUCAGAUUGUGAGACUACACAGAGUACCUAUUUCUAUUGUGUCUGAUAGAGAUCUGAGGUUUACAUCGCGGUUUUGGAAGAGACUGCAAGAUGCAUUAGGUACUAAACUACAUUUUAGCACUACUUUUCAUCCCCAGAUAGAUGGUCAGUCUGAGCGAAUCAUUCAGAUACUUGAGGAUAUGUUGAGAUGUUGCAUUCUCGAGUUUGAAGGUACGUGGGAACAAUACCUACCUCUGAUUGAAUUUACGUACAAUAAUAGCUUUCAAUCGAGUAUCAAAAUGGCACCUUUCGAGGCUUUGUACAGUCAUAAAUGUCGUACACCAUUGUAUUGGACUGAGCUCAGUGAAAAUAAGAUAUCCAGGGUUGAUUUGGUCAGAGAAACUGAACAGAAAGUGAAAGUGAUUCAUGAAAGUUUAAAAGCAGCAUCAGAUCAUCAGAAAUCAUAUGCGGACUUGAAACGUAAAGAUAUAGAGUUUCAAAUCGGGGAUAGAGUAUUUUUGAAAGUCUCACCAUGGAAGAAAAUACUCAGAUUCAGUCAUAAAGGCAAGUUCAAUUAGAGAUUCAAUGGACCGUAUGAGAUUAUAGAGCGGAUUGGGCCGGUUGCGUAUAGACUAUUGUUGCCACCUGAGCUAGAAAUGAUCCACAAUGUAUUCCAUGUUUCAAUGCUUCGUAGAUAUCGAUCUGAUCCUUCACAUGUGAUUAGUCCAUCUGAGAUUGAGAUCAAGCCCGAUUUAAAGUAUGAAGAAGAACCGAUUCGUAUUCUAGCUCGUGAAAUUAAAGAGUUGCGAAAUAAUAAAAUUUCGUUAGUUAAAGUACUGUGGCAUAAACAUGGAGUUGAGGAAGCAACGUGGGAACCAGAAGAUGUAAAGAGAGAACGCUAUCCAAACCUAUUCACCGUUAAGAUUUUCGGGGACGAAAAUCCGUAAGAGGGGAGAGUUGUAACAACCCAAUUUAGACCCUAAUCAGAAUGGUGGUUUCAGGACCACGAAUUCGAGUCAGAAAAAUAUAUAAAUAUUAUUUUUCAUGUUUAUUAUAUGUGAAUUUGCAUGUGUGAAAGUUUCGUAUGAAAAUUUGAUUGUUUGUGUGCUUAAUUUAAUAAAAGGACUUAAUCGCGUAAAUUAAAAACUUGAUAGUGAAAAGCAUAAGGGCCAAAUUGUUAAUGGCUUUGUAAGUUGAAGCAUUUAAGUGGCAAUUUGACCAUAUUUAGUUAGAUGGACGGUUGUGACCAUGCAUUAAAAUGGUUUUAUAUUUUUUAUCUUAAGGUUAAUUUGGUAAAUUAUGAAUUAAUAAUGUUAUAAUAAAACAUAAAAAUAAAACCACCAUGCAUUUGUUCAUCUUUUUGACUGAAAGUUGUGAAAGAAAGAAAAGAAAAUAAGCUAGGUGAUAUUCAGCCAUUUCUCAAGCUUGAUUCAAGGUUAGUUUGGUUUCGGUUUUUGAUAAUUUUUACGUUUUUGAAAUUGUUACUUCGAAUACUAUCUGACCCAUGCUAGAAUUUUUGAUUUUGAUGAAUGUAUUGAGCUGUGCCAUUGAUGAAUAUUUGUGUUUUGUGAUGUUUGAUGAUGAAAUAUUAAAGAUAUGUUUUAGAUUAACAUGCUUUGUAUUGGAGUUUUUGAUGAUUUUGAGUAAUUAGGACUAAAUUGUAAAAAUAAUAAAUUAAGGGACUAAAAUGUGAAAUAAAUGAAAUGUGAGGACUUGUUUGGGUGUGGGGAGUAUUCAGCUUAAGUAUAGCAUGAGCAAAUUAUGCUUGUUUUGUGUUUUAUGCAAAUAGGACUAAUUUGUAAAAGUAUGAAAUAUUAGGGGUAAAAUGGUAAUUUUUCCAUUUAUGUGUUGUUGGAUUAAAUUGAAUGAAAUUGUUUUGAAAUUUUAUAGAUCAAGAACAAAAGAAAUCGGACUUGGAUCGAGGAAAAACAAAAAUAGUCGAAUAGUCGAUUUACAUCGUUCGUCGAUAUCCGAGGUAAGUCUUUAAGCAAUUAAACAUCGUUAAUUUUGAAUGUAAUUUAGUUUAAUAUGCUGAUUUGGAAUUUAUGGAUUUGUAAUAGAGUUAGCCGAAUGUGAUAAAGUAUUUAAAUAAUGUAUUUGAGUUUAACUCGAUUGAGUUAUAACAUUUGAAAGUCCGUAUGAACUAUAUGGAAUAUCUGAAAUGUUUGAUAUAUGAAUUGUUUAUGAGACAACUUUAUAAUAAUGAUAUUCGGGCUUUGAGCCUAGCAAUCCUUGUGCUGGUGAAUUUAAUCGGGCUUGAUGCCUAGCAGGCUUAUUACCGGUGUAUAAAAUCAGACUUUGAGUCUAGCAGGCCUUGUGCCAGUUGUGAUACAGGCUUAGGCCUAGUAGGUUUUAUGUCGAUGAAAUAUUUUAAGUCUAUACCUAAAAGAUUUUAUGUUGAUGUGAUAAAUGAAUAUGUUGAACGAGCUAAAACGAUCAGGUACGUGAUAGUUGGACUACCUAUUUGAAAACAGGAUGAAUUGAUUUCUUGAUAUGUGAUGAAAAAGAAUUCAUGAAUUUAAUGUAGUACAUGUGCUAACGUGAGAAAUAUAUUUGAUCUUAUAAUUGUACAUGAAGGUAUUGUUAAACUUUGAGUGAUGAGUAUAUGUCUUAAAAUAUAUAUGUAAAUUCGAUUAUAUAAAUCAAUGUGGUUUCGAAAUUUGAGAACAUAUUGGUGCUAUAUACUUGUUUAUUCGGCCAAAAAGAAGUUUCCUUAUGAAAGUAUAUGUUUUAUAUGUGUGGAAUUAAAAGUUUGAAAAUAAAGGUGAUUAAAAAUGCAUAAGUUGAUUUAUUUAAUUGAAAUGAUUAGUAAUUAAAUGUUAUUAUGCUUGAAUUGUUUAAUUUGCUUAAGGAAUACUAAGCUAAGUUAGCUUACUUUGUGUAUAUAUAUAUAUUUGUCUUUGUUUUAUAGAUUUUGGAGAUCGUUACAUGCUUGGGGAUCGUCAGUAAAGUCAAUCGUACUAUCGUUUAUUCUCGAUCCCUUUGAAAGUUUUAAAUUCAAACUUAUGGCAUGUAUAGGCUGAAUGAUGUUUUGUUAUGAUGAACUUUGGCUUUGUAUAAAGCCAUGCGAAAAUGGCUUAUUUAAAUUCUUGAAUUUGGUUUUGGUAUAAUGAUGGUUUGAGUCAAUUUUAGUUAUUAUGCAAUGUGUCAAGGAUGAAUGAUACUUGUGAUAUCUAUUUGAGUGUUGAAGAUGCUUGGUAAAUUUGGAUGUGUGCAUUGGAUUGAUUCGGUUAUGGUAUGGAAGAUUCAUGUUUUGUAUAUAUAUAAAUAUAUCUAUUUGAAGUUAAUGGUUUACUCUUGAGAGAUAUAAAAUGUAAUAUGAGUUGGUUUGAAAAUUAUACAAUGAUGUAUCGUGAAUUCAGAUAUAAGAUAAAGGUAUAUGAGGUGGUUAUGUCUAACUUGUGAUUCGGCAAUUGCUUUUAUAAAUAUUCAUGCUUGAUGAAUUGACUUAAUAUGUAUUUCAACUAAAAGUAUACUAUGUAAUAGGUAGGUAAUAUGUAAGAUUAUUUUCGUUUUAGGCAAAGUUUAGAUGACCAAAUUGACGAUAAAUAGGUUAGUUGUAUAUCCGCAUUUUUGGUAAGUGACAUGAGUGCAUUUCAAAUCUUUACUUGCAAUAUAAAAUGGUUAACAAUAAAUAAAUGAUUGAGUUAAAUUUUAGUUUGUGAAUUAAGCUUGAUAAGUUUCGUUAUUAAUGUUCUAUUAUAGUUCAUGUUUAAUAUGGUUAAAAUAUAUAUAAGGUUUAUUUGUUUAAUGAAACAAAUUUGAUUAUUUGUGAAGAUAUGAAUGCCGUGUAUGCUGAUGAUUAAAUUGUCAUGUGUUAGAUUUUUAUUUGAUUUAAUAUGUACAUGUUUUGAAAUAUGUCUUAAAAUAUUUGAUGUUUAACAGAUAUCUGAAUUUGACUUGCAUUUGUAUAUUGUAAUGAUAGAAUUUCGAUUAAUAUUUGUUUGAAAAUUUGUAUAUACAUAUGAAUAUGACUUGUGUGAGUACUUAGAGUUGUGUUUUUGUCCAGUAAUGCCUCUUGACCCUAAUUCGUCGACGGAUACGGGCUAGGGGUCUUACAAAGUAAAUGGCAAAAAAUAAAAAAAUAAAAAACUGGUUUAAAUAGCAAGGCAAAACAGUGCUGUUUUGCACCUAAAGCCCUAACACCAAAACGGCGUCGUAUAUGCCUUGACCCGCGCGAUCCGACCUGCUCCAAGGGGGUUUUGCGCGUUUUUGAGUUAAGGACUACUUGCGCUCGUAGUCCCUUCGAUUUUGGGUUUGUUAUGUUUGGCCCUUUUAUUAUUUUUAUUUUUUUUAUAGAUUUAAUUGCUUAAUUUUAUUUGGUUUUCGAUUGAGUCCUUGGCUCUCUAAUGCUUUGAAAACGGACAUGCAUCCUUAGAGUUAGGGAAUAAUUACAUAUUUAACCCCUGUUCUUUCGCGCGUGUCUUAUCUUAGGCCUUGCUUCCUUUUUUUUGUUUUUUUUAGAUGUGGCCCUUAAUUUUAAUCUUUUUUUUAGUUCGACCCUUAACCCUAUAACAUUAAACUUUUUUUUUAUAUUUUACUUAUUAUAUUUUUUUCAUUUAUUUAUUUUAAACAGUUUUAUAUGUUAUUUAUUUUAGAUUUUUAUAUAUUAAUUCUUUAAACUGUCUUAUGUAUUAUGUAUUUAAAAUUGCUUUACAAAAUUUUUUUAUUUUAAACUUACUUAUUUUAUUUAUUUUUUAAUGCUUUCAUAUAUCGUUUAUUAACCUUUUAUACAUUAUUUACUUUAGAUAUUUUUAUAUAAAUUAUUUAUUUUAAACUAUUAUAUAUUUUAAAUUUUCAUUUAAACUAUUAUAUAUUUUAAAUUUUCAUGUAUAAUAUUCAAUUCAAACUAUUUUAUAGGUUAUUCAUUUAAAAUUUUUGUAUUACUUAUUUUAAGUUGUUUUAUUAUUAUAUAUUUUAAAUUUUUCUUUUUUUAUACAUUAUUUAUUCGAAACUGUUUAUAUAUUAAUUACUUUAAGUCGUUUCAUUUAUUAUACAUUUUAAACCUUUUUUUAUAUAUUAUUUAUUUAAAACUGUCUUAUUAUUUAUUUUAAAUUAUUUUAUAUUAUUUAUUUCAUUUUUCUUUGAUUAUUAAUGUUGGUUUUCUAAAUAAUGUAUGUUAUCUGAUUAUUACCAUUGUGUGAAUACUGUCAUCAUAUGCUUUAGGAAUUAUUUAUUAAUAUUUUCAUGUUGUUGACAUUCAUUGACAUAGCAUUUAAUUCAUGUAUUAUUAUUUCAUGCUCUAUAUUCCCUUUUAUUUCAUUUUGUUUAAAUCAUAUCGCGUAUUAACCUCAAAUGUAUUUAUCCAAAUAUGGACCAUUUUAUUCCAAACAAAAUAAACGCCCAUUGCUAAGUGUUGCUCUUGUUAUUAUUCAAAAAGGAAAAUCUUCAAAAUAAGAUAAUAUUUCGCGUUUCGGGAAUUCAAGAAAUUGUACCCUAACUUACGGGGUUUCGAUUUUCUUGGUAAACCUAAAAAGCUAAAUAUCCUUUUUAGAUUUCAAAAUACGCAAAGUUCUCAAUAAAAAUUAAAUGCAAACUUAUUCCCGAGGAUUAAAACGUCGCAUCUUAACUUACGGGAUGUGACAUUUUGUUAUAUCGGGAUGAGAGGGCCUUUGAUGCUCAUUUUAACUUAAUUCAAGCAUUUUUCAAAACAAACAUUAAUAAAAAUGGAUUGUAUUUUAAUUCUUUUCAAGUUUGCAACAUUUGACAUUAGGACAUUAAUCAAUCAAUUAGGUACCAAAUUUGGGCAUUACGAGGGUGCUAAUCAUUCUUUGUACGUAACCGACUCCCGAACCCGUUAUCUCAAAUUUCUUAGACCAAAAAAUAUUAUUUUAAUAAAUCAAAACUGUUUAUUAAAAACAACCAUUUUACGAGGUGACUUGAUCACACCUCAUCAAAAAAAGAUUGGUGGCGACUCUAUUUUCGUUUUUUUUAAAAAGUUGACUCUUUUUCGAAAAAUGAUUUCAACCGCUUGGCGACUCCACUGGGGACUUUUGAGAGUCAAGCCAUAAAUUGAUUAAUUAUUGUCUUUUGUCAAAAAAUUGAAAAUCCGUUUUAAACUUACAAUCCUUUCAUUGCAUUUCAUUUUUGGGGUUUUCGUCGUUUUGUAUGAUUGGCUUUUGGUUCGAGUCUUAGUAUAAUUUUGCGCAUCAUAUUGCAUAAUUGGUCAAUUUUACCCUUUUAAGUAGGAGUGAGAAACUAUUCCUUCGUGAGGUCUUCACCUCCGUAUAGGAUAGUAGAUUGCUUUUGGGAUACAUCCGUACUUGCACCUUCGUGAGAUUUUUAUCUCCGUAUAGCCGUAGGGAAAUGUAUUCCCCUGAACUGAACUCGGUCCGUAUGAGCCUAUAAUGGGUGAGGAUCGAGGAAUCUUCUGAUUCAGGUACCUUUACUUUUGAACUAAACCACAUGUAAUGAGCCCUAAGAGCCUAUCCUAGGUAGAACCACGCUAAACCCUAGCGGUUACCCGAAUAGGUGCUUGAUUAUUUCCUAUUUGCUUUGAAUUUUAUUUUUUGUAUAUAAUACUGACUUGUUGUGUUUUUCUGUUAUUGCAUGGCAUUACAUUAUAAAAAGGUGUUGAUUCAAAAAGCUUAGCAUUGAAAAGGGGUUUCUUGAUAGAGUGGAGGAUAAUGCGGUCGUCCGAAUAUGGUCCGAGAGGAUGCAGCAAGAGAAAUGUGAUAGUUUGACCGAGGGAUAUGAAUCAGAGUUGUCAAAUUUCACCCGCAUUAGUGUGACUUAGAAUAACCUACAAGAAUUAAAGAAGAUAUGACACCAAUGGAGUGACGAGAUUAAGCAGCUAUUUUACUAUAACUACGGCGACUUGCCCUAUCUACUCGAUAUAAAGGUGGACAAGCAUUUAUUCCAAGCCCUUGCCCAGUUUUGGAAUCCCGCCUACAGUUGCUUCACUUUUGGGAGAGUUGAUUUGGUACCAACCGUGGAGGAGUACAUGGCCUUACUUCGUUGCCUGAGGAUUAAAGCUGACAAAGCUUAUUCCAGAGCUGCUAACGUCCCUACCUUUGUAAAGAAUUGAUGAAUAUCAUGAGGAUGAGUGAGCAGUGGGUUGCAGCUUGGAUUAAGCAAAAAUGAGACAGUAAAUGUAUUCCUUGGAAGAACUUGAGAGAUCUAAUUCUAGCACAUCCGGAUAUGAAGAAGAGGGUUGACGUUUUCGCUUUGAGCAUCUAAGGUUUGGUCAUCUUUCCCAAGGCAUUAGGAAAUGUAGAUGAAGCAGUCUCAGACCUAUUCGAUCGACUUGAUAAAAAGGUCACACCCAUCCCUGCGAUCUUAGACGAAACUUUCAAAUCAUUGAAUGCUUGCCGGAGAGCAGGUGAGGGGAGGUUCAUAGGAUGUGCGCAGCUUUUGCUAUCAUGGUUUCAUAUCCACUUUUGGAGGGUAGAAAAAGUCUCAUAUCGAGUUUUUUUCGAAACUACUCUCCAUUGAAGGAACUAGUGGCUACGCUAAGGCGAGAUGACUUUUCCAAAGAGAAAUGGAUAGCGAUUCUCUAGAAUGUACAAGUUGAAGACGGCGAAUGGAGGGCGCCAUGGAUGAUCCCUGAUGAGAUCUUGUAUCGGUGUGGUGAAUUUGACUGGGUCCCUCUACUUGGGAUAUGGGGAGCUACUGGAUACGGUCUACUACUUGUGCUAAGAUAGUAUCGAUCAAGGCAGUUCAUACCUAUGACACAAGGGUUGGCUCAGUGCAAGUUUUCAUAUAAGAGCGAUAAUUAUAAGAAGAGAGUUCGUGAGAUAUCGAAUGCGUGGAACCAAACCCGUAGACUGAAGGACUCAGGCGAGACCAAUGACGACCCCCGAGUAUGAUUGGUGGUGGGGUAAAAGAAUCAACGACAAUAUCCCAAUGCCAAGUCAAAAAAAUGCUCGACCAAUAGAGGAGCACUUACGAGUAGUCCCGUUUGAAUUAGAAAUCAUCAAGCAAGAUUUUGAGAAAAGGAGUCAAAAAUUGGGCAAGAAAAUAAAGCAGUUAGAGGAGGAAAAGAUGUGGCUAGGACUAGACAUCGACAUCCAUAAGCUAGAGGCUGAGAAACUAAGGAAAGGAAAGAACAAGGCCAAAGAAGAUUUGGACAGUUGGAAAACGUAUUACAAGAAGUUACGUUUGUCAAAAAGAACUGCUGGUUUGGGCAAGACAUUAGAGCAAUGGCAAUAAGAAAUUAAAAAAGAAAAAACUAGAGCCGAUAGUGGGAGAAGAAGUUUCAAGAUGCUCAAACACGGGAUGGUGCUCUAAAAAGGAGUUUGCUAGAUAGCCAAAGUGAAAAGGAGAAGUUAAGAGCUCGGGCGGCAAAGUUAGAAAAGUAAUUACAUCAACAUCGUAGUCGCAACUCCAUCAUCGAAUUAAGGGCCAGCCUAAACAAGAUUGAGGAGUUGAAAGGAAGGAUAGAAGAGCUCGAGAAUGCACUGCGAAAUGGUAAACUUCGAGUUGAACUUCUUGAAGCAAGUAAUGAACAUUGUAAAGAACAACUCCACCGCUCUUAAGAUCAAAUCAGAGAUAGGGAUUAUGUCAUGGGUGAAGCUGUGGCUCAAGUACGAGAAGUGCUGACCAUCUACAAAACCUGGCGGUUCAGGCUAAUGUACUAAGUGUAAAGUAUGAGUUAGAAUCAGGUCAGGGCCGAGAGUUAGCUUGGCUUCUUAGGAAGGUUAAGGCUUUGGGCAUUAGGGCAAAGUCGUAUAUGUAAUCUAUCUUAUGUAAAGAAAUUUGUUUUCUAGCAAAGUUGUUCUAAUAAAAUUGAAUCAGAAUCAACGUCUCUUUUUGUUUUCAUUUCUUUAAUUUGCAUUACAUUUCAUCAUAUGCAUUAAGUUUCAUAAAAAGACCCUAAUUAAACAAAAUUAUUUCAGUUAAUCUGGAAACCAAAAAGUGUCAACCAGCCGAAUAUCGUUACAAUACCCGUCGCAAAACCAAAGCAAAGUAUCAGAGAUUAGAAAGAUUGGAACAAAUGCAAAGAGAUAUACAAUAGCAAUUGCAAACACAGAUGCAAGAGCAAUUGGCUAGAAUCGAACAAGACAUGAGGGAACAAAUGCAAGAAUCCCAGAAUAAUAUGAUAAGUCAAUUGGCACAGUUGCUGGUUAGAGAACGCGAAAAAGGGAAGGGUAUUGCAGUUAACUCGGGGAACGAUAAUGAAAACCUUGCCUAUCCCUCGGGUUUUGCUCCAGUCAAUUGCCAACCACAACCAGAGGCGUACCCACGGGGGGUACCACUCAUUAUCAAGCCCCAGUAAUAUCAGGCUGGUGCCUCGACACCGAUGAACUUUCCAACAGGCUCGGGCUCCAAUCCAAGGGAUAAUCCAACUAAUCCAGUUGUUUCUAACCUUGAUGAUGUAGCAGAAAUAGAAAAAGUAAGAGUAGAUCUACCAAAACAACUCGAGGACUGUUGCAAAUGGCUUGAAGAGAAAUUCAAAGCAAUGGAGACUGUUGACUACCAUUGCGGGGUUGAUGCCAAAGAUUUGAGCUUGGUCCUAGAUUUGAUCCUCCCACCAAAAUUUAAAACUCUAGAGUUUGAAAAAUACAACGAGACUAGCUGCCCCGAAGCCCACAUCACAUUAUUCUGUCAAAGGAUGACAGGAUACAUUAAUAAUGAUCAGUUAUUAAUUCACUACUUCCAGGAUAGUCUGGUUGGGUCUGCGGCCAAAUGGUACAACCAGCUAAGCCGUACCCAAAUUAAUUCAUGGAAAGACUUGGCACAAGCUUUCAUGAAGCAAUACGGCCACGUAACAGACAUAGCACCUAACCAAAUCACGUUACAAAAUAUGGAAAAGAAACCAAAUGAGAGCUUCAGGUAGUAUGCCUAAAGAUAGAGAGAGAUAGCGAUGCAAAUCCAACCACCUUUCUUAGAGAAGGAAACGACCAUGCUUUUUAUCAAUACUUUGAAGGCUCCAUUCAUUAACCAUAUGCUAGGAAGCGCUGCUAAUAGCUUUUCAAAUAUAGUGAUGUCUAGAGAGAUGAUAAAAAAUGCGCUAAGAUGUGGGAAGAUAGACGUGGGUUAGAGUACCAAGAGAUCAGCCCCGAAAAAGAAGGAAAACGAGAUAAAUAAUGCGAGCACAUACAACAAGGGUUAUUCAAAACCCAUUACUGUAAGCCAGCUAAGGACGGUGACUACUAGCCAUCAAGGCCCUCCAAGGCAAGAAUCCAACCCGAGGCCAAAUAUAGAGAGGCUCCAGUUUACGCAUAUUUCGAUGUCAUAUAGGGAGUUGUAUCAGAUUCUAUUCGAUGCUCAUGUAGUGUUCCCUUUCUACUUGAAGCCUAUGCAACCUCUGUUCCCAAAAUGGUAUGAUGCAAAUGCCCAAUGUGAGUACCAUGCAGGGAUAAUCGGGCACUCGAUCAAGAACUGGACUAUGUUUAAAAAUUUGAUAGAAAGAUUUAUCAAAAUGGGUAUCGUAAAGUUUGACACCUAUCAGGACCCAACGUAGCAAGAAAUCCAUUGCCCGAUCAUGUUAAUAAAGGGAUAAAUGUGAUAGUCGAGAGCGGGGGCAAAAGAAUCAAGGCCAAUGUGGCAGAAGUAAAAACCCCACUGAGUUGGGUUCGGAAAUAAAUGGUCGAUAGAGGUUUGAUCAUACAACAUUCAGGGGAAAGACCUAGAGAGGCGAGAAAAUAUGUGAGUUUCAUGCCGAUGAGGGUCAUGACAUCCAAGAGUGCAAUGAGUUCAGGUCUAUAGUCCAAAAUCUAAUGGACAAUAAAGAGAUGGAAUUUUAUGAGAAAACCAAAGGAUUAGAAGAAUGAGAGGUUUACACCUCAGAGGAGGGAUCAGCAGAAAGGGUCCAAAAAGUUAAUCACCCAGUGGUGAUCAUUUUGCGACCAAGGAACAAUUAAGCAGGAAUACAAAUGGCACCAAGAGUCAUAAUCCAAAAACCUGUAUCCUUUCCCUACAAGGAUAGCAAAAGGGUUCCUUGGAACUAUGACUACAACGUGACAAUCCCGGGAGAGGUGAACCCAACUAAAGCUUCAGAGGAAAGCCAAGAUAUAGGUUUUUAUACACGUAGUGGGAGGCUUUAUGAUCCUGUGGGUACAAGAAUCAGAACUGUAGGAAAGACCCCAAUAGUAGAGCAAAAGAAGGAGAAGACGAUCAGGCUCGAAUCGCCAGUUAACGAGCCAAUAACUGAGAAUGAAGCUAGGGAAUUCCUGAAAUUUUUAAAGCAUAGCGAGUAUAGCAUUGUAGAAUAGCUGCAUAAGCAACCGGCUCACAUCUCAGUGCUAGCUUUACUCUUAAGUUUGGAGACACAUCGUAGCACGCUAAUGAAAGUGUUAAAUGAAACUUAUGUCGCUGACGAUAUCUCUGUAAACAAACUGGACCGUCUAGUCAACAAUAUAAGUGGUAACAACUUCAUCUUCUUCAAUGAUGAUAAGAUACCUCCUGGGGGUAUGGGAUCUACAAAGGCUCUACAUAUCACCACCUGUUGUAAAGGAUAUACAUUUCUGGGUGUGUUAAUUGAUAAUGGAUCGGCAUUGAAUGUCUUGCCCUUAUCCAUGCUGAAUAGGUUGCUUGUGGAUAGCUCUCACAGGAAGACAUGCCAAAACAUAGUAAGGGAAUUUGAUGGCACCGAAAGGAGAGUAAUGGGAAGAAUUGAGAUACCCCUUCUGAUUGGCUCGAACAUGUACAAGGUGGACUUCUUGGUAAUAGACAUUAAGCCCUCUUACAAUUGCUUGUUGAGGAGGCAUUGGAUUCACUCAGCGGGAGCAGUACCGUCGUCAUUACACCAAAAGUUAAAGUUGGUAACUGAGGGUAGACUGGUAACGAUAAACGCGGAGGAAGAUAUUAUUGCAUCCGUUACCAGCGACGCACCAUACAUAGGGACGGACGACGAGGCGUUAGAAUGUUCAUUUUGAUUGUUAGAAUUUGUCAAUGCAACAUUCAUUAUCGAAGGGAAUAGGAUCCCAAUGCCCAAAAUAUCCAAUACUACAAGAAUAGGCCUGGGAUUGAUGAUUGGAAAGGGAGCCUUACCGGGAAGAGAACUCGGAAGAUAUCUCCAAGGAAGGGUCGAGGCAUCGAUGUUGAAAGGUAAACGAGACUGCUUUGGCUUAGGAUUUAAGCCAGAUGCAAGGCAAAAGAAAAAAGGAGCAAGAGAAGAAACAAGAAAGGAGAAGAGCACAUUUAAGCGGGGGAGAGGUCAAAUGGGAGCCAAUGACCUUUCCUCAUAGAUCUAGAAUGUUUGUGUCAGGAGGAACAAUCUACCCCGAAUAGAAGAUGACAAGAAAAGGUGUGUGCUGAAGAAAUGUUAGAAAAUUUGAGCAUUAAUGCCAUAUCCGAGGAAGGAACAGGAGAAGGAAAUAUAUCAGGCAUUUGCCCAUACGUGCCGAUGAGCGUUUUGAACAAUUGGACCAAGGAGCAGAUCCCUAUAACUUUUAAAAUUAAUUCAGAGUAAUGUCCAAAACAAGCUUAUUGCUCUUAGCCUAGGGCAAUAAGAGUCCUUUUGUGAAAUAGGCUCUUGUCCAGUAUCGUUAUUUUAACAAAAAUGCAUUUUUGCGUAUCAUCUUGAGCAUAUAUCCUUUUAUUCUUUCUAUUUCAUUCAUAAUCAUACCACACAAAUAAAUAUUCUUAGAAUUUUUUGUUCUUUGGAUUUUUUUCAUCCUUAUAACAGGUUUCCAGAUAUUAAUGGUAUGAGAAACGUAGCUACUAACUCAGAGUCUCCUUUUGAGCAAGAUAUGUGUAUGAAAGAUUCUCAGGAUUUUGAAGAUGACCAAAACUGUAACCUAUCUCCUGAUUUGUUAAGGAUGGUAGAGCAAGAUGAGAAACAAAUCCUGCCUCACAAGGAGUCAGUGGGAAUUGUGAGCUUAGGAGAGGAAAAAGAGGUGAAGAUUGGAGCUUGUAUCGUUGCAGAGACAAAAUGAGACCUUAUUGAGUUACUUCGAGAAUUCAAGGAUGUCUUUGCAUGGUCAUAUCAGGACAUGCCCGGGUUGAAUACUGACAUCGUGGUACACCGACUCCCUAUAAAAGAAGAGUGCAAGCCAGUUCAAUAGAAACUCCGAAGGAUGAGACUCAAUAUUCUGUUGAAGAUAAAAGAAAAGGUCAAAAAGUAAUUCGAUGCCAGUUUCUUACAAGUGGUUAAAUACUCAAAAUGGGUAGCCAAUAUAGUCCUUGUUCCUAAGAAAGAUGAGAAAGUGUGAAUGUUCAUGAACUACAGGGAUUUGAACAAGGCCAGCCCAAAAGACAAUUUCCCGUUGCCUCACAACGAUACUUUAGUGGAUAACACAAUAGGUUACUUGCUUUUCUCCUUCAUGGACGGCUUCUCGGGAUACAACCAGAUAAAAAUGCAUCCUGAACACAUGGAAAAGACCACAUUCGUAACCAUGUGAGGAACUUUUUGUUAUAAGGUGAUGCCAUUUGGACUAAAAAACGCAGGAGCGACAUACCAGAAAGCCAUGGUAACUCUAUUCCAUGAUAUGAUGCACAAGGAGAUCGAAGUUUACGUCGACGAUAUGAUUACAAAAUCUAAAAUAGAAAAAAAAGCAUGUGCAAAUCCUGAGGAAACUAUUCUUAAGGUUAAGAAAGUUCCAGCUAAAGCUCAAUCCCGCAAAAUGUACGUUCGAGGCUAGGUUAGGAAAGCUGUUAGGAUUCGUAGUCAGUGAAAAGGGGAUAGAGAUUGACCCAGACAAAGUCAAGGCUAUACAAGAAUUGCCUCCACCUCGCACUAAAAAAGAAGUUCGAGGUUUCCUAGCAAGACUAAAUUACAUCACCCGGUUCAUUUCACAACUAACAAAGAAAUGCGACCCCAUAUUCCGUCUCCUUAGGAAACACAACCCAGGUGUAUGGGAUGAGGAGUGCCAGAAAACUUUUGAUAAUGUCAAACAUUACUUGUCCAAUGCCCUAGUACUAAUGCCACUUUGCUCAGAUAAGCCGUUGAUACUAUACUUGGCAGUAUUUGAAAAUUCCAUGAGAUGCGUGCUAGGCCAACAUGAUGAGUCGGGAAGAAAAGAAAAAGUGAUAUACUAUCUCAGUAAGAAGUUCACUGAAUGUAAGACAAGGUAUUCGCCAAUUGAGAAGUUGUGUUGCGCCUUGAUUUGGACACUUAGAGACUAAGACAGUACAUGUUGUACCACACAACUUGGCUCAUCUCAAAACUAGUCCCUCUGAAGUACAUGAUGGAGUCGACUGCUUUGAAUGGAAGAAUGGCUCGAUGGAAAAUUUUACUUUCUGAAUUUGACAUAGUCUACGUGAACCAGAAAGCUGUAAAAGGGAGUGCAAUAGUGGAUUUUCUAGCCAGUAGAGCUCUAGAAGAUUACGAGCCUUUGAAUUUUAAUUUCCCAAAUGAAGAUCUGAUGUAUAUUGCAACCACUGAAGAUGUUGCUCAAGAGGAACAUCCUUAGAAACUAAACUUCGAUGGGGCCUCUAAUGCUGUGGGAAACGGAAUCGGGGCAGUCUUGGUAGCCCCAAAUAGAGAUCAUUAUCCCUUUACUAGUAAAUUUGAUUUUGAUUGCAUAAAUAACAUGGUGGAGUACGAAGCAUGCAUCAUGGGUAUCCGUGCAGCCAUUGAACAUAAAAUCAAGGUGUUAGAAGUAUAUAGGGAUUUUGCACUAGUAAUCUAUUAGCUCAAGGGCGAAUGGGAAACAAGAGACCCCAAAUUGAUUAGUUACCAGCUAGUUUUAGAGUUAAUUGAGGAGUAUGACUACAUCACUUUCUGUUAUCUCCCACAAGAUGAGAACUAGAUGACCGAUGCCUUUGCUACUUUAGCUUCUAUGAUCAGAGUAAACAAGCAAAAAGAUGUGAAGCCUAUCCGAAUGAGUAUUUAUGAGGCUUUGGCUUAUUGCUACAAUAUUGACGAAGAAGAAAAAUAAAGAUGAUCACUCUUGGUAUCACGAUAUAUUGCGAUAUGUGAGGAAUCGUGAAUACCAAACCAAGCAACUGAGAAUGAUAAAAGGACAUUGAGAAGGCUGGCCAGUGACUAUGUCCUAGACGAAGAAAUCUUAUAUAAAAGAAAGAAGGAUCAAGUGCUGUUAAGAUGUGUGGAUGCUGUUGAGGCUAAGCAAAUCUUGGAAGAGGUCCAUGAGGGUGCCUGUGGAACACAUGAUAAUGGUUUUACAAUGGCCAAAAAAAUUAUGAGAUUCAGAUAUUAUUGGUCUACUAUGGAAGGGGAUUGCAUCAGCUAUGCCAAGAAGUGCCAUAAAUACCAAAUUUAUGGAGAUAAAAUUCAUGUACCUCUUUCACCACUUCAUGUCAUGAAUUUACCAUGGCCUUUCUCUAUAUGGGGCAUGGAUGUUAUUGGGCCAAUCUCACCGAAAGCGUCUAAUGGGCAUUGAUUCAUCUUCGUAGUUAUUGAUUACUUUACCAAGUGGGUAGAAACCACCUCUUAUGCCAAUGUCACAAAAUCGACAGUCAGAAAAUUCUUAAAAAAGGAGAUCAUAUGUCGAUAUGGAAUGCCCGAAAGGAUCAUAUCUGACAACGCAUUGAACUUGAAAAAUAGCACAAUAGCAGAGGUCUGUAGCCAAUUCAAGAUCAAACACCAUAACUCGUCACCAUAUCGCCCAAAAUUGAAUGGUGCGGUGGAAGCGACCAAUAAGAAUAUCAAGAAGAUCGUGGCGAAAAUGACUGAGACUUAUAAAGAUUGGUAUGAGAAGUUACCAUUUGCCCUUUAUGCUUAUCGAACGUCUGUUAGGACCUCCACCGGGAUAAUGCUUUUCUCUUUGGUUUAUGGAAUAGAGGUGGUUCAGCCGAUUGAGGUUGAGAUUCCCUCUCUACGAGUUCUGUCAGAACUAAAGUUAGAUGAAGCAGAAUGAAUCUAGUCUCGAUAAGAAAAGAGGCUAAAAGUUAUCCGUCAUGGUCAAAUGUACCAAAAGCGAAUGAUGCGGGCUUAUAACAAGAAGGUUCACCCUAGGGAAUUCCAUGAAGGGGACCUAGUUUUGAAAAAGAUCCUCCCCAUAUAAAAGGACUUCAGAGGAAAAUGGAUGCCAAAUUGGGAGGGACCAUAUGUGGUGAAGAAGGCCUUCUCUGGAGGAGCUUUGAUUUUGACCGAGAUGGAUGGAAAAAGUCUGCCUAAUCCCUUGAAUUCAGAUUCGGUCAAGAGGUAUUUUACCUAAAAAAAAGAAGAGGAGAGGCCAAUGUAAAAACCCGCAAAAGGGCACUUUGAGACCAAAGGGGUUUUGAGUUGAAAACCCAAGAAUGAGCAAUUCAAAUUUUGAUCAAAGAUGGGGCAUGCGAUAGUCUUGUCUUUUAUUAAUUAACAAGAAGGAGGGAUGCUACAUCUUGGGGCAUCAACAAAGUACUCUAGGUCUUCUAAACACAUAUCAAGUUCAAAGGGUCCUCAAGAAGUUUUGUGCAAAGAAGCUCAUGCUACGAUAUCUGAGGCACCUAUUUUCAUUUUUUUCAUUUUGUAUUUUAGCAAAAUUUACUAUCUUGAUCAAAUUAUUCAUUCUAAGCUUCGUUCUCAAUAAGAUUCUUUUGGUCUAUUGCGAUAAUCUUUUUCAAGUGUUUUUCGUGGAAAUAACGAUUAGUGGACUAAUAAUAUUCAAAGGAAAAGGAGUUUUGCAUAUUACUCUAAAAUGCUUCUAAAUAAUACAAGAACCUAAAACGGGACCACUAGUUAGAACCAACUAAAUUCGAGAGUUGAAAAUGUUGGGGAAAGAAUGAUCCAAAUUAAGAUUAUCCUUCAGGUUCUUUGCCAGAGAUACCAGCUGAAGAAAAAGGAUAGAUAAUACGUUAAUGAUAAAACCUCGAUGAACAAUGAGCAAUGCCAACACAAGCAUUAAAAGAAGAUCAUGCUAAAAAUGACAUUUUUUCUUUGUAUUCAUGAAAACAUCAUUCAUAUACAUCUAGUUAUGAGCAUUUGAUUCACCCUGAUCAUAACAUCCUAGUCACUUGGCAUAAAGAUAGGCCUAUGAAAUCAAUUUUAAAGGUCAUGUUCCCCGAAGAACGGUGCAACAGAUCAGUGAAACCACAAGUUCUAUACCCCCGAAGUUACAAUGGGACGAAUUUAAGUCAUCAUGGUGAAUCUUAUCUCUCUAAAGUUGCAGUGAAGCAGAUUAAAACCACAAACCUUAUCUCCCUGAAGUUGCAGUGGAGCAGGUUGAAGUCACGAAUCUCAUUUCCUUGAAGUUGCAGUGGAGCAGAUUGAAGUUACAAGUUUUAUGUCCCUGAAGUUGUAGUGGAGCAAACUGAAGAUAGAAAAUCAUAUCCCUUUUGAAGUUGCAGUGGAGCGGAUUAAAGCUAUAAAUCCUAUACCUUUGAAGCUGCAGUAGGUCGGAUCAAAUCCAUCAUGGUAAAUCUUAUCUCCUUAAAGUUGCAGUGGAGUAGAUUGAAGACACAAACAUUAUCUCCCUAAAGUUGCAGUGGAGCAGGUUGAAGUUAUGAGUAUUAUCUCCCUGAAGUUAUAGUGGAAUAAACUAAAGCUACAGAUUACAAAUAUUAUCUUGCUGAAGUCAUAGUGGAGUGGAUCAAAGCAACAAUUCCUAUACCUCUGAAGAUGCAAUGGGAUGGAAUGAGGCUACUCGAAGAAGAGAAAUACUAGAAAAGUCAAGAUUCGAUAAGACUAGGCAAAACUGGCCUUUUUCGAAGUCUUUUCUCCAUUCACGUUACAUGUCAACGAGCAAAGAGGGGCAGUUGUAAUAGGCCAAUUUUGACCUGUCCUAGUUAAUAAAUAAAACCCAAACAAAUAAAUAAUAAAAGUCUAAAAUUUGCAGUCCAUUUUUACAAACAUCAUGGCCCAAUUUACAACAUGCAUAGCCCAAAUAAAAAAAAACUACCCAAACCCAAUUACAAAGCCCAAAACAAAUCAACCCUAGCCCACUUAAAACAUUUCAGCAAAAAAGUAAACCCUAGCCACAUGCCUUCAGCCGCCGCUCCUCCCACACGUUACCCUAGGCCGCUGCACGCACGUCUGUCACCACCCUUCCGCACAUCUGAUGUCUUUGACAACCACCUGCAACACGCAAGCGAAAGAAUCCAAGCAGAAGAACCAAACAGAAACAACAAAAAAAAAAAUGGAAGCAAACAGUUUAUGACUUGGCUAUAAAAGUUGAAAUAAGUCCCUUGUAAUUUAUUUUUACGCAUACUAGAAAUAAAAAAGUAGAAUAGAAGUUUCAAAAAUGUGUUAUUUUGAUCUUAUUCUUUUUGUUUUGAUUCAUUUUUCUAGUUUUCUUUUAUUUAUUCUUAACACGAAUCUAUUUUUAAACUAAAAAAACAAGGCAAAGAUUUCCAAAGGUGACCCUUUUUUUUUAAAUCUGAAAAUUUUCUACCUUUUUUUUUAUUCUCAUUAUUUCUCAUGAAAAAAUAAAGAGAAAAGAAAGGAAGGAUUUACCUGGGCCGUUCCACGCUCUGCUCGCCAAAAGCUCCCUCUCUGGCAUCGAAAUUGUCCGAGGGAGAGGGCUACAAUGGCCUUUCUUUAGGUUUUCUGGUUAGGAAGCCUUUGCCUUCGGUUUCAUUUUCUUGAAAAAGGUUAAAAAUGCCGAAUUUAAGGGUAGCUCUGACCAUCGUCCAUGGCGGGGAGCGGCGGUCCGACGACGUGAGAUGAUGGGUUUUAUAAACCCUAGUAGAGAAAAUAAAUGAGAAGGGGGCUGCUCUCCGAUUUUUUUAAAAGAAAAGGAAGCAAAUGGCAAAAAGAAAAAACUGGUUUAAAUAGCAAGGCAAAAUAGUGCCGUUUUGUACCAGAAGCCCCAGUACCAAAACGGCAUCGUAUAGGCCUUGACCCGCGCUAUCUGACCCACUCUAAGGGGGAUCUGCGCAUUUCUGAGUUGAGGACUAUUUGCGCCCAUAGUCCCUUCGGUUUUGGGUUUAUUAUUUUAGGCCCUUUUAUUAUUUUUUUUAUAGAUUUAACAACUUAAUUUUAUUUGGUUUUCGAUUGAGUCCUUGGCUCUCUGAUGCUUUGAAAAUAGACAUGCAUCCUUGGAGUUGGGGAAUAAUUUCAUAUUUAACCCUUGUUCUUUUGCGCGUGUCUUAUCUUAGGCCUUGCUUCCUGUUUUUGUUUUUUUUAGAUGUGGCCCUUAAUUUUAAUCUCUUUUUUAAUUCUACCCUUAACCCUAUAAAAUUAAACUGUUUUUUAUAUUUUACUUAUUAUAUUUUUUUUCAUUUAUUUAUUUUAAACAGUUUUAUAUGUUAUUUAUUUUAGAUUUUUAUAUAUUAAUUCUUUAAACUGUCUUAUGUAUUAUGUAUUUAAAAUUGCUUUACAAAAUUUUUUUAUUUUAAAUUUACUUAUUUUAUUUAUUUUUUAAUGCUUUCAUAUAUCGUUUAUUAACCUUUUCUACAUUAUUUACUUUAGAUAUUUUUAUAUAAAUUAUUUAUUUUAAACUAUUAUAUAUUUUAAAUUUUCAUGUAUAAUAUUCAGUUCAAACUAUUUUAUAGGUUAUUCAUUUUAAAAUUUUUGUAUUACUUAUUUUAAGAUGUUUUAUUAUUAUAUAUUUUAAGUUUUUCUUUUUUUAUACAUUAUUUAUUUGAAAUUGUUUUUAUAUUAGUUACUUUAAGUCGUUUUAUUUAUUAUCCAUUUUAAACCCUUUUUUUAUAUAUUAUUUAUUUAAAAUUGUCUUAUUAUUUAUUUUAAAUUGUUUUAUAUUAUUUAUUUCAUUUUUCUUUAAUUAUUAAUGUUGGUUUUCUAAAUGAUGUAUGUUAUGUGAUUAUUGCCAUUGUGUGAACACUGUCAUUAUAUGCUUUAGGAAUUAUUUAUUAAUAUUUUCAUGUUGUUGACAUUCAUUGACAUAGCAUUUAAUUCAUGUAUUAUUAUUUCAUGCUCUAUAUUCCCUUUUAUUUCAUUUCGUUUAAAUCAUAUCUUGCAUUAACCUCAAAUCUAUUUAUCCAAAUAUGGACCGUUUUAUUCCGAACAAAAUAAACGCCCAUUACUAAGUGUUGCCCUCGUUAUUAUUCAAAAAUGAAAAUCUUCAAAAUAGGGUAAUAUUUCGCGUUUCGGGAAUUUAAGAAAUCGUACCCUAACUUACGGGGUUUCGAUUUUCUUGUUAAACCUAAAUAGGUAAAUAUCCCUUUUAGAUUUCAAAAUACGCAAAGUUCUUGAUAAAAAUUAAAGGCAAACUUAUUCCCGAUGAUUCAAACGUCGCAUCUUAACUUACGGGAUGUGACAUUUUGUUAUAUCGAGAUGAGAGGGCCUUUGAUGCUCAUUUCAACUUAAUUCAAGUAUUUUUCAAAACAAACAUUAAUAAAAAUGGAUCGUAUUUUAAUUCUUUUCAAGUUUGCAACAUUUGACAUUAGGACAUUAAUCAAUCAAUUAGGUACCAAUUUUGGGCGUUACGAGGGUGCAAAUCCUUCUUCGUACGUAACUGACUUCCGAACCCGCUUUCUCGAAUUUCGUAGACCAAAAAGCAUUGUUUUACUAAAUCAAAACUGUUUAUUAAAAACAACCAUUUUACGAGGUGACCCGAUCACACCUAAUCAAAAAAAAUUGACGGCGACUCUAUUUUCGUUUUUUUUAAAAGUUGACCCUUUUUCAAAAAACGGUUUCGAUAGCAUCAUCUAUGAUGUAAAUUGCCCAUUCUAGAGGCUCUUCACACCCCUUAUGGUGUGAACCACAUUCAUUGUAUUAUUCAACAUUUUGCAUAACAUUAAAUGUUUUAACAAUAAUAUUAAUAAAUCAAAAGCUAGAAAUGCUCAAUUUGAGGUCUAACCUUUUGGGUAGCUCGUAUAAGGAUCAAAUAUUUCAAAAUUGUCAUAUAAGGCCUAACCUUUACAAAAGUGUUCAAAAGAAGGCUCAACUUUUCAAAAUGUUCAAAUAAUGGCCGAACCUUUUCGAAAGUGCUUAAAUAAUAGCUAAACCAUUUCAAAACUACAAAAAUAAUGACUUCUUAGAUAUCGUAUAUUGGGUUUCAAAUUAUGUUAAUAUUAUUUUCUUUUCUUUUCAAAUAAUAUUUGAUUUAGUUUUUAUUUAUUUUAUUCUAAAAUGUUAUCAUUCAACUAAUUUUUGCUAUGAACUUGACUGAAGAGUAUGAAAAACUCUUAUUUAAAUACGUAUAUAAAAGUAAGGCUCAUGUGAUAAUUUUGAAAGGUAAAAUCAUUAAAUAAGCAAUCCAUAAAAAGUUGAAUCCUAAUUUAAUUGUUUAAGGGUGUUAUUAUAUAUAUUUAAUAAAAUGAUAGAGGAUAAUUUAAAUUUGUAUAGGGUGAAUAAAAUAAAUAUACAUCUAUAAUAUUAAAACAAAAUGUAAAAUAACAUAAUUCAGUCCUAGUUAAGGAGCAAAGAAGUUGGGGGCAUGAUUUUCAGUUCAGAUUGGGGUGAAUGAAUGAAUUGAAUUGAAACGAAAUGAAAUGAAAGUAAACAAAAAUUGAAGCAGGCGAGGGUUUCCCACAAAUGAAGUAGGGGGUGAUUUGGCACAAGCCUUGUGGUUGUGGCCAUAUUAAUUAAUUAUGAAACAGAUGAAUAUCGUACCAUUAAUCGCUGGCCUUACGCGUCAGCCCUUGGCAUUAUUUUUCAAAGUGUAAAUGCAUGGGACGUCCUACAACUAAAGGACAAUAAUUUUGUCAUUUUCUGAUUACGUGUUUUCUGUAGAUUGAUAUUACACAACAACUGCCGACUAUGUCACUCAUUAUCUUGCCAACUCCUAGGCCUACGAUGAAUUCAGAAGCACAACCCUGUAAAAUGUGGGUUUUCCAAAACCCACUUAAAAAAAUUCAUUAUUUAUGAAAAUAAUAUAGAUAUAAAAUUUUUUAUGAAAAUGAAUUGUUUUUUUUAUAGUAUAUGUUAGUGUUGGUUAUCUCAUCAUCAGCACCAUCUUCCAUCAUCCAUUAAUCAUUGUCCGAUGAUUGCCUGGUCAAUAAAAAGCCACAAUAUUGAAUAAGUCAAUGAUGAUCACUUUAAGAACAAGAAGCAGGCAGUAGAGAGUGUCCUGUGAUGAUAGCAGGAAGCAAAGGAAGAAGAGGAAGAAGACAUUGGCAGUGGAGGACAUGCAGUUAGCGGCAACAAAUAUGACAACGCCGUAGUCUUCUGUCAAUGAUAAAACGUCUGUCUUUUUUUAAAAAACAAUCACCGGUCCUAGUAACUAGAGCACACAGGAAAAAAAAAUCAAAACCACACCGAUGCCGACAAUGAGAACGUCAAUACCAACACUGAAAAACUUUUUUUUUUUAAUUUGAACCGGUGUUGGCAACAUGAACACCGACAUGUAUUAAAAUAUUAUUAUUAGUUUUUGAUCUUGGAAUACAGUAUUUUUUAAGUGUAUAUGAAAAAUGAAACAUAUUGGUGUCGACAAACAUAGUGCCAUCACAAAAAAAUUUAUUUUUUAUUUGACCGGACAAUCAUCGGGCAAUGAUUAAGAGAUCAUAGAGGGUAGUGUCAACGGUAAGGUGGCUGGCACCAUCAUGCACUAUAGAAUCAGGUCAUUUCCAUCAAAUAUUUUGCACCUAGGUCAUUUCCAUAAAUAAUUUAUUUUUUGGAUCAAUUUUGAAAAAAAAAAGCACCAGAUUUUAGUUUAGUUAAUUCAUUGGAUCACGCUUAAAAUUAAAAAAAAAUCUUUUUAUUAAGAGUAAAAUUGAAUUAAUAAAUUAAUUCUUAUGUAUUGGAUUAAAAAGUAAAUUAGUUCUUUCUAUUAAAAAUUUUCCAUUUCUAUUGAUAAAAACUGAUUUGAUUGAUAGAAUAAUUAGAAAAUUACAUAUGGUAUGUCACGUGUACCUCUAAUAUAAAAAGACUAAUUUACUUUUUUUAAGUAAAAAGAGAAAAAUGUAAUCUACUCUUAAAAUAAGAGCCUUUAUCAUACUUUUACCAUUUAAAAUAUUAUAUUUGUAGUGAUUUUAUCAGCUUCUUUACCCAACUAACCAAAAAAAAAAUUUAUUUGCGACAUUGACCCAGGUUGAAAAUCUAUAACGAAAAUGACUUGAAAUCUACAGUGUCGGGCAGUGUCGACACUCUGAUGGCCGUCAUCAAUGUCAAUCAUCGUAUAAUGAUUGCUUGUUGAUUGAGUUAGGGUUUAAAAAAUAAUUUUUUUGUUGCCGGCACUACAAUGACUGACACCUGUAUGUAUUUUUGUGUACUUUUUUGAAAAAAUGGGUAUUUUCCGGUUCAAAAGUUUUUUUAUUAGCUGUCAGCUUCUAGGUGGUUGGCAUCGGGAAAAAAUCAAAUUUUAUUUUUCGGUAUUUUUUGGUGCUGACACCCGUGUUGGAUUAAUUUUUUUUUAGUACCAGCCUUCUCUCCACCAGCACCGGUGUGGUUUUUUGGCAUGCUCUGGUUGCAAUGACCAGUGACCAUUUGGUUCUUUUUAAAGCUUUGGCAAUGUGACUCCUAAGCCUUCAAUUGUAUGAGAAGAGAGAUUUGAAGAAAAUAACAUAAUACCAGGAGAGAAGAAGCACUGAAUAUUUGAGAAGAAAAAGAAAAAGAUUUUGAGUUCAAUUUACUGAUUACAGUACUUAGUAGGCAAAGGAAACAAGAGAAGAAAAUGAAAAAAAAUGAAGAGUUGUAUUAAAAAAAAGAAGAGUGAAAGAGAAGAAGGCAAGACAAAUUUAAAUUAGACAUCUAUGGUUUCAACGGGAAAAACAGUUGUAUAUGAAUUUGCAUUAAUAAAUUUAAUUAAUUGUUUUUUAUGGUUUCAAGGCAAGAAAAAAUUUAAUGCAAUUUUAUUGUUUCAAUAGGAAAAAAAGUUGUAGAUGGAAAAAGAAUUCCCCCCCACUCUUCAUUAUCACCUUUCUUAGAGUGCGUUAAUUAACUUUUAAUCAUGUGCAACUUUUCCGACUAAAUUACCUAAAAAGGCUCAUUUCCAACUAUAUUUACGGAAAUGGACUGAAUAUACAAUUAAGUAUCGAAAAUGGCCACUUUUUGCAAUAUGCACCUACGUGGCUACGUUUAAAGGGGAAAUUGCCAGCAAAGCGCGCCCUUGGGAAAACGUCAACGCGCUUUGCUGACGUGGCAAAAAAAGCUCCCCUAGGGGUGCGCAUUGCUGGCAAAUUUUCAAUCCCAAUGGCUAAUUUUUUUGAUCGUUGGGGGGUCCAACGGUAAAAAGAAAAAGUAUAAAAUCCCCCUCCUAUUAUUUCACACAUAAGUUCUUACAAUUUAGCAAAAAAUCUCUACAAUUUCUCCAUAAAGUUCUCUAAUUUCUCAUUAAAUUUCUCAAAGCUCUUUAUAAUUAGUUAUUUACUUUAAUUUUUCUAAAUUAGUAUUAUUUUUUUAUAAUUUCAAAAAUAUUUGAUCGUGUUAGCAAUGGCUUGGGGAUUAAUUCGUCUGAAUCAUAAACAUAUCUCCGUCGAACAAAUGAAAAUGAUAAUGGUUUGUUUUAAAUUUUAAAUAUUAUUUAAUAUUUUUUCAUUUAUUUUAAAUUUCAAAUAUUAUUUAAUAUUUUUUGCAUUUAUGUAAUUUUAAUUAAUUUGCAUUUUAUAAUUUUUUAUAACAGUCUGUAGAUCGGGUGUUAUAAUGUUAUAUUCGUAAUAUGGCUGGUCCGUCAUCACCGUUGAUAGAAAAUUACUUGAGGGAAGCGGGCUUUUGGCACACGACGACUAUAGGCCGGGGGUGCAAGUUAGACUCGAAACUCAUUAACGCAUUAAUAGAGAGGUGGAGACUGGAGACACAUACAUUCCAUCUUCCAUACGGAGAGUGUACUAUUAAAUUGGAGGACGUCUAGUUACAAUUAGGAUUGCCAGUGGAUGGGGUCGCACUCACCAGGUCCGUUCAAUCUGCUGAUUGGGGUGCCAUAUACUACAAUCUUUUGGGUGCGAUUUCGGAUAAUAUUUACGGAGGUUGGAUCGAGAUGGGCUGGUUACAAGACACAUUCUUGGAGCCAGGGAAUGAUUCGACUGAAGUAUAAAGAAGACGAUAUGCACAGGCAUACAUCCUUGAGAUGAUUGGAGGUUAUCUGAUGCUGGACUUGUCACGAAACCUCGUACAUCUGAGGUGGCUGCUGAAGCUUGUUGAUUUUAGAGCAACUGGCAAAAUUAGUUGGGGGUCUACCAUGUUGGCAACAUUGUACCAGGAGAUGUGCGGGACGACGCCACCAAAUAUAACCAAAAUUGGAGGUUGCCUAUCACUACUACAAUCAUGGGCUCGGUUUUGCGUUCCAUUUUUACAUCCUCGAGUGAACCACCCAUAUACAUUCCCACUCAUUACAAGGUAAAAUUUUUAUUUGAUUUUACAAUUAUUCAAUAGAUUUAAAAUAAAAUUGUAUGCUGAAAAUUUAUUUAAUUAGGUGGAACCAUUCGAUGAGUUAUGUUGGAAUACCUACCGCUCUUAAAGAUAUACGGCUUCUAUUAGACCAAUGGUCGGAAGCGUAACUAAGUAUUAAAUAAAAUAUAUAUACAUAAAAUAGUCGUUUCAUAUUUAGUAUUUAGUAUUUAGUAUUAUGUAUAUAACUAAUAUUUUUAUCCCGUUCAUAUAGUUUCAAUGGACACCAUACGAGGAUUCGGCAAUACAGGCUGUAAUUCCGAAAGAAUUCUUUUAAAGUCUAAACAUUUGGCAUGUUAAGGUCUCAUUGGUAAACUAUGCUACUGUCGAGAUGCAUCUGACAGAUAGAGUGCUGUAAUAAUUUGGAUUCCGACAAUUGAUUCUUGAGGAACCUGAGGUGCUCGAUGACCAGCACAUAAUCGACUUAUGGAAAAUGAAUACGAAUUGGCCAGUAUUCUGGUCAGAAUAUAUCAAAAUUUGGGAAAACAAGUAUUAUCAUAUACCUGAUCGCGAAUCGAUCAUCGUCCCAGAGUUAGCGGGCACCCCGAAUUACAUGCCAUGGUUUAGGAUCCAUGUCAAGCUAUAUUUGCUUUCAGAAGAGCAGAGGCGUCGACAAAUCUGUGUGGAAAGGGAACGAUGGGGCCUUUUAAAUCCAAGGAGAAGGGAUGAAGCACCCACACAAUCAUCAGGCCCAUCAAUAACACCCACACAAUCACCAGCCCAAUGCUUCAACCGAUGACACCCACAUCACAACCUUUUCAGAUUAUACCAAGUGCGUAUCCUAGCCUUUAUAUGUAUCCUAACCCUUAUAUGUUUCCUUUUCCUAGUCCUAUGCCAGGUUGGAAUGCAUGGUCCGGUGCAUCUCCUUUCUUGAUGACUCCAACUCAACCGAUGAUAUAUAGGCCAUCGUCACUUCAGGGAUCACACGAGGCACAGUCGGCGAGCUUAUCUCAUUACCAUUUCCCAUCGCCUUUUAGGAUUCAAACACCUCCGUCGCGGGUGAUGAAAACACCUCCACAUUUUUUUAUUCUACCAAUGUGAGUAAUCCUCCCAACACCCACAACCUGAACAACCACAACCCCCGCCGAAGCAACUAAGGAGGAAUCUGGUGCUUAAUCAUCGUCGACCACCAUGUGGUAGUGAUUUCAACCAACAUAUACAUUAAUUUUUUAAUAUAUUUAUAGAAGUUGUUUCUAUAUUGUUUCAUUUAAUAAAAAAUAAGUUGUUUUAAAUAUUUUAAUAGUAAAUUAAUUUUAUAUUUUGAAUAAAAUAAGUUCUUUUGAAUAAGGCUGAAUAGAAAUAAUACAACAUCGUUUCAUAACAACAAUUAUCAACUAUUUCGGUUUGGAAAUGAUUGAAUUGUAUGACCUGGGUUCCUACACCAUCCACACAAUUUCUAUUGGUUUUUCUGUGACAGCCCUAAAUUGACCCUAGUCAGAAAGUGGUUUCGGGACCGCUAAACCGAGUCACCGAAGUAUUUGAGUAUAAUAUUUAUUGUCUAAAAUAUGUGAAUAUGAGUGUGUGAAAGUUUUGAGCUUCGAUUUGGUCAAUUGCAUGUGAAUUUAGUUAAUAGAACUUAUGUGUGACACUUUUGAAAUGUGAUGGGUUAAUCUAUAAGGAUCUAUUAGUGCAUGUUAUGAAAAUAAUGGGUUUGCAUGUCAAAUUUCCACCUAUGACAAGUAGUGGCCGGCCAUGCUAUGGGUUAAAAUGUAUUAUAAACAUUUUAUGUUAGUGUUUUAUGUUAGAAAUAAUAAAAUAAAGAACAUGGGUAAUAAAAUAAUAGUGGUUCGUAGGAGGAGAAACAAAAAAAAAAUAGCUAGGUUGCUCCUUCAUUGCCGUAACUAGAGGAAGAAGAAGAGGGGAAGUUCGGCCAAGGUGGUUCUUUAGAUUAAGGUAUGUUCAAUGUUGCUUUUGGGGGUUUACACAUCCUUUGGAGGGUUAGCCUACUUCUAUUUAUCUCAUGGAUGAAAUUGGGGUUGUUGGAGAGUUAGGAUUCGGCUAAGAGGCUUCAAAAUUCUAGUUGAUGCCUUGAUACUACUAGCAUGUUAGCUAUAUGGAUGUGUUAAGUUACUUGAGAUGUUAGAUAAAUUUGAACUCCCUACCAAAUUCUUUAGGCAACCCAUGUUAGAAAUUUCGGUAUUGAGAUGUCUAGAUCUUUCGGCCAUUGUAGCUAUGGAGGAAUAAAGUUUUGUUUCUUGUUAAAUUGGAUGAAUCUUGUUGUAUGAGUGCUUGAACAAACUACGAUUAAAUGGAUGCAUAGAUUCAAAGUGGGAAGAAUUGGCUAUUAUAUUUGAUGCUAAUACCGAAUAUGAAGAUGUUGAACUUGAAUAAAUAAUAUUCAGCUAGCAUGAUAAGUUAUGAAAUAUUAAGUAGAUGAUAUAAUUGAUUGGUGAAGUGGCUAAUAGGGAUUUUUAAUGAAAUUAUGCCAAGGCCGAAUGUAUCAUGAAGUAAAUAAAAAUGCUAAAUGUGCAUUAUGUGCUUAUAUGUGUAUUCGACCAAGGAAGUUUGAUAUGAAGCUUUGAUAGGUUUGAGAGAUGAAUGAGCCAUAGGUUAUGUAUGGAUGAAUUUUAUUCAUAUGUGUGUGUGUGGCAUUAGUAGUUAAUGGCAUUCGGCAUUGUUUAAUUAAAAUUAGAAAUGAAUGCUUGAAAGUUAAAUAGGUCGCUCUAAUAACCAAAUAUGCUAAAAACUAAUAUAUGGACAAAUGAUACGAAUGAAUUGGUUUUUGAAAUGUAUAUGGUUGCCGUAUGUAUGUGUUUGAUUGAGAAGUAAAUUUGUUUGAUUUAGCUCAAGAGCUUAGAGGAUCAAAGUUGGAUAAGGGAAAGGAAAAAGUGAUCGAAUAGCCGUUGAAAUCGUUCGACAACAUCCGAGGUAAGUCUUUGAGUAAUGAAAUUUAGCUUACGAUUUAAUAAGGCAAUUAUUUGUCUAUGAGCAUAAUAAUUAACUCGUGACUUGACGAUUCUACUUGAAUUACUUGAUAAAAUAAAUAAGUAAGGUAUUUACUUGGAGCCGAAUGGUUAUAGAAAUCUUGUGGGAUUAAUGAACCGAAUGACGUAUGGUUAGUAAACAUGCUGUUAUUGUAUUCGAGUAUCAGGAAUGAUAUCCAGAUGUGAUAUGAUAUAUAUAUAUGCAUAUAUGCAUGAAUGCUAAUCGGGGUCUAAAUCUGAGCUUGGUCUCGAAGGGCUUUUGAGCCAGUGCUAAUAACCGAACUUAGUUUCAAAGGGCUUUUUAGAGCCAGUGACAUAACCGGACUUAAUUCCGAAGGGCCUUCGAGCCAGUAGUCUAAUCCGAGCUUGGUCUCGAAGGGCUUUUGAGCCGGUGCUAAGAGUCGGACUUUAUUCUGAAGGAUGUUGCACCAGCAUAAUAUUUGAGGGUGAAAACCCGUAAGUGUUCUUACGAGAAAUCAUAUAAUACAUGCUGGAAUAAUUUUAAUCACAUGCGCUACUUACUGUAAGACAACCAGGUAAGUAAUUCACCCUUGUUGAGAAUGUGAAUAUACUUCAAUUAUGAAUUUGAAAUUUGAUGGGAAUGCUUAGCACAUUAUUUAAAUCAUCCGAACGUUUAUGAUCGGAUUAUGAUGUAUGAGUUCCGAAUAUGAGAGUUCAAUGUCAUAGUUAUGAAAUGUGUGUGCAUAUGCAUGAAAUGGACAUGGAAAUUUGAGAUGAGAGCAUUCGGUUGUGGAUUGGAGUUGGCCGGAUAAAUUGGUUUCACCUUUGUGAUAUUAAUGAUAAAAGUGAUAUCACGGUUCUGUUUCUAUUCGGCCAAGGGAUGAAACAAACAAACUUGAUAUUUUUAUGCCAUCCUUUUAAAUGAUUUCAUUACUUAAAACUUACUAAGCAUCGAAAUGCUUAUUCUCUGCUUUAAUUCUCUGUUUGUAGAUUUUGUUCGUCAGCUAUCAGACUCGGGAUUGUCAAAGUCGAAGUCAUCCACACUAUCUAAACCACUUUUUGGUACUCUUUUAGUUCAAUUUGAAAUGGCAUGUAUAGGGCUGACCCUUGUUGUUAAUUGAGUACCCUUUUGUAAUGUAUAUUCGUAUAGCAAUGCGAAAAUGGCUCGUAUAUUUUGAAGUAUAACAUUAUGGUCUUAUGGUAUGGUUAUUAAGUGGUGUGGAAAUGUUUGGUAAUGACUAGCCAUUGGAAUGGCCAAUCAUGGUCCUAUUGGUGCUACGUAUGUCAUGGCUAAUCGGGAUUACCCUUGAUAAUAAUGUAUGCCAAUUUGCUAGUUGAUUCAUGGAAAACUAGGAAAUAGGUGAAAUCUGCCUUAAAAUAGAUGCUGAUGGCAGCAGUGAUGUGAGUGUUAAAAAUCACUAAAAAUAGUAUAAAUGUAAUUAAAUAAUGAAUAAAUUAUGUAAAUGAACCUUGAUGAGUCUAUUUUCAUAUGGAAGAAGCGAAAAAACCAUAUGAGCCGUAUUUUAUGAGAUGUUUAAGUUUUCGUGAAACAGGGCCAGAGCAAUUACUGGAUCCCCUGUUCUGACUUUGAAAAUUUACCAUAAAUUAACCAGAGACAAUUGGAAGUCAUGCUUCAUAUUUAUAGAUUCCAUUUUGAGUCUAGUUUCAUUAGAAACAAACGGCAUAAGUAUUGAAGCUCUGUACAGGGAGAUAUCUAAGUCGUAAUGCAUGAAGGUCAGAGUAGUCGAACCUUGAAACAGGAGAGACUUUAACUAAUAAACUGUACUAAUUGGCUUGACCAAAAAUUCUAGAAAAAAAUUUGUAGAUGGAAAUAUGAGUGUAGUUUCAGGGAAAAUUUACGGAAUCAGUUUUCGAGUUAAGGGAACUUGAGAUAUGAUUUUUAAGGUGGCAGUAACACAGUUAGCCAGCUUGUCUGGAAAUUUUAAAAAUGAACUGUAUAAAUAAAUGAAUUAAGUCCGUUAACACCUCGUGUCCGACUCCGGAAACGGUCUCGGGUACGGGGCGUUACAAUUUUAUUGGUAUCAGAGCUACGGUUUAGUCGAUUCUAGGACUACCGUACUACGUUCGGGUCUAGCUAUACAUGCCAUUGUGUGUUUAUUUGAUAGUGGCGAUUUCUGACAGUUAAAAAUGUGUUUAUUUAUAGUAAUGGAUCCCGAUCCCAACCGACUGGUAGCUGAUGAUCUUGAGAGUGUAGCUCCUGCUCCCGCACAAGGGACAGUGCCGGUGGACUCUCAACCUAUUGCUAGUAAUCAGAAUGAUGAAGCUAGACAAGCUUUUUAUAGCGUGAUGAAUGAUUGGUUCAACCAAUACAUUCGAACUAAUACGGCUGUUCCACAACCCCCAUUCCCGACCAAUACAACCCCUGCACCUGCGAUACCCCCGGUAACCGACCAAAUAAGGUUAAAUAAGCCCCCAGUUGACAGAAUCCGAAAACACGGGGCUACUGAAUUUAAAGCUACAGACAGCGACGAUGCCGAGCAAGCUGAAUUUUGGUUGGACAACACUAUUCGGGUACUUGAUGAACUAUCUUGCACAUCCGAUGAAUGCCUUAAGUGAACUAUCUCCUUGCUACGUGAUUCUGCCUACUAUUGGUGGAAUACGUUGAUUUCGGUUGUGCCCAGAGAGCAAGUAACUUGGGAGUUUUUCCAAACCGAGUUUCGAAAAAAGUAUAUCAGCCAGAGAUUCAUUGAUCAAAAACAAAAAGAAUUUCUUGAACUUAAACAAGGUUCCAUGUCGGUUACUGACUAUGAACGAAAGUUUGUAAGACUUAACCGGUACGCUCGGGAAUGCAUUUCCUCAGAAGCUGUAAUGUACAAACGUUUCGAGGACGGACUGAACGAUGAUAUAAAACUGUAUGUUGGCAUUUUAGAAAUCAGAGAAUUUGUGGUACUUGUCGAGCGAGCGUGAAAAGCCGAAGAGCUCAGUAAGGAGAAAAGAAAAGCUGAUAUGGGAGCAAAGGAGUUUUGUAAGAGAUCUUCGGGAAAGCCCUUUCAAUAGUUAUCGAAGAAAUUUAGAGAUGGUUUAGGCCGAUCUAGAGACACUUCAGGCUUUUCUAGACGAGAUCGUGAUCGACCCCCUGUGAGUACACGAGUCACUUCGGUGGCCAGUGUUGGAAAUGAUCGUCGAGACAGGACAGAGUGCCAGUAUUGUGGUAAAUGGCAUUCGGGAAGUUGUAGAUUCCAUGACCGCUCCUGUUAUAAGUGCGGAUCGGCUGACCACUUUAUCAAGGAUUGCCCGAGACUGUCUGAACAAAAUGUAAAUCAGAGUGGGAAACCGGGUGCUACUACUGCUUGAGGUAGACCAUCUAGAAAUACGGGAAAUCCUAGUGGCGGUCAGAGAGGAUCUAGAGACGCUACAACCAGAUCUGAGGCUCGUGCUCCUGCCAGAGCUUAUGCUAUACGUGCACGCGAGGAUGCUUCUUCGCCUGAUGUUAUUACCGGUACAUUCACUCUCUUUGAUACCAAUGUGAUUGCAUUGAUUGACCCUGGUUCUACUCAUUCUUAUAUAUGUGAGACUUUAGCAUCCAGUAAGACUUUACCUGUUGAGUCUACUGAGUUCGUUAUUAGAGUGUCGAACCCCUUGGGUCAUUGUGUGCUUGUUUAUAAGGUGUGUAAGAAAUGUCCCCUAGUAAUUCGAGGUUCCUGUUUUCCGGUGGACUUGAUGCUUUUACCGUUUGAUGAAUUUGAUGUUAUUCUCGGUUUGGACUGGUUGACCGUGCAUGAUGCGGUUGUGAAUUGCAAGACUAUGACUAUUGAUUUGAGGUGUGCAAAUAAUGAGAUAAUCCGAGUUGAGUCUACUGUUUUGACUGGAUUGCCAACAAUAAUAUCCUCGAUGUUAGCUCGAAAAUAUGUGAGAAAGGGGUGUGAAGCGUACCUUGCAUACGUACUUGAUAAUAAAGAGUCAUAAAAGAAACUUGAAUCGGUGCCAGUGGUUUGUGAUAUUCGGAUGUUUUCCCCGAAGAAUUUCUAGGGUUACCACCUGUUCGGGAGGUAGAGUUUGGCAUCGAACUUGUACCUGGGACUACACCGAUUUCGAUAGCUCCGUAUCGUAUGGCACCAACGGAAUUAAAGGAAUUGAAAGCUCAGUUGCAAGAGUUGACGGAUAGAGGUUUCGCUCGACCAAGUUUCUCACCUUGGGGUGCACCAGUAUUGUUUGUGAAAAAGAAGGACAGAACCAUGAGGUUGUGCAUCGACUAUCGUCAGCUGAAUAAAGUGACAAUAAACAAUAAAUAUCCGUUACCGCGUAUUGAUGAUUUGUUUGAUCAACUAAAGGGAGCCUCAGUGUUUUCAAAGAUAGAUUUGAGAUCGGGUUAUUAUCAGUUGCGAAUUCGAGAUUCGGAUAUACCCAAAACUGCUUUCAGAACGAGAUAUGGUCACUACGAGUUCUUAGUGAUGCCGUUUGGGCUCACUAAUGCCCCUGCGGUAUUUAUGGAUUUGAUGAAUCGAAUCUUCAGACCGUAUUUGGAUCGGUUUGUAGUUGUGUUUAUCGAUGAUAUUUUGGUCUAUUCGAGAAAUGAAACCGAUCAUGCUGAACACCUGGGAUUAGUGUUGCAAAUUUUACGGGAUAAGCAGUUAUAUGCUAAGUUCAGUAAGUGUGAGUUCUGGUUAAGAGAGGUUAGCUUCUUGGGACAUGUGGUAUCUGCAUUGGGUAUUCGAGUUGAUCCGAGCAAAAUUUCAGCCAUACUUAACUGGAAGCCUCCGAGAAAUAUUACUGAAGUUCGGAGCUUUUUGGGACUUGCCGGUUACUACAGACGCUUUGUAAAGGGUUUCUCGAUGAUAGCCACACCAAUAACGAAACUACUUCAGAAAGAUGUUAAGUUUGAAUGGACAGAAAAAUGUCAGAAAAGUUUCGAUCCAUUGAAAACUUAUUUGACUGAAGCUCCAGUACUAGUGCAGCCCGAAUCAGGCAAGGAGUUUGUCAUCUACAGUGAUGCAUCCUUACUUGGGUUGGGUUGUGUAUUGAUGCAAGAAGGUCGAGUUGUGGCCUAUGCGUCGAGACAAUUGAAGCCACAUGAGAAAAAUUAUCCGACCCAUGAUCUCGAACUAGCUGCCAUCGUAUUCGCUUUGAAAAUAUGGCGACAUUACUUAUUUGGUGAGAAGUGCCAUGUAUAUUCAGAUCACAGAAGUCUCAAAUAUUUGAUGACUCAAAGAGACUUGAAUCUGCGACAAAGACGUUGGCUCGAGUUGUUAAAAGAUUAUGAGCUUGUCAUUGACUAUCACCCGGGAAAGGCUAAUGUGGUUGCAGAUGCUUUAAGUCGUAAAUCACUAUUUACUUUACGAGCGAUGAAUGUACACUUGUCUGUUCUAUCCGACAAUGUGUUAGUAGUAGAAUUAAAGGCCAAACCAUUGUUGAUUCAUCAAAUUCGUGAAGCUCAAAAAGUCGAUGAUGAAUUGGUUGCAAAACGGGCUGAAUGUGUCUCGAACAUGGAAUCAGAGUUUCAAAUUGACGAUGACGAUUGUUUGAGGUUCAGAAGUCGUUUGUGUGUCCCAAGAAAUUCAAAACUUAUUUCGACGAUUCUGAACGAAGCUCAUUGUAGCCGAAUGUCAAUUCACCCGGGGAGCACGAAAAUGUACAACGACCUGAGACGUCAAUUUUGGUGGCAUGGCAUGAAACGAGACAUUUCCGAUUUUGUUUCGAAGUGUUUAAUAUGUCAACAGGUGAAAGCGGAACAUCAAGUGCCUACAGGUUUACUUCAGCCGAUCAUGAUACCUGAAUGGAAAUGGGAUCGAGUCACGAUGGAUUUUGUAUCUGGGUUGCUGUUGUCGGCAACUAAGAAAGAUGCGAUUUGGGUUGUUGUUGAUAGACUGACUAAGUUGGCUCAUUUUAUUCCCGUACGUACGGAUUAUUCAUUGGAUAAACUAGCUGAAUUGUAUGUUUCUCAGAUUGUAAGGUUACAGGGGGUACCUAUUUCUAUUGUGUCGGAUAGAGAUCCGAGGUUCACCUCGCGAUUUUGGAAGAAACUGCAAGAAGCCUUGGGUACUAAGUUGCAUUUUAGCACCGCUUUUCAUCCACAGACUGAUGGUCAAUCCGAGCGGAUAAUUCAGAUACUCGAGGAUAUGUUGAGAUGUUGCAUCCUUGAGUUUAGUGGUUCAUGAGAGCGGUAUUUACCUUUGAUUGAAUUCGUUUACAACAAUAGUUUUCAAUCAAGCAUUAAGAUGGCACCUUACGAGGCUUUGUACGGUCGUAAAUGCCGUACACCGUUGUUUUGGACCGAACUCGGUGAAAGUAAAAUUUUCGGAGUUGACUUGAUUAAAGAUGCUGAGCAGAAAGUAAAAAUAAUUCGUGAAAGUCUAAAGGCAGCAUCAGAUCGUCAGAAGUCGUACGCGGAUUUAAAACGAAGAGAUAUUGAGUAUCAGGUGGGAGACAAAGUGUUUCUUAAGGUUUCACCUUGGAAAAAGAUACUCAGAUUUGGCCGUAAGGGCAAACUGAGUCCGAGGUUCAUUGGGCCGUAUGAAAUCUCCGAACGAGUUGGUCCAGUUGCAUAUAAGUUGCUUUUACCCCCUGAACUUGAAAGGAUUCACAACGUUUUUCACGUUUCGAUGCUUCGACGUUACAGAUCUGAUCCUUCGUACAUAAUUAAUCCCUCCGAGGUUGAAAUUCAAUCCGAUAUGAGUUAUGAAGAAGAACCGAUACGUAUCCUAGCUCGUGAAGUGAAAGAGUUGCGAAACAAAAGGGUUCUGUUAGUGAAGGUGUUAUGGCUCAAACACAGGAUCGAAGAAGCUACUUGGGAAACCGAGAACUCUAUGAAAGAACGUUACCCAAACCUAUUUACCAGUAAGAUUUUCGGGGACGAAAAUUUCUUAAAUGGGGGAGAGUUAUGACAGCCCUAAAUUGACCCUAGUCGGAAAGUGGUUUCGGGACCGCUAAACCGAGUCACCGAAGUAUUUGAGUAUAAUAUUUAUUGUCUAAAAUAUGUGAAUAUGAGUGUGUGAAAGUUUUGAGCUUCGAUUUGGUCAAUUGCAUGUGAAUUUAGUUAAUAGGACUUAUGUGUGACACUUUUGAAAUGUGAUGGGUUAAUCUAUAAGGAUCUAUUAGUGCAUGUUAUGAAAAUAAUGGGUUUGCAUGUCAAAUUUCCACCUAUGACAAGUAGUGGCCGGCCAUGCUAUGGGUUAAAAUGUAUUAUAAACAUUUUAUGUUAGUGUUUUAUGUUAGAAAUAAUAAAAUAAAGAACAUGGGUAAUAAAAUAAUAGUGGUUAGUAGGAGGAGAAACAAAAAAAAAUUAGCUAGGUUGCUCUUUCAUUGCCGUAACUAGAGGAAGAAGAAGAGGGGAAGUUCGGCCAAGGUGGUUCUUUAGAUUAAGGUAUGUUCAAUGUUGCUUUUGGGGGUUUACACAUCCUUUGGAGGGUUAGCCUACUUCUAUUUAUCUCAUGGAUGAAAUUGGGGUUGUUGGAGAGUUAGGAUUCGGCUAAGAGGCUUCAAAAUUCUAGUUGAUGCCUUGAUACUACUAGCAUGUUAGCUAUAUGGAUGUGUUAAGUUACUUGAGAUGUUAGAUAAAUUUGAACUCCCUACCAAAUUCUUUAGGCAACCCAUGUUAGAAAUUUCGGUAUUGAGAUGUCUAGAUCUUUCGGCCAUUGUAGCUAUGGAGGAAUAAAGUUUUGUUUCUUGUUAAAUUGGAUGAAUCUUGUUGUAUGAGUGCUUGAACAAACUAUGAUUAAAUGGAUGCAUAGAUUCAAAGUGGGAAGAAUUGGCUAUUAUAUUUGAUGCUAAUGCCGAAUAUGAAGAUGUUGAACUUGAAUAAAUAAUAUUCAGCUAGCAUGAUAAGUUAUGAAAUAUUAAGUAGAUGAUAUAAUUGAUUGGUGAAGUGGCUAAUAGGGAUUUUUAAUGAAAUUAUGCCAAGGCCGAAUGUAUCAUGAAGUAAAUAAAAAUGCUAAAUGUGCAUUAUGUGCUUAUAUGUGUAUUCGGCCAAGGAAGUUUGAUAUGAAGCUUUGAUAGGUUUGAGAGAUGAAUGAGCCAUAGGUUAUGUAUGGAUGAAUUUUAUUCAUAUGUGUGUGUGUGGCAUUAGUAGUUAAUGGCAUUCGGCAUUGUUUAAUUAAAAUUAGAAAUGAAUGCUUGAAAGUUAAAUAGGUCGCUCUAAUAACCAAAUAUGCUAAAAACUAAUAUAUGGACAAAUGAUACGAAUGAAUUGGUUUUUGAAAUGUAUAUGGUUGCCGUAUGUAUGUGUUUGAUUGAGAAGUAAAUUUGUUUGAUUUAGCUUAAGAGCUUAGAUGAUCAAAGUUGGAUAAGGGAAAGGAAAAAGUGAUCGAAUAGCCGUUGAAAUCGUUCGACAACAUCCGAGGUAAGUCUUUGAGUAAUGAAAUUUAGCUUACGAUUUAAUAAGGCAAUUAUUUGUCUAUGAGCAUAAUAAUUAACUCGUGACUUGACGAUUCUAUUUGAAUUACUUGAUAAAAUAAAUAAGUAAGGUAUUUACUUGUAGCCGAAUGGUUAUAGAAAUCUUGUGGGAUUAAUGAACCGAAUGACGUAUGGUUAGUAAACAUGCUGUAAUUGUAUUCGAGUAUCAGGAAUGAUAUCCAGAUGUGAUAUGAUAUAUAUAUGCAUAUAUGUGUGAAUGCUAAUCUGGGUCUAAAUCCGAGCUUGGUCUCGAAGGGCUUUUGAGCCAGUGCUAAUAACCGAACUUAGUUUCGAAGGGCUUUUUAGAGCCAGUGACAUAACCGGACUUAAUUCCGAAGGGCUUUCGAGCUAGUAGUCUAAUCCGAGCUUGGUCUCGAAGGGCUUUUGAGCCGGUGCUAAGAGUCGGACUUUAUUCCGAAGGAUGUUGCACCAGCAUAAUAUUUGAGGGUGAAAACCCGUAAGUGUUCUUACGAGAAAUCAUAUAAUACAUGCUGGAAUAAUUUUAAUCACAUGCGCUACUUACUGUAAGACAACCAGGUAAGUAAUUUACCCUUGUUGAGAAUGUGAAUAUACUUCAAUUAUGGAUUUGAAAUUUGAUGGGAAUGCUUAGCACAUUAUUUAAAUCAUCCGAACAUUUAUGAUCGGAUUAUGAUGUAUGAGUUCUGAAUAUGAGAGUUCAAUGUCAUAGUUAUGAAAUGUGUGUGCAUAUGCAUGAAAUGGACAUGGACAUUUGAGAUGAGAGCAUUCGGUUGUGGAUUGGAGUUGGCCAGAUAAAUUGGUUUCACCUUUGUGAUAUUAAUGAUAAAAGUGAUAUCACGGUUAUGUUUCUAUUCGGCCAAGGGAUGAAACAAACAAACUUGAUAUUUUUAUGCCAUCCUUUUAAAUGAUUUCAUUACUUAAAACUUACUAAUUAUCAAAAUGCUUAUUCUCUGCUUUAAUUCUCUGUUUGUAGAUUUUGUUCGUCAGCUAUCGGACUCGGGAUUGUCAAAGUCGAAGUCGUCCACACUAUCUAAACCACUUUUUGGUACUCUUUUAGUUCAAUUUGAAAUGGCAUGUAUAGGGCUGACCCUUGUUGUUAAUUGAGUACCCUUUUGUAAUGUAUAUUCGUAUAGCCAUGCGAAAAUGGCUCGUAUAUUUUGAAGUAUAACAUCAUGGUCUUAUGGUAUGGUUAUUAAGUGGUGUGGAAAUGUUUGGUAAUGACUAGCUAUUGGAAUGGCCAAUCAUGGUCCUAUUGGUGCUACGUACGUCAUGGCUAAUCGGGAUUACGCUUGAUAAUAAUGUAUGUCAAUUUGCUAGUUGAUUCAUGGAAAACUAGGAAAUAGGUGAAAUCUGCCUUAAAAUAGAUGCUGACAGCAGCAGUGAUGUGAGUUUGAAAAAUCACUAAAAAUAGUAUAAAUGUAAUUAAAUAAUGAAUAAAUUAUUUAAACGAACCUUGAUGAGUCUGUUUUCAUAUGGAAUAAUCGAAACGACCAUAUGAGCCGUAUUUUAUGAUAUGUUUAAGUUUUCGUGAAACAGGGCCAGAGCAAUUACUGGAUCCCCUGUUCUGACUUCGAAAAUUUACCAUAAAUUAACCAGAGACAAUUAGAAGUCAUGCUUCAUAUGUAUAGAUUCAUUUUUGAGUCUAGUUUCAUUAUAAAUAAACGGCAUAAGUAUUGAAGCUCUGUACAGGGAGAUAUCUAAGUCGUAAUGCAUGAAGGUCAGAGUAGUCGAACCCUGAAACAGGAGAGACUUUAAAUAAUAAACUGUACUAAUUGGCUCAACCAAAAAUUCUAGAAAAAAAUUUUUAGAUGGAAAUAUGAGUCUAGUUUCAGGGAAAAUUUACGGAAUUAGUUUUCGAGUUUUUUAACUUGAUAUAUGAUUUUUAAGGUGACAGUGACGCAGUUAGCCAGCUUGUCUGAAAAUUUUAAAAAUGAACUGUAUAAAUAAAUGAAUUAAGUCUGUUAACACCUCGUGUCCGACUCCGGCAACGGUCUCGGGUACGGGGCGUUACAUUUUCUUUCCUGAAUAUCAAUAUUAUUACGUAUUUUACUCGAGCGAGGUCGACCUUUUGGUUUGCAAUGCAAUUCUGUGUUUGGUAACAAGUUAAACGGAGUAAGUGAUACAGACGGCCACUUAUGUUCAUCUGAGAUUAGUAGGAAUACGUGUGUCCACACAUCAUACAUGUAUUCUAUUUUGUACACUUCAUUGACAAAUCUCAUGGGAUCCAAAUGAAGAUUUUGACAAGCUGCAAUUGCAUGGGCACUUGGAUAACGAAGUGCGUCAAACGUCCCACAGUCGCAAGUCCUAUUUAUCAAGCGUACAUGAUAUUGCCCACCGGUAAUACAUUGGCUCGGUCUGUCAAACUCCGUCAUAAGAAACCAUAGGUUGUUGCCAUCGUGACACACAGUAUGCAUUGUGUUGGCCCGCGCUUUCGCCGUGUUAAUUUCUACCAAUACCUUCCAUAACCAUAUAUGGUCUCCCUACAUUUGGCCUUUAUAACUCGCUGCUCACUUUGGAAAUAGUGCCGCCAAACGAAAAUAUGUCUCUUGCACAACUGAGGUUAUCGACAAAUGAUGCUUUCCUUUUAGAACAUAAUUUAUGCAUUCAGCCAGGUUUGUGGUCGUAUGACAAUCUCGUAGGCCACCGUCGUAUGCCUGUGUCCACUGUUCAAAAGGUAUGUUACAUAGGUAGUCUACACCUUGAUCGUUAACUGAACGAAAAUUCCCCAACAUCUCAUGAAAAUGAUCCUUAUUGAUCUCGUACCCUGGCAAUAUAAGUUGAUAGCGAAAAUUACAUACCAAUGUUCUAUUCAGAAUAAAUUGAAUACUAAAACUAAAAGUAUAUUAAUAGAGAUUAAAUACCUAUGUUGGUCACUUGCUUUAGUUCAGUCGUAGACCGAUAUUGCUCAUAGUAGUUGGAUGCAACGUGCCUUAGACAAUACCGAUGGUGUGUACGAUCCCAUAUGCAUUCAUGUCGCUCAAUUGCGGCUAGUAUUCCAAUACCCCAAUCUGAUAUAACGCAGAUAUCAGGUUGGGGGCACACAUGUCUCCUUAACAUAGAAAGAAAGAAAUCCCAGUCAUCAGCUAACUCCCCUGAUGUUAUUGCAAAUUUAAUUGGAAGGAUUCUCCCACCGCCAUCCUGUGCCACCGCUAGAAAUAGUCGAUAGGUAUAUCUACCAUUCAUAAAGGUACCGUCAAUUUAUACCAAUGGCUUGUAGUACACAAAUGUGUCCUGACAUUGCUUGAAGCUCCAAAACAGACGUUUGAACACUUGGCAUCCAUGGAGCAAUCAGUCGUUGUAGUACGCAGGGACCGUUUCAAGGUCUGUUAUGCAACCUUGGAUGUACCUCUUUGGCACCUAACACUACUACCAAAUCUC